UCCAGAUAACUCCAAGUUCUGACCUAAACGCACCUGUUAAAUAUCCACCCAACACCCAUGCACACUGUACUUCCCAGUCAUUCCGUCUUCUUCUCUCAGAUCUAAGCAAAAAGUCAGACGAACCACAACCACCGCCAUGGCAACCACCCUCACCACCGACCUCCGCCUCUCCAUCGCGCACCAAACCCGAUUCGGCCUCCGCCUCGCCUCCGCCAUCUCCUCCGACCCCGAGUCUGCUGCCACCAACGUUGCUUUCUCCCCGGUCUCGCUCCACGUCGCGCUCAGCCUCGUUGCUGCCGGCGCAAGGGGUGCCACCCGCGACCAGCUCGUAGCUGUACUCGGGGGCGGUGGUGCAGGAGAGGCCGAGGCACUCCAAUCACUUGCCGAGCAGGUGGUGCAGUUCGUGCUCGCCGACGCGUCCAUCAACUCCGGCCCGCGCAUCGCCUUCGCCAACGGUGUUUUCGUCGACGCGUCGCUCUCGCUCAAGCCAUCCUUCCAGGAGCUCGCCGUGUGCAACUACAAAUCUGAGGUCCAGUCCGUGGACUUCAAGACUAAGGUAAUCCCGUUCCUGCUAGUUCUUGACACGACAGCAGGGUUCUUCAUGAGUGAACUAUUUUUGCUACCCUAGUAGCAUAUUUAUUUACUUUUGCUUUUACGUGGCGGCAUGCCAUUGUUACUUUGGAGGUAGUAGUUCGUAGUGUUCCGGCAAAUAAAAAGUAGUAGUUCGUAGUGGGACGUGGGAUUUUCUCAGCCCGAUCUGAAACGAUCGAGCUCGGGUAAACGGUAAAGUAAAAAAAUAUAUUUUUAUGACAAACGUUGAGAAAAGUUCUAAGAUUUUGCAAAAUUUCAUCAUGAAAUCUAAUUUUUGGAUGGCGGCAUGCCAUUGUUAUUCUGGAAGUGCUAGUUAGUAAUGCUGAUCCAAUGGAGAGAGAUGGAUAUCCAUUGGCAAUCGGUAAACCUUUUAACCAUACUAGACGAUGCCCCGCGCAUUACGGCAGGAACCUUGUUAAAAAAGUACAAAUACAUGAUAGAAAACUAAAAUUAAUGCAAAAAUAUAAAACUUUCUUACAUGAUUUAAUUUCCUGUGAAAAAAUAAAGCAUGAGGUGGCAUGUUUUGCAUAAAGAGGUUAAUGAAAAAUGUAAUUUAUGACUCCAUGCAUGACUUGAUGAUGUGGCAUUUUUUGUAUGAGGAAGAAAAAUUAACUAAUGGGUUGUAGCUGUUUAAGAAUAGAGGAUUCUAGACUUGUGAUUCACUGUAUAAUUUCAUGCAAAUGUUUCUAACAAAAAUUGCUUGGAUACAGUUAUGAAGACAUAACAAUUUUGAUAUAUAUUUUUGCUGGUAAGAACUAGUAUUACUCAAGGAGCGUCCAAAUUAAUGUAUGUCUUACACAAAUCAACUGCCUCUGGGGGACCAGCUGAUCCCAAGAAGAAAACUGUUCUAUUCUAAAAUCUAGAAAACGUAGUUGAAAUAUCACUAACAAAAUUCUGGCCACGAUAAGCAUGAGCAAUACAAGUCGUACGACGAGACCUCAAAUGCUUAAUUUCACCAACCAAGGAUGCAAAGACAGAUAUGUCAAUGUUUUUAUCCAAGAUAUAGCUAUCUUGAUCUAUUUAGGUACAAUUAGGAAGGUAUAAUUAUCGUGUCAUUUUAGGUAUACAAAUAACAGUAAUGAUUUGUUUAGGGACAAUUAUGAAGAUCUAAGAUCAUGAUAUUUUAGAUCUAAUUAUGAAGAUCAAACAACAGUCAUCUUUUUAUAGGUAUACCUAUAGGGAUCUAAUGAACAUGAUAUGUUUAGUUACAGCUUUAUAAAUGUCAAAAGUUUGUGAUCCAUUAAUAAUCAAAGGAUCAACUAAAUCAAUAAUCGGACCAUUCUGGAAUAUCUACUCACAAAAAGAUCUCUCUUUUUCAGUUGUAUUGGGCUUCUAAUUUAGUAUAUAAUAGAAAUUUUGCCCGGAGGUACCCUAUCAAGUCAGUAUGAAUGCCUAGGUUUUUUUUUAGAAAAGGAGGUUCAACCCCCCGGCCUCUGCAUCAAUCGAUGCAUACGAUUAUCUUUAUUAAUAAUUCAAUAUAGGUCUAACAAGAACAUACAUCAAACCAUUCGAAGCCACCACUCACACCUACGAAACUCGAUAAUGUGGAGUGCUCUCACUCCCCAUAUUUAAAACCGGUGCCGUCACCGAUCCAUCCACAUAACGUAUCGGAACCCAUAGCCGGUCUAGCAGACCAAAAGUGUACACCACAUGCACAUGUUUUAGACGCCGCCAUCAUCAUCAGGCCACUGACCCAUCUUCAGGAGAGAGAUCUGUAUCAUCCUUGCCAGUCCGUCCAUCCGUCGACGCCACCACGGCUCGUCGAUCUAGACGUGAAGAUUCUGGAAGAUCUGUCGUGCGUAGCACCUGCCGACCAGGCAUGACAUAGCGUAGCACCUGUCGACCAUACAUGACUUGACAUCUCAACCGAAAGCUUCGUGCAAGAUGAUCGACUCCACCACGAUGCCAAACAACGCCACCGCCCUGCGCUCAUUCGUCCAAACACGAAGAUUCUGGAAGAACCGUCGUGCGUAGCACCUACCAACCAGGCAUGACUCAGCGUAGCACCUGUCGGCCAGGCAUGACUUGACAGUUCCACCAAAUCUUCGGGCCAGACGAAGCCGCUCCAUCUCCUGCCUCUGUCAUCCAGCGCUGUUCCACAAACGAUGCUCCCAAGAGAGAAACGGCACCGCAGUACGACCAUCGUCUGAUCUGGAAAGUCAGAUCUUAGGGUUUCCCCCGAAGCAGUGCCCACCACCAGAAACCGUCCACGACCCACAUAGUGCCCACCACUACUCAACCCUCAAGGCGACGCCUUCACGAAGGUCACGACGUCAAGGAUGCCGCCGCCGCCCACCGGAGUUAGGGUUUUCACCCGAGAGGCAAUAAGGUAGGAAGUGGAGGAGUAGAUGUAGACCGACGUCUCCAGGAAGAACAACGUCACCCUUGAGCGUCAUCGUCGGCGCGGCCGGCCAGGGCCGACCAAUGGGUUUUCCCUUAUCUGAAUCUCCUCCACCAGCUUCAUCCGCGUCCACGCUGGCAACGCCAGGAAACCGCAGGAGAGAAGCACAUCGCGGGUAUCUGGAUCAAUGAAGAUCCAAUCUGAACAGUGACGAGUACCACCACCCUGCGUUGGCCGACGGCGUCCGAGCGUCAGAUCGAAAAGGAUCUGACCCGAACUCGACGACGCACGCGACCACCAUGUCUUGCCCCUCCCACAGCCGCCACACCGCGCCGCAAGAACGAAGCCCUCGACGCGCUCCGCACGCCGCCGCUAGGAUCCACAUGCUACGCCGCCACACCGCGCGCUAGUCCGGUGCCUCCUCACGAAUGGCCGUCCCGCGCCAGCAAUGUCGCGUGAAGGGGAGAGGAUCCCCGCCGCCGCCCCUGCCGGCCAGGCUUCGCCCUGGCGGCGCUGCUGGCGGCGACGAGGAUGAAGGAGGAGCGAGGGAGGACCGCGGCGGCGGCUAAGGUUACCCCCUGGUCGCCCACGGGGGCGAAGGGAGGGGGUCACGGGGGCCGACGGGAGGCGGCCUAAAAUCGUGUGAUUCACCAAUUUGUGAGUGCGUUUAAAUGUUCUACCCGUUUUGAUGUAGGGUGCAUUUCAUGAUCUCUCAUGAUGAGAAGUUGUGUCAUUCCUAAUAUGGUUUUCAUUGACAUCAUGGAAUUCUGGUCUUGUACAAAAGUGUAUAAAAAUAAUCAACUAAUGGCUAUAAUAGUGAAAAGGUUAGUAUCCGUAUUAGGGGGGGGGGGGGUGCUUGUAGAUGUUUGUGUGAAUGGUCUUUAUACCAACAGUCGUGUGUAUAAAGAAAUAUCUACCUUUAGACCUAUUUUAUUACAUAAUAUUAUAAUUCUUUACUUUUAUCAUUCUCAAAACUGCAACUCAGUGAGAGCAGCGUUUCUGCUCUCGGUUUCAUCUUCACCCGCACGCACGAAAAAAAAACAAAUAAAAUAUUAGAAAUUUUUAAAAAAAAUCUAAUUUUGUGUUGUAGAAAUUUCAUAUGUGAGGAAUGCUCCAAAUUUCAACUUAAUUGAAUAUCUGAGCAACUCUCGGCAAAAAAGACAAAUCAGGUGUGUAAAAAAGGUUUACUCUUCACGAGUUGUUCUGAUCCGAUUUUCUUUUUUGCCGAAAGCUGCUCACAUGUCCAAAUAAGUUAAAAUUUAGAGUGGGCUUCACGCAUCAAAAUAUCUACCACACAAAAAAUUAAGGCUUUUGAAUUUUUAGUAUUUUGUUUUUAAUUUUUUUGUCAUUUGCAGAUGAGCCUCGGAGCAGAGUUGGAUUUUCGCAACUCGCUUAUGUAUUAUGGUUUCGUUAGUUUUGCUAAGUGUUAAUAUAUUUUGCAAUGGUCCAGGCUCCUGAAGCUGCUACUCAAGUGAAUACCUGGGUAAAGAAUGUCACCGCAGGUCUCAUCGAAGAGAUCCUCCCCGCGGGGUCUAUUGCCGAUACAACUAGACUAGUUCUUGGUAAUGCACUUUACUACAAAGGAAUUUGGACCAACAAGUUUGAUGAAUCUAAAACAAAGUAUGAUGAUUUCCACCUUCUUAAUGGGAGCACUGUUCAAACACCAUUCAUGUCUAGUACAAAUAAGCAGUACCUUUCAUAUUCGGACGACUUGAAGGUACUUAAGCUUCCAUACCAACAUGGUGGGGACAACAGGCAGUUCUCCAUGUACAUUCUUCUUCCUGAAGCACAUGACGGUCUCUCAAGCUUGGCACAAAAGUUGAGCACUGAACCAGAUUUUUUGGAGAACCGUAUCCCAACGGAGGAGGUUGAAGUCGGACAGUUCAUGCUCCCAAAGUUCAAGAUAUCUUUUGGAUUUGAAGCAAACAAAUUGCUCAAAACUUUGGGUCUUCAACUGCCAUUCAGUUUGGAGGCCAAUCUUUCGGAGAUGGUGAAUUCUCCCAUGGGCCUAUACAUCUCAUCUGUUUUUCACAAAACGUUUGUUGAAGUAGACGAAGAAGGAACUAAGGCAGGAGCAGCAACCGGCGAUGUGAUUGUAGACCGGUCACUACCCAUAAGGAUGGAUUUCGUCGCUAAUCACCCUUUCCUCUUCCUUAUUCGAGAAGACAUCGCCGGUGUAGUGCUCUUCAUUGGUCAUGUUGCCAAUCCCGCUGUGUCUUCAUAGUAUGUUUACCCUAAAUCAGUGUCUUGUAAGUUAAUUACCUAAACUGUUACAUGUAAGUGAUGGGUUUCAACAUUCAAUAAUGCUGCCGGUAUAAUAAAUUAAAUAAAUUGUUUUUAAGAAAUGUCUUGAUUGUUGUGUGCAAGGUUUGCACGAGGGCAAUGAUCCAUGAUUGAUGUGGAGCUUUAUGCUUUGAGGUACUUAAUACAUGAGGUAAGCAUGCUUAUCAAAUGAUUCUUGAUGAAGUAUGAAAACCAUUUUUGCAUAAUUUGGGAGCUCAAUCUAAGUUGGUUAGAAAAUCAUUGAUUCGAGCAUGGUCGGGAUCCUGCUGUGGGCCCAUGAGGAUACUACCAAACUGGGUAUAGAGAAUGUGCUAAGUUUAUAGUAAAAAAAUGCUAAGUUAAGUCCGCGCAUGAUGUGCUUGGGAAAGAGCUGGGAUGCAAAUUCAAACUCAUAUGAAAAAUGCCAUUGAUGAUGCUCAACCACCAAACAUACUAGAAUAAUUUCUAAUUCGUGAAAGAUGCGAUGAAAUCUUCCCAUGAAUUCCUGAAACUGAUGGGUCGGGGAACUACUAGUCCUACUAUAAACUUACUCUGAUGUCACCGGAUAUCUGCGUUAUUAACUUCUACACAACUAGCGGCAAGUUAGGCCUUCACAAUGCGCUCUUGUUUCACCGGUACUGCUGGGCCUAAUAAUAGAUUUGCGUCACUUAACAGGAGAAACAUGAAGGAAAAUCUAGCCUUGCCAAGCGACUACAUGUUGUUUCCUUUUCACUUGGUGACACUGCAGAAUUCUUGUAUGGCGAUNNNNNNNNNNNNNNNNNNNNNNNNNNNNNNNNNNNNNNNNNNNNNNNNNNNNNNNNNNNNNNNNNNNNNNNNNNNNNNNNNNNNNNNNNNNNNNNNNNNNUGUUGGAUUCGUUAGAAUCACAUGGUGAUGUGAACUAGAUUAUUGACUCUAGUGCAAGUGGGAGACUGUUGGAAAUAUGCCCUAGAGGCAAUAAUAAAUUAGUUAUUCUUAUAUUUCUUUGUUCAUGAUAAUCGUUUAUUAUCCAUGCUAUAAUUGUAUUGAUUGGAAACACAAUACUUGUGUGGAUACAUAGACAAAACACUGUCCCUAGUAAGCCUCUAGUUGACUAGCUCGUUGAUCAAAGAUGACCAAGGUUUCCUGGCGAUAGGCAAGUGUUGUUACUUGAUAACGGGAUCACAUCAUUAGGAGAAUCAUGUGAUGGACUAGACCCAAACUAAUAGACGUAGCAUCUUGAUCGUGUCAUUUUGUUGCUACUGUUUUCUGCGUGUCAAGUAUUUGUUCCUAUGACCAUGAGAUCAUAUAACUCACUGACACCGGAGGAAUGCUUUGUGUGUAUCAAACGUCGCAAUGUAACUGGGUGACUAUAAAGAUGCUCUACAGGUAUCUCCGAAGGUGUUAGUUGAGUUAGUAUGGAUCGAGACAGGGAUUUGUCACUCCGUGUGACGGAGAGGUAUCUCGGGGCCCACUCGGUAAUACAACAUCACACACAAGCCUUGCAAGCAAUGUGACUUAGUGUAAGUUGCGCGAUCUUGUAUUACGGAACGAGUAAAGAGACUUGCCGGUAAACGAGAUUGAAAUAGGUAUGCGGAUACUGACGAUCGAAUCUCGGGCAAGUAACAUACCGAAGGACAAAGGGAAUGACAUACGGGAUUAUAUGAAUCCUUGGCACUGAGGUUCAAACGAUAAGAUCUUCGUAGAAUAUGUAGGAUCCAAUAUGGGCAUCCAGGUCCCGCUAUUGGAUAUUGACCGAGGAGUCUCUCGGGUCAUGUCUACAUUGUUCUCGAACCCGUAGGGUCUGCACACUUAAGGUUCGACGUUGUUUUAAGUUCUCGAACCCGCAGGAUCUGCAUACUUAAGGUUCGACGUUGUUUUAUGCGUAUUUGAGUUAUAUGGUUGGUUACCGAAUGUUGUUCGGAGUCCCGGAUGAGAUCACGGACGUCACGAGGGUUUCCGGAAUGGUCCGGAAACGAAGAUUGAUAUAUAGGAUGACCUCAUUUGAUUACCGGAAGGUUUUCGGAGUUACCGGGAAUGUACCGGGAAUGACGAAUGGGUUCCGGGAGUUAACCGGGGGGGGGGGGGANNNNNNNNNNNNNNNNNNNNNNNNNNNNNNNNNNNNNNNNNNGUUAACCGGGGGGGGGGGGCAACCCACCCCGGGGAAGCCCAUAGGCCUUGGGGGUGGCACACCAGCCCUUAGUGGGCUGGUGGGACAGCCCAAGAAGGCCCUAUGCGCCAUAGGAAGAAAAUCAAAGAGAAAAGAAAAAAAGGAGGAGGUGGGAAAGGAAAGAAGGACUCCACCCACCAAACCAAGUAGGACUCGGUUUGGGGGGGGAGACCUUCCCCCUUUGGCUCGGCCGACCCCCUUGGGGCUCCUUGAGCCCCAAGGCAAGGCCCCCCCUCUCCCACCUAUAUAUACGGAGGUUUUAGGGCUGAUUUGAGACGACUUUUCCACGGCAGCCCGACCACAUACCUCCACGGUUUUUCCUCUAGAUCGCGUUUCUGCGGAGCUCGGGCGGAGCCCUGCUGAGACAAGGUCAUCACCAACUCCCGGAGCGCCGUCGCGCUGCCGGAGAACUCUUCUACCUCUCCGUCNNNNNNNNNNNNNNNNNNNNNNNNNNNNNNNNNNNNNNNNNNNNNNNNNNNNNNNNNNNNNNNNNNNNNNNNNNNNNNNNNNNNNNNNNNNNNNNNNNNNGUUCAGCACACGUACAGCUCGACGAUGAUCUCGGCCUUCUUGAUCCAGCAAGAGAGACGGAGAGGUAGAAAACUUCUCCGGCAGCGUGACGGCGCUCCAGAGGUUGGUGAUGACCUUGUCUCAGAAGGGCUCCACCCGAGCUCCGCAGAAACGCGAUCUAGAGGAAAAACCGUGGAGGUAUGUGGUCGGGCUGUCGUGGAAAAGUCGUCUCAAAUCAGCCCUAAAACCUCUGUAUAUAUAGGUGGGAGAGGGGGGGCCUUGCCUUGGGGCUCAAGGAGCCCCAAGGGGGUCGGCCGAGCCAAAGGGGGAAGGUCUCCCCCCCCAAACCGAGUCCUACUUGGUUUGGUGGGUGGAGUCCUUCUUUCCUUUCCCACCUCCUCCUUUUUUUCUUUUCUCUUUGAUUUUCUUCCUAUGGCGCAUAGGGCCUUCUUGGGCUGUCCCACCAGCCCACUAAGGGCUGGUGUGCCACCCCCAAGGCCUAUGGGCUUCCCCGGGGUGGGUUGCCCCCCCCCCCCGGUUAACUCCCGGAACCCAUUCGUCAUUCCCGGUACAUUCCCGGUAACUCCGAAAACCUUCCGGUAAUCAAAUGAGGUCAUCCUAUAUAUCAAUCUUCGUUUCCGGACCAUUCCGGAAACCCUCGUGACGUCCGUGAUCUCAUCCGGGACUCCGAACAACAUUCUAUAACCAACCAUAUAACUCAAAUACGCAUAAAACAACGUCGAACCUUAAGUGUGCAGACCCUACGGGUUCGAGAACAAUGUAGACAUGACCCGAGAGACUCCUCGGUCAAUAUCCAAUAGCGGGACCUGGAUGCCCAUAUUGGAUCCUACAUAUUCUACGAAGAUCUUAUCGUUUGAACNNNNNNNNNNNNNNNNNNNNNNNNNNNNNNNNNNNNNNNNNNNNNNNNNNNNNNNNNNNNNNNNNNNNNNNNNNNNNNNNNNNNNNNNNNNNNNNNNNNNCAAUUAUAGCAUGAACAAUAGACGAUUAUCAUGAACAAGGAAAUAUGGUAAUAACCAUUUUACUAUUGCCUCUAGGGCAUAUUUCCAACAGUCUCCCACUUGCACUAGAUUCAAUAAUCUAGUUACAUUGUGAUGUAUCGAACACCCAUAGCAUUAUGGUGUUGAUCAUGUUUUGCUCGAGGAAGAGGUUUAGUCAACGGGUCUGCAACAUUCAGAUCCGUGUGUACUUUACAAAUAUCUAUUACUCCACUCUGGACAUGGUCCUGGAUGGAGUUGUAGCGGCGUUUGAUGUGCUUGGUCUUCCGGUGAAAAAUGGGCUCCUUGGCUAUGGCAAUGGCCCCAGUGUUAUCACAGAAGAGUGUCAUUGGACCCGACGCACUUGGAACCACUCCAAGGUCGGUGAUGAGCUCAUUCAUCCAAAUUCCUUCAUGAGCCACUUCUGAAGCAGCUAUGUACUCCGCUUCACAUGUAGAUGCUGCCACGACUUCUUGCUUGCUGCUGCACCAGCUCACUACCCCACCAUUCAAAACAUACAUGUAUCCGAUCUGUGACUUAGAGUCAUCCGGAUCUGUGUCGAAGCUAGCAUUGACGUAACCCUUUACGAUGAGAUCUUCAUCACCUCCAUAAACGAGAAACAUCUCCUUAGUCCUCUUCAAGUACUUAAGGAUAUUCUAGACCGUUGUCCAGUGUUCCAGACCGGGAUCACUUUGGUACCUCCCUACCAAACUUAUGGCAAGGUUUAUAUCACGUAUGGUACACAACAUGGCAUAAAUUAGAGAGCCUACGGCUGAAGCAUAGGGGACAGUACUCAUCUUCUCUCUAUCUGCUGCCGUGGUCGGUGACUGAGUCUUACUCAAUCUCAUACCUUGCAAAACUGGCAAGAACCCCUUCUUUGAGUUUUCCAUAUUGAACUUGUUCAAUAUCUUGUCAAGGUAUGUACUUUGCGAAAGACCUAUGAGGCGUCUCGAUCUAUCUCUAUAGAUCUUGAUGCCUAAUAUGUAUGCAGCUUCUCCAAGGUCCUUCAUCGAAAAACUCUUGUUCAAAUAGGUCUUUAUGCUCUCCAACAUCUCUAUAUUAUUCCCCAUCAAUAAUAUGUCAUCCACAUACAGCAUGAGGAAAGCUACAGAGCUCCCACUCACUUUCUUGUACAAACAGACUUCUCCAUAAACCUGUAUGAACCCAAACGCUUUAAUCACCUUAUUAAAGCGAAUGUUCCAACUCCCAGAUGCUUGCACCAGCCCAUAGAUGGAGCGCUGGAGCUUGCACACUUUGUUAGCACCCUUAGGGUCGACAAAACCUUCUGGUUGCAUCAUAUACAACUCUUCCUUAAGAUUCCCGUUAAGGAACGCUGUUUUGACGUCCAUUUGCCAAAUUUCAUAAUCAUGAAAAGCGGCAAUUGCUAGCAUGAUUCGGACUGACUUCAGCUUCGCUACGUGAGAGAAAGUCUCUUCGUAGUCAACUCCUUGAAUUUGUCGAAAAUCCUUUGCGACAAGUCGAGCUUUAUAAACGGUUACAUUACCAUUUGCAUGAGUCUUCUUCUUGAAGAUCCAUUUAUUUUCUAUGGCUCGCCGAUCAUCGGGCAAGUCCACCAAAGUCCAUACUUUGUUCUCAUACAUGGAUCCUAUCUCGUAUUUCGUAGCCUCAAGCCAUUUGUUGGAAUCCGGGCCCCCCAUUGCUUCUUCAUAGUUCAAAGGUUCACCAUUGUCUAACAAUAUGAUUUCCAUCACAGGGUUGCCGUACCACUCUGGUGCGCAGCGUACCGUUGUCGACCUUCGUGGUUCAGUAGCAACUUGAUCCGAAGCUUCAUGAUCAUCAUUAACUUCCUCUUCAGUUGGUGUAGGCACCACAGGAACAAUUUCCCGUGCUACGCUACUCUCCGGUUCGAGAGGGGGUGUAAUUACCUCAUCAAGUUCUACUUUCCUCCCACUUACUUCUUUCGAGAGAAACUCUUUCUCUAGAAAGGAUCCGUUCUUUGCAAUGAAUACAUAAUAGUUUCCUUAGGGUAUCCAAUGAAUACAUAUUUCUCCGCUUUGGGUUCGAGCUUCUCUGGUUGAAGUUUCUUCACAUAAGCAUCGCAGCCCCAAACUUUAAGAAAUGACAACUUAGGUUUCUUGCCAAACCAUAGUUCAUAUGGUGUUGUCUCAACGGAUUUAGACGGUGCCCUAUUUAAAGUGAAUGCUGCAGUUUCUAAUGCGUAUCCCCAAAAUGACGGCGGUAAGUCGGUAAGAGACAUCAUAGAUCGUACCAUAUCUAAUAAAGUGUGAUUACGACGUUCAGACACUCUGUUGCGUUGCGGUGUGCCAGGCGACGUCAGUUGUGAAACGUUUCCACACUUCCUUAGGUGUGUGCCAAACUCGUGACUCAAAUAUUCUCCUCCACGAUCAGAUCAUAGACACUUAUUUUUUCUAUCACGUUGAUUUUCAACCUCACUCUGAAAUUCCUUGAACUUUUCAAACGUCUCAGAUUUGUGCUUCAUCAAGUAGAUAUACCCAUACCUACUCAUAUCAUCGAUGAGAGUGAGAACAUAACGGUAGCCACCGCGAGCUUCAACGUUCAUUGGACCACACACAUCAGUACGUAUUAUUUCCAAUAAGUCGGUCGCUCUCUCCAUUAUUCCUAAGAAUGGUGUCUUAGUCAUCUUGCCCAUGAGGCACGGCUCGCAUGUGUCAAAUGAUUCAAAGUCAAGAGACUCCAAUAGUCCAUCAGUAUCGAGCUUCUUCAUGCACUUAACACCGAUAUGACCAAGGCGGCAGUGCCACAAGUAUGUGGGGCUAUCAUUAUCAACUUUACAUCUUUUGGUACUCACACUAUGAAUAUGUGUAACAUCACGAUCUAGAUUCAUCAAGAAUAAACCAUUCACCAGCGGAGCAUGACCAUAAAACAUAUCACUCAUAUAAAUAGAACAACCAUUAUUCUCUGACUUAAAUGAGUAGCCGUCUUGCAUUAAGCAAGACCCUGAUACAAUAUUCAUGCUCAAAGCUAGUACUAAAUAACAAUUAUUAAGGUUUAAAACUAAUCUCGACGGUAGAUGUAGAGGCAGCGUGCCGAGGGCGAUCCCAUCGACCUUGGAUCCAUUCCCGACGUGCACCAUCACCUCGUCCUUGGCUAGUCUCCGCUUAUUCCGCAGGUCCUACUUUGAGUUGCAAAUUUGAGCAACAACACCGGUAUCAAAUACCUAGGAGCUACUACGAGCGCUGGUAAGAUACACAUCAAUAACAUGUAUAUCACAUAUACCUUUAACGUUGCCGGCCUUCUUGUCCGCUAAGUACUUGGGGCAGUUCCGCUUCUAGUGACCUUCUCCCUUGCAAUAGAAGCACUCAGUCUCAGUCUUGGGUCCAUUCUUUUUCUUCUAACCAGGCAUCUUGCUUACCGGGCGCGGCAACGGCUUUGCCGUCUGUCUUGAAGUUCUUCUUACCCUUGCCUUUCUUGAAACUGGUGGUCUUAUUGACCAUCAACACUUGAUGCUCUUUCUUGAUUUCUACUUCUGCAGACUUGAGCAUCGAGUACAACUCGGGGAUGGUCUUUUCCAUCCCUUGCAUGUUGUAGUUCAGCACAAAACCUUUGUAGCUUGGUGGGAGAGACUGGAAGAUUCUUUCAAUUAUAGCGUCAUCCGGAAGUUCGACUCCAAGUGAAGUUAGACGACCGUGUAACCCACACAUUUUGAGUAUGUGCUCAUUGACAGAACUGUUCUCCUUCAUCUUACAGCUAAAGAACUUGUCAGAGACUUCAUAUCUCUCGACACGGGCAUGAGCUUGAAGAACUAGUUUCAGCUCUUGGAACAUCUCAUAUGCACCGUGUUGCUCAAAACGCCUUUGGAGCCCCUUUUCCAAACUGUAUAACAUGCCACACCUAACCGCAGAGUAGUCAUCACUCCGCGUUUGCCAGACGUUCAGAAUGUCCUGGGCUGCUGUAGGAGCAGGAGGGUCACCUAGCGGCGCAUGAAGGACAUAAGCCUUUUUAGCUGCUUCAAGAAUGAGCUUCAAGUUGCGGACCGAGUCCGCAUAGUUGCUACCAUCAUCUUUCAGCUUGUUUGUCUCUAGGAAUGCGUUGAAAUUGAGGUUGACGUUGGCCAUCUACAAUAUUUAUAAAGACAACUUUUAGACUAAUUUCAUGACAAUUAAGUUCAUUUAAUCAAAUUAAUUAUGAACUCCCACUUAAAUCGACAUCCCUCUAGUCAUCUAAGUGAUACAUGAUCCAUGUUGACUAACCCGUGUUCGAUCAUCACGUGAGACGGACUAAUCGUCAUGGUGAGCAACUUCAUGCUGAUUGUAUUCAACCAUACGACUCAUGUUCGACCUUUCGGUCUCUUGUAUUCGAGGUCAUGUCUAUACAUGCUAAGCUCGUCGAGUCAACCUAAGUGUUUCGCGUGUGUAAAUCUGGCUUACACCCGUUGUAUGCGAACGUUAGAAUCUAUCACACCCGAUCAUCACAUGGUGCUUCGAGACAACGAUCCUUCGCAACGGUGCACACUUAGGGGAAUACGUUCUCGAAAUUUUUAAGAGGGGUCAUCUUAUUAUUCUACCGUCGUUCUAAGCAAUAAGAUGAAAAACAUGAUAAACAUCACAUGCAAUCAUAUAGUGACAUGAUAUGGCCAUUAUCAUCUUUUCUCUUUCGAUCUCCAUCUUCAGGCAUCGCAUGAUCAUCAUUGUCACCGGUGUGACACCAUGAUCUCCAUCAUCAUGUUCUCCAUCAUCGUGUCUCCGUGAAGUCGUCACGCGAAAUACUACUACCACUACUACUAUAGCUAUCCGUUAGCAAUGAAGUAAAAGUAGUAAACACAUGGAGUUCCAUCUCAUACAAUAAAUUAAGACAACUCCUAUGGCUCCUGCCGGUUGUCAUACUCAUCAACAUGCAAGUCGUGAAUCCUAUUACAAUAACAUGAUCAUCUCAUACAUCACACAUGCAACAUCACAACUUUGGCCAUAUCACAUCACAUGUCAAACCCUGCAAAAACAAGUUAGACAUCCUCUAAUUGUUGUUGCAAGUUUAACGUGGCUGAUUUGGGUUUCUAGCAAGAACGCCUUCUUACCUACGUGACAGCCACAACGAUGAUAUGCCAAAGAUAUUUACCCUUCAUAAGGACCCUUUUCAUCAAAUCCAAUCCGACUAGAGUGGGAGAGACAGACACCCGCUAGCCACCUUUAUGCACGGUGUGCAUGUCUGUCGGUGGAACCUGUCUCACGUAAGCAUACCUGUAAGGUCGGUCCGGGCCACUUCAUCCCACAAUACCGUCGGAAAAGAAUAAGACUAGUAGUGGCAAGCAAUUGACAAAUCAUCGCCCACAACCUUUUGUGUUCUACUCGUGCAUAGAAUCUACGAAUAGAAAACCUGGCUCGGAUGCCACUGUUGGGUAACGUAGCAUAAAUUCAAAAUUUUCCUAUGCCAUAUUCAGAUCUUCCUAUGGAGAGACCAGCAACAAGAGAGGGGUGAGUGCAUCUUCAUACCUUUGAAGAUCGCUAAGCGGAAGCGUUGCAAGAACGCGGUUGAUGGAGUCGUACUCGCGGUGAUUCAGAUCGCGGUGUGAUUUCGAUCUAGUGCCGAACCACGGCACCUUCGCGUUCAACACACGUGCAACCCGGUGACGUCUCCAGCACCUUGAUCCAGCAAGGAGGAGGGAGAGGUGAUACAUCUCCAACGUAUCUAUAAUUUUUGAUGGUUUCAUGCAAUUAUCUUGUCAAACUUUGGAUGUUUUGCAUGCCUUUUUUUGGGACUAACUUAUUAAAUCAGUGCCAAGUGCCAGUUCAUGUUUUUCCAUGUUUUUGACCCCUUUCAGAGGAGAUUUUGAAAUGAAGUCCAAACGGAAGAAAAUCCCCAAAAAGAUUAUUUCUCGAACGAAAGAAGAUCGGAGGACUUGGGAACCAAGCCAGAAGAGCGCCAGGGGCCCCACAAGCCCCCACCCCACAGCCAGGGGGCUGCGCCAUGCAGGCUUGUGGGCACCCUGGAGGUCCCCUGACCUAGAUCUUGUGCCUAUAUAUUCCCAAAUAUUCCCAAAAAAAUCAAGAGAGGAUCGCAAUCGCUUUUCAGCCGCCGCAAGCUUCUGUCUCCGCAAGGUCCCAUCUGGGGCACGUCCUCGUGCCCUGCCGGAGGGAGGAUUAGGACAUGGAAGGCUUCUCCAUCAACACCAUGACCUCUCCGAUGAUGCGUGAGUAGUUCACCAUAGACCUACGGGUCCAUAGCUAGUAACUAGAUGGCUUCUUCUCUAUCUUGGAUCUUCAAUACAAAGUUCUCCAUGAUCUUCAUGGAGAUCUAUCCGAUGUAAUCUUCUUUUGCGGUGUGUUUGUCGAUAUCCGAUGAAUUGUGGAUUUAUGAUCAGAUUAUCUAUGAAUCUUAUUUGAGUUUCUUCUGAUCUCUCUUAUGCAUGAUUUCAUAUCCUUGUAAUUCUCUUCGAGUUGUGGGUUUAGUUUGGCCAACUAGAUCUAUGAUUCUUGCAAUGGGAGAAAUGCUUGGUUUUGGGUUCAUACCGUGCGGUGACCUCACCCAGUGACAGAAGGGGUAGCGAGGCACGCAUCAUGUUGUUGCCAUCAAGGGUUAAAAGAUGGGAUUUUCAUCAUUGGUUUGAGAUUAUCCCUCUACAUCAUGUCAUCUUGCUUAAGGCGUUACUCUAUUCGUCAUGAACUCAAUACACUAGAUGCAUGUUGGAUAGCGGUCGAUGUGUGGAGUAAUAGUAGUAGAUGCAGAAAGUAUCGGUCUACUUGUCCCGGACGUGAUGCAUAUAUGUAUGAUCAUUGCCUUAGAUACCGUCAUGACUUUGCGCGGUUCUAUCAAUUGCUCGACAGUAAUUUGUUCACCCACCGUAAUACUUGCUAUUUUGAGAGAAGCCUCUAGUGAACACUAUGGCCCCCAGCGUCUACUUCACACCAUAUUUUCAGCCUUACACUUUUUACUUUGUUGCACUUUCCGCCUUCAGAUCUCACUUUGCAAACAAUCUUGAAGGGAUUGACAACCACUUUGAAGCGUUGGGUGCAAGCUUGUUUGUGUUUGCGCAGGUAAUCUGGACUUGACGAGACCCUCCUUCUGGAUCGAUACCUUGGUUCUCAAACUGAGGGAAAUACUUACUGCUCCCGUGCUGCAUCACCCUUUCCUCUUCAAGGGAAAAACCAACACAAGCCCAAUCUGUGUCAACGUGUCAAUUUCUGGCGCUGUUGUUUGAGAAGUAGCAGAAGGAUUUUUGGCGCCGUUGCCGGGGAGGAAGAUCAAGUCAAGAACUCAUCCAAGUAAGUGUCGCAAACUCAUCUCUUGCAUUUACUUUGUUUGCCAGUUGCCUCUCGUUUUCCUCUCCCCCACUUCACCAAUUCGCCUUUUUUGUUCGCCCUUUUCGUUCGCCCUUUUUCUCGCCUGCUUUUGUUUGCUUGCGUGCUUGCUUGUCUGCUAAAGCCUGAAUGGCCCCACUAAGGGAUUUUGAUGCUCACUUUGCGAAGUUAGAAGAGAUUGAAACUAGUGUCAAAGGCUUCAUGUCUACACAGUUUGAAUAUAAUAGUUACUUCCGUAGAGAGCUGAAGGAGCAAAAUUCUUUUCUGGCUUUUAUGAGUAGAGAAGUUGAUGAUAUGGCCAAAGAAUUCCUUGCGUUGAAUUCCUAGUUCGCUCAUCUUGAAAAGCUAGUGGGCCAGAUUUCUGAUAAGCAAGCUACUUUAGUCAAUAAAAUGGCUGCUAAACCCGAAACUCGUGAUGAGAAUCACGAAGAUCUUAAAGUGCUUGGUGUGACUCCCAUUGAAUCUUUGUUUUCUUGUGUCAAACCUAAUGAUUAUGGGGCUGGAUAUGAAUCCACUUUGGUUGAAAAGUGCCCCAAUGAUUCGGAGUCCAUCUACCUUGAUGCUAAAAGCAUUAAAAGUGGAGUAGAAGACGUUAAAACUUUGAGUAGUAAUGAAAUUACUACCGUGGAUUUCAAGGAAUUCAAUUAUGAUAGUUGCUCCUUGAUUGAAUGCAUUUUUUUGAUGCAAUCCAUGUUGAACUCUCCACACGCUUAUAGCCAAAACAAAGCCUUUACCGAUCAUAUCGUCGAAGCUAUGAUAAAAGCUCUUGAAGAGAAACUUGAAUUGGAAGUCUCUAUCCCUAGAAAGCUUAAUGAUGAGUGGGAACCUACCAUCAAAAUCAAAAUCAAAAACUAUGAGUGCAAUGCUUUGUGUGAUUUGGGUGCUAGUGUUUCUGCAAUUCCAAAGUCUUUAUGUGAUGUUCUCGGUUUCAAUGAGAUUGAAGAGUGUUCUCUUAAUUUGUGUCUUGCUGAUUCUACUGUCAAGGAACCCAUGGGAAGGAUCAAUGAUGUUCUUAUUAUUGCAAAUAGGAACUAUGUACCCGUGGAUUUCAUUGUGCUUGACAUUGAUUGCAAUCCUACAUGCCCUAUUAUUCUUGGUAGACCUUUCGUAAGGACUAUUGGUGCUAUCAUCGAUAUGAAGGAAGGGAAUAUUAGAUUUCAAUUUCCUUUAAGGAAGGGCAUGGAACACUUUCCUAGAAAGAAAAUAAGAUUGCCUUAUGAAUCCAUGAUGAGGGCCACUUAUGGUUUGAGCACCAAAGACGACUAUACGUGAUUCUAUCGCUUCUAUGCCUAGCUAAGGGCGUUAAACAAUACCGCUUGUUGGGAGGCAACCCAAUGAAUUUAUCCUUUUCUUUCUGUUUUGUUGCGUCCACACUUUCAUAAUUCUGUUGUGAUUGUGUUUUUUGUGUUUCUUUUUUUGUUUGAGCCAAGCAAAACCUUUAUGACUAGUCUUGGUAAUGGUUGUUUGAUCCUACUGAAAAAAAACAGAAACUUUUCGCUCACGAGAUGAUUUUUCAUUUUUAUUCAGAAAGGGAUUUUGAGUUGAUUCUUUUUGAUGCUGAUUGAUAUGCUUUUUCCCCAGACCGUCGUAAUUUUUUAGAUGUUUUGAGGUACCAGAAGUAUACGAAGUAUACAGAUUGCUACAGACUGGUCUGUUUUUGACAGAUUCUGUUUUUUUGUUGGGUUGGUUGCUUGUUUUGAUGAAAUUAUGGUUAGUAUCGGGGGUUACUAGCCAUGGGAAAGUGAGAAUACAGUAGCUCAUCAUCAAUAUAGAUAGAAUUGAAGUUUGCUACAGUAAGAAAAGAAGGGGUAGUUUGUUUUCUUGUACUAAUACUAUCACAAGUUUAUGUUUAAGUUUUGUGUUGUGAAGUUUUCAAGUUUUGGGUGAUGUUCUCAUGGACAAAGAGAUAAGGAGUGGAAAGAUCUCAAGCUUGGGUAUGCCCAAGGCACCCCAAGCCAAAUUCAAGGACACCAAAAAGCCUAAGCUUGGGGAUGCGCCGGGAAGGCAUCCCCUCUUUCGUCUUCAAUCCAUCGGUAACAUUACUUGGAGCUAUAUUUUUAUUCACCACAUGAUAUGUGUUUUGCUUGGAGCGUCUUGUAUCUUAGGAGUCUUUUCUUUUUGUUGUGUCACAAUCAUCAUUGCUGCACACCUUUUUGAGGGAGAGAUGCACUCAUUGUGAUUUUUCUAGAAUGCUCAAUGUGCUUCACUUAUAUCUUUUAAGCUAGAUACUUUUGCUCUUGUGCUUCACUUAUAUCUUUAGAGCACGGCGGUGCAUGAUUUGGUAGUUGGCUUAUGCUAUGAAAGUAGUCCCAUGUGCUAGGUACCCAAAGAGGAUGCAAAAACCUCCAUCUUCAUGUGCAUUGAGUAGAAAGAGAAGUUUCGAUUCCUCUCAAUUAGUUUUGAGACAUGGAUUCGGUAAUAUUAAGAGUUAUGUUAGUAGGCUGUUGUGAAUCUAGAGAUAGUUUUGUUGGAGUUAGUGAUUCCCGUAGCAUGCACGUAUGGUGAACCACUAUGUUAGGAAGUCGGAGCAUAAUUGAUCUAUUGAUUGUCAUCCUUUGUGUUGAGGUCGGGAUAGUGCGAUGGUUUACACCUACCAACCCUUCCCCUCGGAGUAUGCGUUUAGCACUUUGUUUCGAUUACUAACAAAAACUUUUGCAACAAGUAUGUGAGUUCUUUAUGACUAAUGUUGAGUCCAUGGUAUAGAUGCACUUCCACCUUCCACCAUUGCUAGCCUCUCUAGCGCCGCGCAAUUCUCGUCGGUGCACAAACCCACCAAAUUCCUUCCUCAAAACAGCCACCAUACCUACCUACUAUGGCAUUUUCAUAGCCAUUCCGAGAUAUAUUGCCAUGCAACUACCACCGUUCCAUCUCAUGACUUGUGGCAUCACUCUCAUAUUGCCAUUGCAUGAUCAUACUAGAUCGUUGCACAUCCCGGUACACUGCCGGAGGCAUUUCCUAUGGAGUCAUCAUCAUUGUGAUCUUCGAGCUGUGAGUAAAUAAAAGUGUGAUGAUCAUCAUUAUUAGAGCAUUGUCCCAUGUGAGGAAAUAAAAAAAGAGGCCAAAGAGCCAAAAAAAGAGAGGCCUAAGAGCCCAAAUAAAAAAAGGAGAGCAAAAGAGAGAAGGGACAAUGCUACUAUCUUUCUCCACACUUGUGCUUCAUGAUAGCACCAUGUUCUUCAUGAUUGAGAGAUUCUUGCUUUGUCACUACCAUAUUCUAGUGGGAAUCUUCACUAUAUAACUUGGCUUGUAUAUUCCAAUGAUGGGCUUCCUCAAAAUUGCCCUAGGUCUUCGUGAGCAAGCAAGUUGGAUGCACACCCACUAGUUUCCCUUUUGAGCUUUCAUAUACCUAUAGCUCUAGUGCAUAUCUUGUAUGGCAAUCCCUACUCAUUCACAUUAUUAUCUAUUAAUGGGCAUCUCCAUAGCCUAUUGAUGCGCCGAGUCAAUGUGACCAUCUCCUCCCUUUUUGUCUCACAACCACCACCGCACUCUAUUUCACCUAUAGUGCUAUAUCCAUGGCUCACGCUCAUGUAUUGUGUGAUAGUUAUAAAAAGUUUGAGAAAGUAAGAGUGCGAAAACAAUUACUUGGCCACUUCCGGGGUUGUGCAUGAUUUACAUUAGUUGUGUGAGGAUGAUGGAGCAUAGCCUGACUAUAUGAUUUUGUAGGGAUAACUUUCUUUGGCCUUGUUAUUUCGAAAGUUCAUGAUUACUUUGCUAGUUUGCUUGAAGUAUUACUGUUUUCAUGUCAAUAGCAAACUAUUGUUUUGAAUCUUACGGAUCUGAACAUUCAUGCCACAUGAAAGAAGUUGCAAAGGACAACUAUGCUAGGUAGCAUUCCACAUCAAAAAUUCACUCUCUAUCACUUUCCUACUCGAGGACGAGCAGGAGUUAAGCUUUGGGAUGCUUGAUACGUCUCCAUCGUAUCUAUAAUUUUUGAUGGUUUCAUGCUAUUAUCUUGUCAAACUUUGGAUGUUUUGCAUGCCUUUUAUUUAUUUUUGGGACUAACUUAUUAACUCAGUGCCAAGUGCCAGUUCCUGUGUUUUUCCAUGUUUUUGACCCCUUUCAAAGGAGAUUUUGAACGGAGUCCAAACGGAAGAAAAUCCCCGAAAAUAUUUUUUCUGAAAUGGAAGAAGAUCGGAGGACUUGGGAGCCCAGCCAGAAGAGCCCCAGGGUCCCCACAAGCCCCCACCCCGCGGCCAGGGGGGCCGCGCCAUGCAGGCUUGUGGGCCCCCUAGAGGUCCCCUGACCUAGAUCUUGCGCCUAUAUAUUCCCAAAUAUUCCCAAAAAAAUCAAGAGAGGUCGCAAUCGCUUUUCCGCCGCCGCAAGGUUCUUUCUCCGCAAGAUCCCAUCUGGGGCACGUCCUAGUGCCCUGCCGGAGGGGGGAUUCAGACAUGGAAGGCUUCUCCAUUAACACCAUGACCUCUCCAAUGAUGCGUGAGUAGUUCACCAUAGACAUACGGGUCCAUAGGUAGUAACUAGAUGGCUUCUUCUAUCUCUUGGAUCUUCAAUACAAAGUUCUCCAUGAUCUUCAUGGAGAUCUAUUCGAUGUAAUCUUCUUUUGCGGUGUGUUUGUCAAGAUCCGAUGAAUUGUGGAUUUAUGAUCAGAUUAUCUAUGAAUCGUAUUUGAGUUUCUUCUGAUCUCUCUUAUGCAUGAUUUCAUAUCCUUGUAAUUCUCUUCGAGUUGUGGGUUUUGUUUGGCCAACUAGAUCUAUGAUUCUUGCAAUGGGAGAAGUGCCUGGUUUUGGAUUCAUACAGUGCGGUGACCUCACCCAGUGACAGAAGGGGUAGCGAGGCACGCAUCGUGUUGUUGCCAUCAACGGUAAAAAGAUGGGGUUUUCAUCAUUGGUUUGAGAUUAUCCCUCUACAUCAUGUCAUCUUGCUUAAGGCGUUACUCUGUUCGUCAUGAACUCAAUACACUAGAUGCAUGUUGGAUAGCGGUCGCUGUGUGGAGUAAUAGUAGUAGAUGCAGAAAGUAUCGGUCUACUUGUCUCAGACGUGAUGCCUAUAUGUAUGAUCAUUGCCUUAGAUAUUGUCAUGACUUUGCGCGGUUCUAUCAAUUGCUCGACUGUAAUUUGUUCACUCACCGUAAUACUUGCUAUUCUGAGAGAAGCCUCUAGUGAACACUAUGGCCCCGAGGGUCUACUUCACACCAUAUUUUCAGCCUUACACUUUUUACUUCGUUGCACUUUCCGCCUUCAGAUCCCACUUUCCAAACAAUCUUGAAGGUAUUGACAACCCCUUUGAAGCGUUGGAUGCAAGCUUGUUUGUGUUUGCGCAGGUACUCUGGACUUGAAGAGACCCUCCUUCUGGAUCGAUACCUUGGUUCUCAAACUGAGGGAAAUACUUACUGCUCCUGUGCUGCAUCACCCUUUCCUCUUGAAGGGAAAAACCAACGCAAGCCCAAUCUCCGUCAACGUGUCAAUUUCUGGCGAUGUUGUUUGAGAAGUAGCAAGAGGUUAGGGAAGAUCUCCGGCAGCACGCCGGCAUGGUGUCGAUGGAGAGACGAGGUCUCCUGGCAGGGCUUCACCAAGCACCGUGGGAGAGGAGGAAGGAGGGAAGUAGGUCUGCGCCGAGGGAGAUUGAAAACCGUGUGCAAAACAGCCCCAAAACCCUCUCUAUAUAUAGGAGGAGGGGAGGGGGUGUGCCAUCCCUAGGGUUCCCACCCUAGGUGGUGCUGCAGCCCCCCCAGAUGAGAGGUGCGGUGACCAGGGCAGGGAGAGGGGGUGGCGCACCCCUAGGUGGGCCUUAGGCCCACCAACGCCUAGGGUUUGCCCCCUCUCUACCUCCUGCGCCUUGGGCCUCUAAGUGGGAGGCGCACCAGCCCACUUUGGGUUGGUUGCCCUCCACCUUUUGGUCCAUGCUACCUCUUGGGGCUGGUGGCCCCUCGCGGUGGACCCCCGGAACAUUUCCGGUGGUCCCGUGGUCCCGGUACGCUACCGGUGACGCCCGAAACAUUUCCGGUGUCCAAAACCACCCAUCCUAUAUAUCAAUCUUUACCUCCGGACAGUUCUGGAGCUCCUCGUGAUGUACGAGAUCUCAUCCGGGACUUGGUACAUCCUUUUGUAAUCUCGUAUAACAAUUCCCUAUAACCCUAGCGUUAUCGAACCUUAAGUGUGUAGACCCUACGGGUUCGGGAAGCAUGCAGACAUGACCGAGACACUCUCCGUCCAAUAACCAUCAGCGGGAUCUGGAUACCCAUGGUGGAUCCCACAUGCUCCACAAUGAUCUCAUCGGAUGAACCACGAUGUCAAGGAUUCAACCAACCCCGUAUACAAUUCCCUUUGUCUGUCGGUAUAUAACUUGCCCGAGAUUCGAUCGUCGGUAUACCUAUACCUUGUUCAAUCUCGUUAUCGGUAAGUCCCUUUACUCGUUCCGUAGCACGUCAUCCUGUGACUAACUCCUUAGUCACAUUGAGCUCAUGAUUAUGUUCUACUGAGUGGGCCCAGAGAUACCUCUCCGUCACACGGAGUGACAAAUCCCGAUCUCGAUUCGUACCAACCCAACAGAUCCUUUCGGAGGUACCCGUAGUGCACCUUUAUAGUCACCCACUUACGUUGUGACGUUUGAUACACCAAAAGCACUCCUACGGUAUCCGGGAGUUGCACAAUCUCACGGUCGAAGGAAAAGAUACUUGACAUUAGAAAAGCAUUAGCAUACGAACAAUACGAUCUAGUGCUAGGCUUAGGAUUGGGUCUUGUCCAUCACAUCAUUCUCCCAAUGAUGUGAUCCCGUUAUCAAUGACAUCUAAUGCCCAUGAUCAGGAAACCAUGAUCAUCUAUUGAUCAACGAGCUAGCCAACUAGAGGCUUGUUAGGGACACAUCAUGAUCCAUUUAUUCACACAUGUAUUACUGUUUCCUGUUAAUACAAUUAUAGCAUGAACAAGGAAAUAUGAUAAUAACCAUUUUAUUAUUGCUUCUAGGACAUAUUUCCAAGAGUGAGCAACUGGUGGCCCCCCUCCGAUGGCUUUUCGCUCCAACAUUUUUUAUUUAUUUCAUAAAAAAACUUCAUAAAGUUUCUUUGAGUUUCGAGAACUUUUAUUUCUGCACAAAAACAACAUCAUGGCAGUUCUGCUAAAAACAACAUCGGUCCGAAUUAGUUUCAUUCAAAUCAUGCAAAUUUCAGUCUAAAACAAAAACAAAAGUGUUUGAAAAAGUAGAUACAUUGCAGACGUAUCACUGAUUCUAACAAAUUCAGUGCUUACAAGUAUGUUGAUAUUCCUACUAUCUUCUUUUGAAUUACCCGUCGGGGAACGGAAAAUGUUAGAUUUAAUCGAUCGCAUGUUCUAUGGCAAUGCUAUGAGAUCAAAAUCAAGUAUAGGUUGGGCAAAUGAGACAUAGUUUGUAGGCCAAAAGACCAAGGGGGUCUAGGGAUUGCGAACCUCGAUGCAAAAAAACCAAGUGCAUGCUUAGUAAAUGGCUAUACAAGUUAUUUGUUGAGAACGAGGGUAUGUUGGUCCAACUGUUUCAUAGUAACUACUUGUAAUCCAGGACCCUAUCAUAGGUUAUGACACAACCGAAUGAUUCCUCAUUCCAGAAGGGGCUAAUGAGAUGAAAGUAGCCUUUUUCAAAAGAACAAAACGUUGGGAAUGGAACCACGACUGGCUAGGAAAGCGCCACUAGCCACACAAUAUCCAACCUUCUACAACAUCAUGCAACGUAAGGAAGCUUACAUAAGUACAAUAUUAGAGUCGGUGGCUUUAAACAUUUAGUUCCUAAGGUCCUUGGUCGGGGACAGAUGGGAUAUAUGGCUACAUCUUGUCCGCUGUUGAUGGAAUUUAACUUAUCUGAUGAGACUGAUAAACUUCAAUGGAAACUCUGAGUGUCUUGGGUUUUCUUGGUGAAGUCCAUGUAUCCACAUUAAGGGCUCCUUUGAUUCAAAGGAAUUCUAUAGGAUUUUUAGAGAAUUGAAAUCCUUAGGAAUUUUUCCUACAUUGGUCCUUUGAUUCAUAGGAUUGGAUCCAUAGGAUUUUUUCCUAUGAAAUCUUUUGUACUACAUUUCAUAGGAAAUCUAACAUCCAUUUCAACCUCUUUUUACAAUUUCUUUGUUUUUCCUAUGGCAUCAAACACUCCUUGUUAAUCAUAUAGGAUUCAAAUGGACAUGCCUCUCCAACCCUCUACUUUUCCUAUUCCCGUGUUUUCAAAAUCCCGCGAAUCAAAGAGGCCCUAAGUUUACUCUGAUUCAACCCCGAAAUCACUUCAUUUUUGAAAGAUUAAAGUGCUUCUAAGAAUAAAAAUAUUUAUGCAGUUUGUCCACGAGGAAGUGAUUUUGGCUAGAAACAACUUGGCAAAGCGCAGAUAACAAGUAAUAGACGAUGCUGGUUUCGUGAUCAAGAUGAAAAUAUCGAACAUCUUUUCCUCAAAUGCCGACUAGCCAAGCUUUGUUCUAAUAUUCAGGACCGGCCUUGAGAGCAGCUGCCAUUGACUGGGAAAAGUUGGGGGCUAAAAUCUCCGCCCGUCAUCGUUCACCAUAAACUUGAGGAGAAAAGGAGAGAAACGCUGGAGCCAAAGGCGGUGCUACUCGUAGUUUUUGUAUUAUAAUCAACAUCAUAAAAAUGAGUUCGCUGCACUAAUAUGCUUUUGUUUCACUAUAAAUUUUAUCUACAUAUAUAAAAAUGAGGCCGGGCAGUGAAAAUCUCUCCCAUUUUUAUGAGUGAAAAUCUCUCCCAUUUUUAGAACGGAAAAUGUCUCUCGAGGCGAAAGGAGGGGCGAUCUCGGAGGCGGCCAAAGGGGCUCUCUCCUUGGUCGCCCGAGAGUUGAUCAGAGGGACCUGUCCGGCCACCCAUGGAUCGGUGGAGUCCGUUCAGCUGGGCGGCGCGUCUUUCAUCUCAGCGAAAGGAGGGGCGAUCUCGGAGGUGGCCAACGGGGCUCUCUCCCUAGUCGUCGGAGAGCCGAUCGGAGGGACCUGUCCGGGCACCCAUGGAUUGCUGGAGUCCGCUCAGCUGGGCGGCGCGUCUUCCAUCUCAGAAGAUGGGAUUUGCAGGGAUACGCAUCGGACCUGGACGGUGCUGUUCGUGGACACCUCCUCCGAGGAACAUGUGCAGAGAUCGGGUUCCAUCAAACUCCAUCAGGUAUCUCGCUGGAUCACUAUUAGGGAUGAAGAGAAUGAUAUUCUUGCAGGCCGUUACUUGCAAGAUGAGGAAGCUCCGACGAUCGGACAAACCAUGGACAUAGAUGGAUUCAAGAUCAUAGUUGAAGACCUCCAUGAGGCUCAUCAGGUGAGUACUGACUUUAUUUCUAGUUCCCCUCGGUUUGGAGGGCGAUUUUGGGUCCUGGCAGAUCAGGAAUCGGAGGAUGAGGUCGAACAGAUCGAUGUCGAGGUUUUUGAGCUUUCUACUGCUGCAGCUUAUGCUGUUCGUUUCGAGAAUGCCAUCAGACAGCAGGUAAAAAUUACAGCUAGGGGGCCGAAGAAGGCUGUGUUGAAGAACACCGUUCGUCCUUGGAUCGGUCCCUUACCAGCGGUGCAGCAUGCACCGAUUACGCUUUCUGAUUUCCUACCGGCGGCGAGAUGGUGCCUAGCCAAGGGAAGGAAGAAGAAGAACUUGGCAGGUCCGAAAAUUGUGCCGACAACGAUGACCGAGCCGAGUUCUACGCGAUCUGAUCACAGGGAGGCUUUUUUCAAAUCGGUAACGGAGGCUGCUGGGUUUGUUUUUGAACCGGCCAAAGUUAACUCUAUUGGGUAUAAGGCCCAGGAGGAAAGCCCGGUCGACAUGUCCAAGUCGGACAGCGUCUGUUCUGGGUAUAAGGCCCAGGCGGCAGCUACGUUGACGACACAUAAUCCGGAGCGAUCGAUUGAUUCGGGUGAUUUGCAUCACGGGAACUCUACCGCCUGCACGAGGACGCCUGAACCUAGGGUUCCUCGACAUCAGCAUCGUGGCUUCCCAUCGCUCGAGUCUGGACGAGCUGCGCGGGUGCCGCCUCCUCCUUCCACUGCUGUGAGCAUGGCAGGCAGGGGUAAUGCCAAACAUCCACUGACUGCGGAGCCGCGAACUGCUGGGCAGGGGGAUCGCCCCAACGCAAAGCAGCCUGCUGCUGCUCAUAUGGCGCGGCCUCCAGGGGCAGCACAGGCAGGACAACAGCUCGGCCCUCCCAGUCAGGUUGGGGAACUUGUAGAUCAGCGGCCACAGCAGCGCAGUAGAUGGGACAGUGACGGCAGCAAUGCUUAUGGAGAGGGCCAGUUUCGAGGGCCAGCAUAUGGUGGUGGCCAUGGGCAUGCAGCUCCCAACUAUGGACCUAACCAGAAUUUCACUGCACCGCCCGGGAAUUUUGUGCCAGGGACGUCGGGACCUCCUCAUCACAAGAGAGGGGGGUUUCGACAGAAUUGGGCAGGCAGAGGUGGAGGUAGGAAGCCAAGGCCUAAUCUGCCUAUUCAAGAACCACCGGCAGAUGAUGCUGUUAGGGCGGCUGUUCCAGAGAAGGUGGCGGCUGACCCGGUUUUACCUGAACAAGUUCAUGUGGUUGCAAAAGGAGAGGGAGGUGAUAGGCCCUCCAAGUGGGCACGCAAGAAAGAGAAGAUGGUCUGUUAUCGCUGCAGUGAGACGGGGCAUUUUGUGUCUGAGUGCAAGGCUGAGCUCUGUGUGAUCUGCCUUAAGCCGACGCAUGGUGAGGCUAAGUGUCCUCUGACAGUUGGGAGUAUGCCGGUUGUGACCAUCUAUGGCGUAUCCAGUCAAGAACUUAUGUUCUUUGAGUCACCGGCGGCAACGACAACUCUUCACACCCCGGAUGCUGGUUUCACGGCACGAUGACGGUGACUCGGGGAGUCUUGACUGUGGAGCUGGUGGUGCAACAACUUAAGGAACUUGUUUCAGCAACUUUUCGGUGGGAACCGGUUUUGAUUUCAGACAAUGUCUUCAAGGUCGUUUUUCCUACCAAGGAGGACUUAGCUCGCUUGCUAAAGUUUGGUAUGUGCAGAGUGGCUAGCACAAGCUGUGUUCUUGAGUUUGAUGCCUGGAAGAGUGAGGAGCCGAAGGGCGUUCCUCUACCUUAGAUAUGGGUCCACUUUGCAGGAGCUCCUACCAGGGCUAUGAAUGACUUUAGCGUUGUAUGGAGUUUGGGUUCACUUAUUGGUAAGACAGAGGAGGUGGACAUGGUGUUCACUAGAGCCAAAGGUAUCGCCAGGAUGCUUGUGAGUGUGCUAGAUAUUCAGAUUAUUCCAGAUGAGGUCAUUUGGGCUUUUGAGGGGAUGCGAUACACGCUCUAGUUGGAAAUAGAGAGUCCUACUCUUUUUGAUUCACCAGUCAUCGAUAAAGAUACAAAUAUGACCGAUGGAGAUGAUGCAGAUGGAGCAAAGGACAAUGGUAGUUUUUUUGAGCCAGGGCCUACUUUUUCUUCUCAGAAGAAUUCACAACCCACUCAGGAUUUGCAACACUCAGGCACUGGUACAAAUCACGGGGUUUCUGCGUCCGAUCUGGAUUUGCGGUUUGGUUCUUUUAAACCUGCAUCGGCGCCGGCAAAACUCGGUCGGUCCUUAUACUCGUCUUCGGGUAUGCAGACGAGACUUCCGAGGUUCACAGGAAAGAAUCCUCGGAACAACAUAGGUAUUCUGCAGUCUACCAAUAUGUUGCAACCGGUUUCUUUGGAGGCAUAUUUGGCAGAUGCAAAGUUUGUUAGUAACCGAACUGAGAAUAUGCAGUUGGAUUCGGAGGCUCAUCCAGAGAGGUGUCUUAGCACGGUUGAAGAUGCUCCAGUGAGGGAGUUAGGUGCUGGGGAGGUUACCGCUACCAUGCAUGAUGUUCGUGCUCAGGAGGUUCCCACUACCGUGCAUGGUGCCGCUAGUUCCGACAAUAUGGCUGCACCAGCACCAGUGCACUACUAGCGUGCUGCGACUGAGAUGAGGGACGUUGGGGCUUGCACGGGUGGGGAACCACGUACGCCCGACGCGUCCUGCAUGGCGGUGCAAGUACACCAUGCAACACAGACGCGGGUCCAUGCUGCGCCUCACCCCAAUACCGUGGCAGGCAGCCAGGUACACGUUGAUGCACACGCUUGCAUGACCGUUUCUGAGCCGGAAGUUGGAGGUCAGUUGGGAGCAGCGUUGAGGGAAGCCAAUAAUGGAGAGGCGACUUUGGCUACAGAUGGUGUUCUCACUGGGAUAGUUCGACAUGCACUGGAAGAGGGUGUUUAUGUUUCUGCGAGACGGCCUAUUGAGAUCUCAGUUGAUGAAGUCAUAACGUUUGGUGGAGUUCCAGAUCCGAUGGGUCCAGACAGACGGUCUAGUAAUCGGGUACAAUCCCAGCCGGACGUGGAUGACUUGCAGAUUGGCCGUGCUAUGAGGGCGGCUAGAAUGAAGGAUGUUAAGAAUUCGACAGGUAUGUCCAUUAAUACUGAGCACUCUAUUCUUCAUUUUUCACCGCAAGACAUCAUAGAUAAUGCCACCUCUGUGGGGGUCAUCUUGGGUAGUAAUAGCAAAGAAAUUUCUAAAUCUAUUAAUGACUUAUUGGACUUAGAAGUUGAUAGGGCUUUGGAUAUUAUUCGAACCAUAGCUGCCAUUAAACCAAUGAAUGAUGAGGCAAUAUCUAACAUGGGAGGUCUGAAUUUACUAUGUGAUAAUUUAGUCUCAACUGAAGAUAGAGAGGAGCCUCAGGAGGGUUUGCAGAUAGAUCAGCAGCCCAAUGCUAUACUACAUGAGGGUGCCGAAAAUACGACUGGUUAUAUGGACCAGGAAUAUGUUUCUGAAAAACCAAAACGCACUUAUAAAAGGAGGGUCUAUACUGUCUCUGCUAUUCGUAGGAGUGCUAGAUUCAAGACUGCUAAAAAAUUCCAUGAUGAAAUAUGAAAGGAAUGUUUUGGAACAGCAGAGGUCUGAGAGACUUGGCUAAAAUCCGGUUCCUUGCAGAAACAACAUUACAUCAUAGUCUUGACUUCAUCGCGUUGAUGGAGACGGGUCGGGAUAAUUUUACAUCGCAAUUUCUAAAUUCUCUUUCGGGAGGUGUUGAAUUUGAUUGACAUUGUCUACCACCAAGAGGAAGAUCCGGAGGGAUCUUACUUGGUGUCCGGUGUCAUACACUCCAAGUCCGAGAAGUAGUGCUUGGGGAGUUCUCGGUCAAAUUUCGAAUUAGAACCAAGGAAGAUGGGUUCCAAUGGGCUCUGGUUGCGGUUUAUGGGGCUGCACAAACAGAGCAAAAGCCAGCUUUUCUGGCUGAUUUGGUUCGAAUUUGCGAUGACACUUUACCACUAGUGGUGGGUGGUGAUUUUAAUAUUAUCAGGAGAGCUGAUGAGAAGAAGAACGAUAACUUUGAUGGCAGAUGGCCUUUUAUGUUCAACACAAUUAUAGAGAGUCUCAACCUACGGGAGAUCAACCUCUCAGGUAGGAAAUUUACUCGGGACAAUUCUCUACCUAAUCAAACUUUUGAAAAAUUGGAUAGGGUACUUACGAGUGUUGACUGGGAACAGAAGUUCCCGUUAGUCACAGUAUGUGCACUUCAGAGGGCGAUAUCUGACCAUACACCUCUCCUACUAGAUUCUGGCCAGGCCACUCACAAAGGGAAAAGUGAUGCUUUCUCUUUUGAAUCAAGUUGGUUCACACGUGAGGGGUUUGUCGACAUGAUCUCUAGGGAAUGGAACAAGCAUGCGGGUGGGAACUCUAGUGUUGAUGUCUGGCAGAAUAAGAUACGUCAUCUUAGACAAUUCCUGAGAGGUUGGGCUAAGAAUAUAUCUGGGGUCUAUCGAGAUGAGCAAGAUAGACUGCUCAAAUGUAUAGAUACUCUAGAUCGUCAGGCAGAAACUCGCAUGCUGGAUGACCAAGAGAGGGCCUUAAAGUACGAGGCUGAACAAAGAGUCCGGAUCCUUCUUCGAGAAGAGGAAAUGAAAUGGGCUGUCAGAGCAAAAGUUAGGGCAAUUGUCCAGGGGGAUGAUAACACUAAAUUUUUCCAUUUGAUUGCAAACGGCAAACAUCGGAAAAAGAGGAUUAUACAACUUGAGCAAGAUGAGGGUACAAUAGUAGGUCAUGAGAAUCUAAAGUUGUACAUCACAAACUAUUAUAAAAGGUUGUUUGGUGCUACGACUCAUAGUUUUGUGUCUAUGGAUGAGCAUCAGACCGCGGAUAUUCCUCAGAUCGGACAAGCCGAUAAUGAGUGUUUAUCCGCUCCAUUCCUAGAGAAAGAGGUGCUAUAGGCGAUUCAGGGUAUGAAAAACGGUAAAGCGCCGGGGCCAGAUGGGUUCCCGUCUGAGUUUUAUAAGAGAUGUUGGCAUAUUAUUAAGAAAGAUCUCAUGGCAAUGUUUCACGAUUUGUUCUCCGGGCACUUACAACUCUUUCAUCUUAAUUUUGGUACCAUCACGCUGCUACCCAAAAAAGAGGGUGCUUCGCGUAUUGAACAAUUUUGCCCCAUAUGUCUGCUUAAUGUUAGCUUCAAAAUCUUCACAAAGGUAGGGACAGAUAGGUUAACUAAGAUGGCACAUUCUGUGGUGCAAUCUUCGCAGACGGCUUUCAUGCCUGGUCGGAAUAUUCUCGAAGGGGUGGUUCUUCUCCAUGAAACCCUUCACGAAUUACAUUCCAAGAAGCUUGACGGAGUCUUAGUUAAGGUAGACUUCGAAAAGGCUUACGACAAAGUCAAAUGGUGUUUCUUGCAACAAACUCUGCGCAUGAAGGGGUUCUGCGAGAUUUGGCGAAAGCAUAUCGAUCAUUUUAUACGAAAGGGUAGUGUCGGUAUUAAAGUGAAUGAUGAUGUUGGUCAUUUCUUUCAGACACUAAAGGGUCUUAGGCAGGGAGAUCCUAUGUCACCUAUUUUAUUUAACAUCGUAGCAGAUAUGUUAGCGCUCAUGAUCAGGAGGGCUAAUGAAAAAGGGUUAGUAAGGGGACUAGUACCACAUCUAGUAGAUGGGGGUGUUUCCAUCCUACAAUAUGCGGAUGACACAAUCCUUUUCAUGGAGCAUGAUCUCAACAAAGCCAGAAACAUGAAGUUAAUAUUAUGUUUAUUCGAACAGCUAUCUGGGCUGAAAAUUAACUUCUUUAAAAGUGAACUCUUUUGCUUUGGACACGCAAAAGAAGAACAAAUCACUUAUAAUCAAUUAUUUGGUUGUGAGAGUGGUUCGCUACCGUUUACGUACUUAGGGAUCCCUAUUCAUCAUCGAAAACUAUCCAUUAAGGAAUGAAAGUGCAUCGAGGAUCGGUUUGAGAAAAAGCUGAGCUGUUGGAAGGGCAACCUAUUAUCCUACGGAGGACGAUUGGUCUUAGUUAACUCAGUGUUGACAAGUAUGCCAAUGUUCCUUCUAUCCUUUUUCGAAGUACCAGUUGGGGUGCGCAAAAGGUUGGAUUUUUACCGAUCAAGAUUUUUCUGGCAGAGUGAUGAGGUCAAGACCAAAUAUAGGCUGGCUCGAUGGGAUAUUAUUUGUAGACCCAAAGAUCAGGGAGGGUUGGGGAUUGAAAAUUUAGAGGUUAAGAACAGGUGUCUGCUCAGCAAGUGGCUGUUCAGGCUAUCUGUGGAAUCAGAAGGUAUGUGGAUACAAAUUCUGAAGAACAAGUAUCUACAGCAAAAAACCUUGGCUCAGGUCACUGUGAGACCUGGAGAUUCACCUUUUUGGAAGGGUAUCAUGAAGACAAAAACAACCUUUUUUAACAGGACUAGAUUCAUCAUCGGAAAUGGUGAAGCUACUAGAUUCUGGGAGGAUAUCUGGCUAGGUGACGAGCCUCUGGCCCUUCAAUAUCCGCAGUUGUAUCACAUUGCCCAACGCAGACAGACAAAUGUUGCGGCAGUCUUACGUGAGACGCCUCUCAACAUUCAGUUUCGCAGAUCCUUGGUAGGAAAUAGAUGGGUCAGAUGGCUACAUCUAGUCAGAAGGCUAAUGAAUGUUAAUCUUUCUGAUGCUCCGGAUAGGAUUGUUUGGAAACUCACCUCCAAUGGGAAGUUUACCGUGAAAUCCAUGUAUGACCAUGUUAUUGACAGUUCAGUUAUUCCAAAAUCUUCACAUAUUUGGAACGUCAAGGUUCCCCUUAAGUUAAAAAUCUUUUUGUGGUUUGUCCACAAAGAAGUUGUUCUAACUAAGGAUAACUUGGCCAAGCGAAAUUGGAAAGGAAAUCGCAGAUGUACCUUCUGUCAGACAUAUGAAACUAUCAAGCACCUCUUUCUCGACUGUCCUAUGGCUAAAAUAUUAUGGCGCUCAAUCCAUAUAGCUUUUAACAUAACCCCGCCGACUAGCAUUAACAUGUUAUUUGGGACAUGGCUUGACGGGGUUAAUACUUCGUUCGCUAAGUUAAUUCGAGUUGGAACUUCUGCACUUUUAUGGGCUAUAUGGAACUGCAGAAAUGACCUAGUUUUUAACAGACAACAAUCUAUUAACUUUUUGCAGGUCAUCUUCAGGGCUACCGCAUUGAUCCGCAUGUGGUCCUUACUCACUCCUGUGGAAACCAGGGAGCCUUUAAUUACUGGAUGUGCCCGAUGGGAGAUGGUAGCUCAGGCUAUCUUCAGCCGAUAUGGAUGGCGACAUGUUCAUAGAAUAGGGAAUUAGUCAACUACUCCUAUCCAGAUAUUCGGCUUGGGCGUUCAUCGCCUUGUAAUUUAUUUUACAUUUACUUUUUUGACUUUGUAACUACUUCAGAUCUUUUCAGUUAUUAAAUAAAAUGGCUGCAUGCAUCACUCGAUGCAGAGGCCGGGGCGUGGCCUUCUUUUCAAAAAAAAUAUAUACAUGCAUAAGCAUGUAAGUAGCCCUGACAUCACUAAGCUCUGACUCUGACUCUAGCGCCGGAGCACUGGAGCAGUCAGAAAAUCGGUGGGAAAGCUGGCACGAGAGUACGUAGAAGCGAAGCCAUCCCAUCCCAUGUUCUAGAAGAUAACCUAUAUUUUUCCUUUUCAAAAAGGAAAAAAUCAACUGAAGCAGAUUAGUCAAAAAAAAGCCGCGUGGCCGGGCCGGGGCCUCCACGUCUCCCAUCGCCCUCGCCCUCACCACGGCCCCCGAUCAAUCCCCGGACGCGGUUUGCGCGCCUUCCGCGAAGCUUCCCCCGACACCACUGCGUCUGCGUGCCCCGCCAACCCCGACAUUUCACAAAACCACACUAGACUAGACACGGUCCAACCUUCCAGUCGAAGCAAGCAAUUCAACCCACCAACCAACCACAUCGCACCCAGCACCGGUGCGGUGACCGACCCAUAAAAGCAGCCCCUCCAUCACGGCCACGGUUCCCCUCCAUUCCCUUCCCUUUCCUUUCCUUUCCAUCCCGCGACGCACGCAGCUCGACCAGAACCGUGCAGCGGCAGCGGCAGCGGCAGCCGGCGGAGAGCAGCCAUGGCGAUGGAGGGCUACGACCGGGAGUUCUGGCAGUUCGGCGACCAGCUGCGGCUCCAGACGGCCACCUUCUCCGGCCUCUCCCUCGGCGACUCCAUCUGGUCGUCCCCCGCCGACAACAACGCCCCCCGCUCCCGCAACGCCGACCCCGGCCUCUUCUCCCCCUCCCCGCCCGCCGCCCACAACAACGCCGCUUCCAAGCCCAACAACAGCCUCAACGGCCCGGGCCUCAUCGGGUCCGGCAAGCUCGCCUUCGGCGCCACCACCACCAGCAAGGCCGACCGCUACAACAACGUCAGCCUCCCCGACGCCAAGCCCUACGCCAACGCCAACGCCAACGCCGGCUACGGCGCCAAGCCCAACAACGCCAACAUCAACGGCAACACCUUCGGGCUCAGCAAGAUGGCCGCCAGCGGCGGGGCCGGCUACAGCAACUUCAACGGCGGCAACGAGGGGGUCAAGAGCUACUUCAACAAGUCCAUCGGCAGGCCGGCCAGCAACAACAGCAACAGCAGCAACUUCAACUUCAACGGCUACGGCGGCAAGAAGGGCGCCGCGGACGGCAAGAAGAAGCACGCCAAGAACGAGAGAGGGGACAACAACCACGGCGCCGCCUCGGAGAAGCGGUUCAAGACGCUGCCGGCGUCCGAGGCGCUGCCUAGGAACGAGCCCAUCGGCGGCUACAUCUUCGUCUGCAACAACGACACCAUGGAGGAGAACCUCAAGAGGCAGCUCUUCGGUAAAUACUACACUGCUAAGAUUUUUCUCUUUAAUCUCCCUUUCAAAGUCCAAUUAGAUUAGCCGUACCUAAUCCUAAGAUAGAAUCAAUCCAUAUGUAUAUAUUCAACUAAUUCGAUCAGAUCUAGUACGUGACGGACUGACGGUUUGGUUACUUUUAAUUUGCAGGGUUGCCAUCCAGAUACAGAGAUUCAGUGAGGGCGAUCAGGCCGGGGCUGCCCCUCUUCCUCUACAACUACUCCACCCACCAGCUCCACGGCAUCUUCGAGGUAAAAUCAAUCAGAACAAUCAAAUUAAUCUGCUCUCUUGCUUGCAGUUCGAUGACAAUUUAGUUAGCGUUGAAUUGAUUGAACUGAACUCAUCGCCUUAUACUGAAUCGCCUGCACAGGCCGCGAGCUUUGGCGGAGCAAACAUCGACCCGGCGGCGUGGGAGGACAAGAAGUGCAACGGCGAGUCCCGCUUCCCUGCACAGGUAGCUUCACCUUCACCUUCACAAGGAGUACUAAGUUGACAUCAAUAUAAUUCUAAGAACACAAGUUAGCUAGAGAUAUCUACUCUAGCUUGACCCGGAAGGAGAUCAGAUUGAUGACUAGUAAAAGCAAUCAAUCAACUAGUUUAUUGAUUAUUAUAAACGGAUGGAAGUUGUUGUCUUGUUUAGUUGGAACCUAGUAGAUUGUCGGCAUAACUUUUUGCUAGUGACUGUCCAACAACCUACAUUCAGAUUAGGUUGGCCGGUCAAUCCUAGGCCAACCACCUGUUCUUCUAGAACAAGUACACUUGUCAACACACGCUCGGUCCUUCUAGAGAUACUCAAACAAGAUCACUUUUUUUUAUCGACUCAAACAAGAUCACUUGAAGUACUAUUUGAAGUUAGUGAUGGUACUAAAAAAGAAACAUGCCUUAAAUUAACAACACCGAAUCUUAAUUCCACUGGUCUUUUUGCGUGUAAACUAAAUUAAGAAUGAACAAUCCUAACUAAUUAGCAGUAGCAAUUUACUUGAUCUCUAUUUAUGUAUGUCUUGCUGAUUUGCAACGAUUGAUGAAUUCAGGUGAGGGUGGCCACAAGGAAGAUCUGCGACCCACUGGAGGAGGACGCAUUCCGCCCUAUCCUGCACCACUACGACGGGCCCAAGUUCCGGCUCGAGCUCAGCAUCACCGAGGCUCUCUCCCUCCUUGAUAUAUUUGAAGACAAGGAUGAUGCAUGAUGAAGGCUGCUCAGUGCUGAUCAGGGGACUGUUGAGGAAGGAACAGCGUGCAAUAAGAUGGACUGGAGUAUACAUACAUACAUACGAUUUAUAUCAUUAUCAAUUAAUGGUGAUAUAUAAGUGAGCUUUAUUGGGUUUUCCAUCUCAUGGGCUAUGAAAUUAUGCGCCCCUCGUUGUCUGUAAUGCGUGGUGAUGGCUGCAGAAGAUGAGCCCUCGUGAACAUAACUUAUGUAUUGUCACGGCUAUGUAUGUAUAAUACUAUUGAGACUUUAAGAUGUUUCUCCUGUUGUACACCUUAUAGCAGAAUAAACCAUCGCCUUCAUGUUAGCGAAAACAAUACUGCCUUUUUCUUCGAGAGUGAUGAGGGAGUCGGUACAAGCACAAGAGUGUGCACCAAGGUGGAAAUUGCUUUUGGAGGUCGAGCUCCAUGGAAGCCUACAAAUGCAAAUUUUAAAUUUCGUAAAAUCUCGUAUUUUAUAUUUUAAAAAAUCUAAAAAAAUACAUAGAUAGAUGAAGGUAUAAUAUAAUACACAAGUGUGUAAAUAUUUAGACCUAAAUACCCUGAAAUGAGGGCUAUGCAAAAAGAUAAAUCUAAGACUUUUUAACACAUAAUACUAUUCAUCCUUUCAGAUCAUAAAUUUGUCUUUUUAUACAGAUUGCAUUUUAAAGUAUUUUGGUCUGAAAUUUUACACACACACGGAUCGCACCCUUGUUUAGUUGUAUAAUUUUUUUCAGAUUUUUUGAAACCAAAAAUUUCAAAUUUUAAUUUUUUCAAAAAUUUCGUCCUUCGUGGAGGCUGAGUGCCAAAACACCAUUCUCUGCAUCAAGGCACAAAAUAAAAUUACAUGGGAGACACCCAGCAUGAGAGCCGAACACAAGACGAAAGACAAGGACGGAAGGGGAGGGUGGUUGUAGAAGUCACAUCGAACCCCUCACCAGGUGUCUAGUAGACAGCUGAAGUUGAAGGCCAGACAAGGAGCUCAGUAGAGAACCUCGUCAUCCACAUAUAAAAGACCACUUGAGGGGCAAUGGAGAAAAAGAUGUAGGCACCACAACAGAGGCUUGCAGAGGAACGUCACUGACACAAUCGAAGGGCGUUGGAUAGCAGAGAUCAUGCCACGACACCGGUGUGCCGCCGGCGAAGCCAGAAGACAAAGUGACACCGAGACAGAAGGUGCGACACCGUUGUACUGCCGCCGAGGUCGAAGGGCAACCUGCUAGUCGUGGCCACCUCAGGAUGUCCAAGCAAGCGACGCCCGAGCCACUAUGAAGAUAUCCCUGCAAGACGGAGACACCAUAGCAGAAGCGCACCGAGGAGUAUCCAUGUCACAGUUGAAGGGCCUCAGAUAGCCAAGAUCGCGUGGGACACUAGGGUACCGCCAACGUAACCAAAGGACAGAAACUUAGUGGAGACCGGAGGGUGCAAAACCGGUGUGUCGCCGCCGAGUGCCGGUGUCAAAACCGAUGGAUCUCGGAUAGGGGGUCCCGAGCUAUGGAUCUUGGCUCAAUGUGGAACAGGGAACACAGGGACAUUAUUUACCCAGGUUCGGGCCCUCUCGAAGAUGUAAAACCCUACGUCCUGCUUGAUUAUAUUGAUGUAUAUAUGACGAUUACAUAGUUAGUCUACCACGAGAUCAGAUGAACUAAACCCUAGAUGGUGCUUUUGUGUGCUACGAACUAAAACCCUCUGGUUUAUAUAUACACUAGGGGUACCUAGGGUUACACAUGAUCGGUUGCCAUCAAGAGAUAAACACGUCUAUUCUUCCAUCUUGACUUGGAUGACACACCAAGGUAGCAGACGUUUCCUUCCUGAACACGGGGCCGCCUUAUAGCUCGGCCUUCAAGUAAUAGCCAAAGAGCGGUCCACCUGUCAGACCCAUAAGAGAUAGGUCGAUGGCCCGAGGACCCCUUAGUCACGGACUCCCUCAGUAGCCCUUGAACUAGCCUCCAAUGCCGGGGUCCAUGCGUCCAAACUCUCGAGCUUGCAGGGCGAGUUCUUGUCCCAAUCUAUGUUCGGCCAAUGCUAGUUCCUCACCAACGACUUCCCGAUUUCCGAACAAUAUGUGUUACUUAGCCUCGAAGGCCAAUUGCAGAGUAUGAACAAUGCUUUUGCCUCACAACUUUUAGCGAAAGGUCACGGACGGUCACAUCCUUUGACCAGUCAUGGAAACUUGUUUUGCGGUACGAGGCAAUUUCUUUAUUGGUGCGUUCCAUAAAUAUGGAGAUCGUGCCCCGUUUUUAAGGGAUAUGAUCAAUGAUUUGGAUUAUCUCACGCGCGCAUAACGACACGAGUAUAUUGGGAAGUGGUGAGGAUUGUGGCACAGUAAAAGGACUCUUGGUAUUACGGCAGCUUGUAAAAGGAAAACAGUCACCAAAGCCUCUACACGCUUCUUAAAUCCCUCAUUGAUGUCACCUUCCCAAUCAGCUAAGCUCAAAAUUCCCAUAUCCAUUCCUCCCACGCACACCUCCUCAAGCCACUUCCCAGUCCGUGCAUGGUCGGCUCUGGUUCCAAGGGCAAGUAGGAGGCCUCCUGUGUCACCAAAGAUGACAUCCAUGAGCUGAAGCGCGUCGGCUAUCUUCCGGUCGACGUCAUUCAUCGCUCUCUGGAGAAGGGCCAGGUCAUCCUCACGCCGAGGCAAGGCGAGAGGGUGGUGUUCAUCCCCCACUUCAUCUGAGGACUUGGCUUUCCGCUCCACCCCUUUGUUAGGGUUUUGAUGUUCUUCUACGGGUUGGACUUUCACGGUCUCCCCCAAACUCCUUUUUGCAUAUUUCGACUUUCAUUAUUGUUUGUGAGGCUUUUGUGCGGGUCCAGACACACUUUGGCUUGUGGCUAACGGUUUUCAAUGUUAAGAUGAAGAUAGUCAAUAGCCAACAUGCAAACUCUGGGGUGUGGUGAUUAGCAAGCUUCCCCGGGUUGUGUGGCCGGAAGGUACCUUCAUAGAUACCAUCAAAAUCUCGCAAAGAGAGUGGUUUUAUAUCACCAAACCACGCGGCGCGGGUUGGGAAACACCUUCCGAAUUCAGAUCCGGACCACUCCCAAGGUUGGUGUCAUGGAUCAAGAAGGGUCUCUAUUGGGGGUCGGCAGCGGAGGUGAGAUCGUUGUAGAAGCGCGUCUCCCAGAUGAUGGAGGAGAAGAUGGAACUAAUCAACGUGAUUUAGACCAUGCUUCACCAUCGCCUCCUACCCUCCGAACAUCGGGCCGCCCCAAUGUGGUCCUACAAGCCCAAAGACCAUGACACCAUGGUCCACCUUUUCCGCACCUCCCACGACAAGUUAUGGAAGGUGUUGUUCAAGCCCAGAAGGACUCGCCGGCUAAGGAGGAAGACAUCGGUCUCGAUGCCACACACCCUCCUUGAUACGUCUCAAACGUAUCUAUAAUUUUUGAUGGUUUCGUGCUGUUAUCUUGUCAUCUUUGGAUGUUUUAUGUACCUUCUAUAUCUUUUUUGGGACUAACUUAUUAAUUCAGUGCCAAGUGCCAGUUCCUGUUUUUCUGUGUUUUUGGUUCUUUUCAGAUCUGAUUUUGGAACGGAGUCCAAACGGAAUAAAAUCCCCGAAAUAAUUUUUUCCCGAACGGAAGAAGAUCAUGGGGCUUGAGGGCCAAGGCAGGAGAGCUACAUGGGUCCCCCAAGCCCUGUAGCCGCCACGAGGGGGGCGGCGGCUAGCUGGCUUGUGGCCUCCCUGGCACCCCCUGACCUAGCUCCUUCGCCUAUAUAUUCCCUAAAAUACAGGAAAAGUUAGGGGAGUCCACGAAAACACUUUUCCGCCGCCGCAAGCUUCCGUUUCCGCGAGAUCUCAUCUAGAGACCCUUCCCGGUGCCCUGCCGGAGGGGACUUUGGAGUUGGAGGGCUUCUACAUCAACAUCAUCGCCCCUCCAAUGACUCGUGAGUAGUUCACUUCACACCUACGGGUCCGUAGUUAGUAGCUAGAUGGCUUCUUCUCUCUCUUGGAUCUUCAAUACAAAGUUCUCCAUGAUCUUCAUGGAGAUCUAUCCGAUGUAAUCCUCUUUGGCGGUGUGUUUGUCGAGAUCCGAUGAAUUGUGGAUUUGUGAUCAGAUUAUCUAUGAUAUAUAUUUGAGUCUUUGCUGAUUUCUUAUAUGCAUGAUUUGAUAUCCUUGUAAGUCUCUCCGAGUCUUGGGUUUUGUUUGGCCAACUAGAUCUAUGAUUCUUGCAAUGGGAGAAGUGCUUGGUUUUGGGUUCAUACCGUGUGGUGACCUUUCACAGUGACAGAAAGGGCAGCAAGGCACGCAUCGUGUUGUUUCCAUAAAGGGUAACAAGAUGGGCUUUUAUCGUAGAUAUGAGAUUGUCCAUCUACAUCAUGUCAUCUUUCUUAAGGUGUUACUCUGUUCUUUUGGACUUAAUACACUAGAUGCAUGCUGGAUAGCGGUCGACGUGUGGAGUAAUAGUAGUAGAUGCAGAAAGUAUCGGUCUACUUGUUUUGGACGUGAUGCCUAUAGAUAUAAUCAUUGCCAUAGAUGACGUCACGACUUUGCGUGGUUCUAUCAAUUGCUUGACGGUAAUUUGUUCACCCACCGUCUACUUGCUUUCAUGAGAGAAGCCACUACGGCCUCCGGAUCUAUUCACACCUAUCGUUUCCACUUUCGCUUUUACUUUGCUUUGUUACUUUGUUGCUUUCGGUUCUCACUUGGCAAACAAUCUAUAAGGGAUUGACAACCCCUUCAUAGCGUUGCGAGCAAGCUCUUUGUGUUUGUGCAGGUACUUGUGAUAUUCCUUCACUGGAUCGAUACCUUGGUUCUCAAAACUGAGGGAAAUACUUACUGCCGAUGUGCUACAUCAUCCUUUCCGCUUCGAGGGAACACCAACGCAAGGCUCCAAGGCCACGGGGGAAAUCCUUUGCAUAUUUUCCUAGGAAGUCCCUAAAGGCGCAACCGUAGCAGAAGGAUUCCUGGUGCCGUUGCUGAGGAGUAUCAAGACAAGAACAGUCUCCCGUCAGCACGUGUUUCUGGCGCCGUUGGAAGGUCUUUUGUUGCAGUAGCACUCCUCGGCAGGUACAAUAAAGUUUUUCUCCUAUGUUCGAAUAUUUCCUUUUAACAAGGAACUUGACACUUUCUUCCUCAUAUUUGCAGGGCUGGCUACAAAAAUCCAUGUGGAUCGAUGACCCAGACCCGCUGCCCGAGGACCCAAGACGACCUUGCUGACAGAGAUGCUGGUCGAGGUGUCGUACAAGGCGUCGAAGAAGAAAGAGAAAAAGAAUAAAGAGAUCCAAGAAGGCCUCCGUUCGAGGGGACCUCCGGACACUAGGGCAGAGGAUACCCAAUCCUUUUCCGCUCUUGAAGGAGAGAAGGGAGAGGACGGGAAGGAGAGCGUCUCCUCCCAAAGAAGGAAGAGGGCCGCGUCCGAUGGCACUAAGGAGGAUCUGCCUCCUCUUGCCCCGGAAAGGCAGUGCAAGGACAAGGUAGCCCGACCCGAUGACAGUUCGGGGUAUGUGGUUUCUGACGUGUCUCCCCGAAGGAACCCCAGGGUCAAGCCCCCGACCCAAAGGUAUGAAUUUGAAGACUCUUUUGCACAUUCAUAUUAAGGCUCAUUACUAACCAUAUGCACGCUUCAUGUUAUAUCCCACUUCAUGACCUCCCCACCGACCGAUUCUUGGAGGGGGAUUCUCCGCCACAUGAGAGAGCGAAGAGCGGGACUGCGUCACGCACUACACCUCCUCAGUUCAUCAAGGAGACUGAGGAGGUGCUAUCCCGAAAUCCUGGAGGGUAGUGUGUAAGGGAAACAAGACAAAAGCCCAACCAUCGGGCCUAAUAUAUCGGGCCUGAGUCCGGCCCAAGCCCACAAAAAUCUGACAAGGCCCGGUCGGCCUGGCCCGACCACGGCUUAAAUUUGAUUUUCCAUGGGCCUGAGCCCGGCCCAACCCGACAGUCAAGCUCAAAUUCCAAGCCCGAGCCCAGCUCGAUCGCAAGAUUAGGCCCGGCCCGACCCAGGAUUUUCAGGCCGGCUCAGGUUGGGCCGUUCGGGCCGGGCCAUGGCAGGUACUUCCUCCGUUCGUAAAUAUAAGUCUUUUUAAAGGUUUCAUUAGGAUACUACAUAGGGAUGUAUAUAGACAUGUUUUAGAGUGAGAUUCACUCAUUUUGCUCCGUAUGUAGCUCCUUAAUAAAAUUUCUUAAACUACUUAUAUUUAAGAACGGAGGGAGAUGCAUGGCGAGUAGGAUCCAAGAGCAUGCAUAGAAAAGGAGACGAGGGACACAUUGUAGGCAAAUCCUAUUUCCCGCGUAGGUCAAUGCAUAGCGAGGUAACACAUGCCCCUGUUAGUGGCGUUCUGUACGACCGACCUUCCCACAGAAAGUUUUCUCUUUCUUCAAUGUUUUCUUUUUUCUGAUUUUUAUUCUUGUUUCUUAUUUUUAUUUUAUUUCAAAAUUUUAAGAUUCCCAAAUAAUUUCCAAUUUCAUGAACAUUUUUUAAUUGAGAACUUUUUAAUUUCACGAACAUUUUUUCAAAUCCGCGAACUAUUUCAUAAUUCAUCUAAGCAUCUUUCAUUGGCAGACAGUUUUUUAAAUUCGCGAUCAAUUCUGGCAGAUUUGUUUAUUUAUUGUUUUGAGAAUUGUUUCGUGAACUUUUUUCAAUUUUACAACCAUUUUUUGUAAAUUUAUGAAUAAAAUUUUAAAUCACGAGGAUUUUUCAAAUUCAUGAACAUUUAUGUAUUCUUGAAUUAUUUUGAAAUUGCAAACAUAUUUUGAAUUCACAGACAAAAUUGCAAACAUUUUAUGAAUUCACAGACAUGUUUUAAAUUCAUUAAUAUUUUUAAAUUUGUAAAUAAUUUUGAAUUCAUGAACAUUUUCUAAAAUUCAAAAGUUUUUUGAAAUUCAUGAGCCCUUUUCAAUCAUUUUAAAAUUUUGUUAGAAACUAAAAAAAUAGAGAAAAAAGAAACGAAACAUUCAACCCUAGUUCCAGGCUUCCGGCUCAGUUAGCAUCAGCACGCUAGCCAAAUAGGAGGCCUGCGUAACCCUGCCUUCGUGGGUUGGACAUUAAUCUGCAUCCCGCGGCGAAUUGAAAUACAAUAUAUAUUUAGCGGCAAGUAAAUUUUCCGACGCCCCGGGCCGCGGCCUGCUCCCAGCUCUGCUCUUGUGGCCAUUGACAACAUAGUUGAUGCAAGGUACCCCUAAAAAAAAGUUGCUGCAAGGUGAAUUGUCAUAAAAAAAGGAGUUGUUGCAAGGUGAUGAUUGACCGGCAGCCAAAUUGUGAGAACCAGUCGUCCUAGAGUUCUCGAAUGAUGCUGCAAAAGAUGAAUCGAUCCCUGUCUAGAAAUUAUCCUUGUUAGACUGUAUAUACGUAGCCCUGUAUACAUAUACUAUACAUUGUAUUCUAUUCCUUGGGUAUCCUUAUAUAAUGAGAUAGCCAUACCCCGUUUAUGGUGUCGAGCACUUCCCAAACAUUACGUUUUACAUUGUAUCAGUUUAGGUUACGAUGUCUUCCACUGCAACGCCGCCGCCACCACCGCCGCCGACCUCUGGCGCCGCCCCAUCCGCCGUGGCGCCGGCCCUCGCCCCCGCGUCGCCGUUCCUCGCCUCCCGGCCUCUGACGACGGCCUAUGGGGCCCCGACGUCGCCCCGCCAUCCGAUUGGAUCGGAUCCCAACGCCCAGCCUGGGGCUGCUGCCUCCUCUGGCGCACCUCAACUCGUCCAUGGCGCCCCGCCGCCAUCGUCGCCCUGACCGAUCCCCUACGGCGCGCCAUCUGUGCCGCAGCACUACGCUGCGCCUCCUCCGCCCUACUAUGGCGCGCCUCCGUCGUACCAGUCCGUGCCGCCGCCGCCAACGAUCUGCGCGACGUCUACACCGCACCACUACCCGCCGCCGACGGUCUACCCUGCGCCGUUUCAGCCGUCCCAGGGAGCUGCGGCUGCGUUGCCCUACGGGGCUCCUGCCGUGGAACCCCACGGUGCCCCCGCGAUGGGUUCCUCUAGAGCCCCGCCCUACUCGGUGGCUACUGGUCAUCCCGGGGCGGCCCCGUCGAUGGGCUUCUAUGCCCCGCCACCAGUGCAUGCUGACCCGGCUGCGCUGCCGUCGCCGUUCUACUUUUCGCAUCUCCUUCCGGUGAAGCUUGCGCCGGACAACUACUUGCCCUCGCGUGCCCAGGUGCUGCCCCUUUUGCGGAGUCGCUACCUCGAGGGCUACGUCGACGGCUCUAUCCCGUAUCCGCCGCCUCAUCACCCGGCGUAUCACACAUGGGUGGCUUGGGAUCAAGCCAUCCUCUCCGCCAUCCAGUCCUCGCUCACCCCGAGCGUCUCAUCGCUGGUCAUCUUCGCCGCUACGUCCGGGGAGGCGUGGGCGGCGCUUCACACAAGCUUUGCCUCCCAGUCUCAGGCGCAUGCUCAUUCUAUACGCACCGAGCUGGGUGAGACCAAGCUUGGUGACCUCAGCAUCACGGACUACUUCAACAAGAUGCGGGGUCUAGCCGACACGUUGGCCUCCGUUGGUCAGUCGCUACAGGAUGAGGAGUUCACCACCUUUGUGCUUAACGGGCUUGAUGAUGAUUAUGACAAUCUUAUUGAGAAUGUCCACGGCCGUGAUGAUCCGCUACCAUCUCGUGAGCUCUAUGCACGGCUCCUUGGCCGUGAACAGCGCAUCAAGGCGCGCCGCGUCUCCCCUGGCUUCACCUCUGCCAAUGCCACGACUCGUGGAAAGCCCCCGCCGUCAUCUUCUUCCAACAACAGAUCGACAUCGUCCCCACAACCGACUUCACGGGGCAAUGCUCCGACCAUCACGGGCGGCAAUCGGCCGGUGGCGUGCUGCUCCUCUUGUGGCGCCCCGCAGGCGUGCCAGCUCUGUGGAAUUGAGCGGCACAUUGCCUCUCGCUGCCAUCGACGCUACAAGCAAGACUUCCUUGGCCUCGGCAACAAUGGCAAAGGGAAUGAAAAGCAGGCUGCUGCUGCGGUGACGAGUCAUGAUUCUGGACGCACGCCAUCUUACUCCAUUGAUCCUGCCUGGUACAUGGACACUGGCGNNNNNNNNNNNNNNNNNNNNNNNNNNNNNNNNNNNNNNNNNNNNNNNNNNNNNNNNNNNNNNNNNNNNNNNNNNNNNNNNNNNNNNNNNNNNNNNNNNNNNNNNNNNNNNNNNNNNNNNNNNNNNNNNNNNNNNNNNNNNNNNNNNNNNNNNNNNNNNNNNNNNNNNNNNNNNNNNNNNNNNNNNNNNNNNNNNNNNNNNNNNNNNNNNNNNNNNNNNNNNNNNNNNNNNNNNNNNNNNNNNNNNNNNNNNNNNNNNNNNNNNNNNNNNNNNNNNNNNNNNNNNNNNNNNNNNNNNNNNNNNNNNNNNNNNNNNNNNNNNNNNNNNNNNNNNNNNNNNNNNNNNNNNNNNNNNNNNNNNNNNNNNNNNNNNNNNNNNNNNNNNNNNNNNNNNNNNNNNNNNNNNNNNNNNNNNNNNNNNNNNNNNNNNNNNNNNNNNNNNNNNNNNNNNNNNNNNNNNNNNNNNNNNNNNNNNNNNNNNNNNNNNNNNNNNNNNNNNNNNNNNNNNNNNNNNNNNNNNNNNNNNNNNNNNNNNNNNNNNNNNNNNNNNNNNNNNNNNNNNNNNNNNNNNNNNNNNNNNNNNNNNNNNNNNNNNNNNNNNNNNNNNNNNNNNNNNNNNNNNNNNNNNNNNNNNNNNNNNNNNNNNNNNNNNNNNNNNNNNNNNNNNNNNNNNNNNNNNNNNNNNNNNNNNNNNNNNNNNNNNNNNNNNNNNNNNNNNNNNNNNNNNNNNNNNNNNNNNNNNNNNNNNNNNNNNNNNNNNNNNNNNNNNNNNNNNNNNNNNNNNNNNNNNNNNNNNNNNNNNNNNNNNNNNNNNNNNNNNNNNNNNNNNNNNNNNNNNNNNNNNNNNNNNNNNNNNNNNNNNNNNNNNNNNNNNNNNNNNNNNNNNNNNNNNNNNNNNNNNNNNNNNNNNNNNNNNNNNNNNNNNNNNNNNNNNNNNNNNNNNNNNNNNNNNNNNNNNNNNNNNNNNNNNNNNNNNNNNNNNNNNNNNNNNNNNNNNNNNNNNNNNNNNNNNNNNNNNNNNNNNNNNNNNNNNNNNNNNNNNNNNNNNNNNNNNNNNNNNNNNNNNNNNNNNNNNNNNNNNNNNNNNNNNNNNNNNNNNNNNNNNNNNNNNNNNNNNNNNNNNNNNNNNNNNNNNNNNNNNNNNNNNNNNNNNNNNNNNNNNNNNNNNNNNNNNNNNNNNNNNNNNNNNNNNNNNNNNNNNNNNNNNNNNNNNNNNNNNNNNNNNNNNNNNNNNNNNNNNNNNNNNNNNNNNNNNNNNNNNNNNNNNNNNNNNNNNNNNNNNNNNNNNNNNNNNNNNNNNNNNNNNNNNNNNNNNNNNNNNNNNNNNNNNNNNNNNNNNNNNNNNNNNNNNNNNNNNNNNNNNNNNNNNNNNNNNNNNNNNNNNNNNNNNNNNNNNNNNNNNNNNNNNNNNNNNNNNNNNNNNNNNNNNNNNNNNNNNNNNNNNNNNNNNNNNNNNNNNNNNNNNNNNNNNNNNNNNNNNNNNNNNNNNNNNNNNNNNNNNNNNNNNNNNNNNNNNNNNNNNNNNNNNNNNNNNNNNNNNNNNNNNNNCACAAGUAAGUUACACAAACUUACUUGAGCUAUAUCACACGACAAGUAGGUGAACAACACAAGAUACUAGAUCACACUAUAUCACACGAUAUAUCAAAGGCUGCAAGUAUGAACGUGUGGAUAUAGAGGGUAUGCUUGAGCGAUUAAUCUUAUACAAGAAAUAGCCAACACAGUAUAAUGAGCACAAACAAUAUGCAAUGUAUGUAUGCUCGAGUAACACAAGUAAACCACAAGUAAGGAGUUAGGGUUAAGGAUAACCAAGGUCACUGAGACGAAGAUGUAUCCCGAUGUUCACUUCCUUGGAGGGAAGCUAGUCACCGUUAGAGAGGUGGAUGUUACCACGAAGGCACACCAACGCCACGAAGGCUCACCCUAUUCUCCCUUUGAGAUAACACCACGAAGGCGUUUCUCAACCACUAGUGGUAAGCCUUUGAGGUGGCUUCCAAACCCUCACAAACUUUUCCGGGGGGUAAUCACACGGAUUGAUUCCUCUCCGAAGAACUCCUACCGCCUAGGAGUCUCCAACCUCCAAGAGUAACAAGAUCACGAGGAAUGCUCAAAACUUGCUCAAAUCUCAAAUAGCUUGGGUUGAGAGGAGGAGAGGGAGACGAUCUAUCUUUUGAUUGGAACAACUCUCAAAGGGGCUCACAAAUGCUCUUGGGAUCUAAGAUUUGGUGUGAGCAAAUGUGUGUGAGGUAGAAGUGUGUUCUUAUGAGGAUAAGGCUGUGUUGGGCUGCCCUCUCACGAAGUGGGAGGGGGGUAUUUAUAGUGGGGAGAGAAAAACAGCCGUUGGGGACACUUUAAGUCACACAGGGUCCGGACGUCCGACAGUUUCCGGAAGUCCGGGCGUCCGCGAGGGGUCGGACGUCCGACAGGGGUCGGUCGUCCGAGGCCUGUAGAUAUCACUGAAAAUACUGUGAAUUGAACAGCGACCGGACGUCCGGAGAAGGCCGGAAAUCCGAGUUAUACGACUCAACUUCUUCUGGUGCGAGGUUUCGGAUUUCCGAAAGGGGACGAACGUCCGACCCUCGGACGUCCGGAGGGAGCCGGAAGUCUGAGUUAUAUGGCUCAAGUUUCUGUGGUGCAUAGUUCCGGAAUUCCGAAGCUGGUCGGAUAUCCGGGCCUCGGACGUCCGGAGGGAGCCGGAAGUCCGAGUCAUAUGGCUCUGAUUUGUCUUGUAUAGGAUUCCGGAUUUCCUAAGCAGUCGGUCGUCCGGUCCCCGGACGUCCGGAGGAAGCCGGAUGUCCGAGGCACUGGUUUUGUUUUCAGAUAACAGCAGAGCAGUGGAGAUGUGGUCUGAGCAGAACAGUGGAGAUGUAGUUUGAGCAAGGUCAUCGCAAAACCUGUGAUCCCCUCUUAAUAGUGCUGGAUCCCUAAAGACUCAAGAAACAUAAAAGGGGUACUGAUGAUCCAUACUUGAGUGUAUACUUUUAUUCGCUGAUCAUCACUCCGCACAACUAACGUCAAAGGAACUGAUACCUUUGAGUUAGCCCUUUCACUUGAGCUUGAUGUUGUUGUUCCUUCUUGGCUCAAGUUGAAAGCAAGACAUGAUGAAGUCUUCAAGUAGCUCUCCCAUACACAAUGUGGAAAGCCUAGGUUAUGUAUUCAUCUUCAUUUGUCCACCAUGUGAACAUCCACAAGAAUCAAGCAUGUAGUGCUCAGGAAUGCUUAUCUUGAUCUUGUCCUUGUUAGCACAUGAGCUUGUCCUUAUCAACACAUGAUCAUUAACAAUAGCUUCAAUGAUAUAUUCGUGCUGAUCCACUUGAACUUGCACACCACAAUCUUGAUGACGAUCGCCACUUGAUGUCAUCCUUCAUAGGUUGUAUGAGAUCUUCCUUUUGACGCAAGCCCAUGGAAGCACACCUAACCCCCACAUAGGACUCUCACAAAGACCAUGGGUUAGUACACAAACACGUAAUGGACAAUGCUUACCAUACCAUGGGAUCACUUGAUUCCUCUCGGUACAUCUUAUACGCUUUGUGUGUUGAUCAUCUUGAUUUACUCUUGUCUAAGAUCUUGAUCAACCUAGUGUAUCUAUGACCAUUCUUUGGAUAAUACCUUGAAUACCAUCUUGGUCAUCAUAUAAACUCCUUAAACCCAACAGAUGGACUUCAAGAAGUGCCUAUGGACAAAUCCUAUAAAUAUAACUUAAGGCAACCAUUAGUCCAUAGGAAUUGUCAUCAAUUACCAAAACCACAUAUGGAGAUAUAUGCUCUAACAAUCUCCCCCAUUUUGGUAACUGAAGACAACCACUUCAAGAGAGUUUAUAUAAGGAAAUAAGCAUAAGCGUGAAGAUGUAAAUGCUUACGCAAUAAAAGCAAAACCCUCUAAACAUAUCCAAAGUAAACUCUCUAAACUUCUCCCCCAUUGGCAUCGAUCGCCAAAAUGGACAAAAAGUUUAGAAAGCCAAUAUAGUAGGUGGUCCUCCAAAAGGUGUGUUGUGUACUGCUCAGCAAAUGAGUGCAGAGAAAUACACAAAUACAAUGAUAAGUAGAGGACCCAAAUAUUGCAAAUAAAAGGAUCAUAUGCCACAAAGACAUACAAAAAUAGAGGCAAGCAAUCAAAAGAUUCCUGAUGGAACAAACAAUCAUAUGGUCCUUCGAACCACAUGAAUAGAAGAUAUUAUGAUAAAGGCAACAUAGUGUUUUAUCAAAAACUAGAGAAGCUCCCCAUGAUUUGUGCACAAAUACGAGAUUUUUGUAUUUGAUAGAGGUGCACAAAAUAGAAUCGUUGCUCCCCCAAAAUUAAUAAAAACACACAACGAGUGCAAGAAGAUAGAUGAGACAAUAAACAUAUCAAUUGCACAAAACAAAUGGUUGAGCAACAUGUAAAAGAAGCAACUUAAGAAUAGGCUCAACCAAAGUAAUGUGUGUGAGUCAUGGCAAAGAACUUGAGAAGACUAAGAUAAGGAUGAGCAUUACUCAUCAACAUAGUCUUGAUGAAAUGAGAUACAAAGUGCAAGACAUAUCAUUCCCACACACACAUACUAGAAAAUGGGUUCACAAGCUUACUAAUAAACAAAAUAAGAACCAACGCUUGUGACAACCCAUUGUGAAGAUAGAAAGUAAGAACCUUGUUAAGAGGAGAGAUACUAAUGAAAUGGCAAAACCCUCAUCAAGACAAGCAUGAGGAAAAAUAAUCUUCAUGGCCAAAGAGUGCAUCAAGAUGUAGGAAAAUAAGAUACGCACUCAAAAUAAAACUUUUCACGAAGCCACCAAAAGCUGAAAAAGGAAAUGCAAUGAUGAUCGUGAAAGAAAAGAGGAUAUUAAUUACAGAUGUAACUUCUCUCAUGUGUAAAAGAUUCUAAGUAGAAGACAAUCAUGAUGAUAUAUAUCCACAAAGAAGGAUGUACACACGAAAUGGUUACAAGAAGGAACAAACUAGAUAUCCAAAAGGAAGUCAUAAAUAUAUCAAUGUGAUCUUUUGCUUGGAAGCAUAGCACAUGGCCUAAUAUUUUCUUAUUGUACAAUAUGAACUUCCAACAUACGAACAUCAAAGACAUCCCAACUAGUAGUAAGACAUCAUCGUUCGGAUGCUUUGAGAAAGCAAACAAGUACUACGAGAACAAAUCAAGAGAUUCAUGCCAUGAUGCAACCUGGAAAAGAAAAGACAGGUUGGGUCCUUUGCAAGAAAAGAAUGCAUGAAGUGGAUACUUGUUACCGAGACAACAUUGGAUUGAUGUAGUAGAUAGUUGUUCUUUGAUCAUCCUAACUUGGCUCCAAUAAUCACAUGGUCUCAACAUCUUCCUUAUAGGUGAGCCGAGCAUCCAAUGCAUCUCCAGUUGUUCCUGGAACAACAAAACAAACAAAAUGGUGCCCAAACUCAUUGGGACCAAAGAGUUAGAAAACCAGCAAUACAUAGGACAAACUCCACAUACAUAUGUGCAUAUAGAUAUGAAUUUGAAUUUCAUGCACACUUUAGCCAAUUUAUGACAAGGUGGAGUUUCCCCUAUAUAUUGGGUCAAAGAAGGAAAACAAGCAAAACAAGUUGUAUAUAGUAGCUAGAUACGCAUGCUCAAGACUCUCAAGAAUCAACUCAACACAAAGUUGAUAAGUCAUCAAAAGACAAGGUAUCAAGUGAUAAUAAGAUCCUAAAACAAAAGAACUAUCACUUGAAGGGUAUCAAUUAAAAGAUACCUCAAGGAAUGAGAUAUCCAUUGGCACAUGCCAAAUAGAAGGCAACAAGAAACCAAUUGAAGGAAAACAAACACGAGGUAUCUAAUUUCCAAGAGAGAGCUAGGUUCCAACAAACCAAGCCCUUGACAAAUUUUCAUGAUGGCACAAAGCAUCAUAAAGAGCAAGACUUGCCUCCCAUCAACACAUACUUGAUGGGGAUCAAAAGAUUUUAUGAUGGGUGAAUAAAGAGAGUGUUUUAAAGAAAAUAGGAUAGCUCCCCCAAGGGACGUGCAUUAUAUAGAAUUUGCAUUUGAAUACAAAACGCACACGAUGGGAUCAUCACUUUCUCUAUAUCUAUAAAAACACUAGACAUGUUAAAAUAGAUUCAUAAGAGGCAAGGAAGACAAACGAAACAGAAAAUCCAAUGUAAAGAUGAUUAGCAAUUCCUAUCACAUGAUGGGAAUACCAAUUGUCAAGGACAAGAAGUAUUUUCGAAGUGAUACUCAUUGGUAGAUCACAAAUAUAUCCAAGACCAUCUUUACCCAUAAAACGCAAGCAAAUGACACUUGUAGAGCUAACAUGCCACGUAGGAACAAGAUAAUUUACAAUAUCAACACUAAGUGGCAACACGUCAAAUGUACACAUUUUCUAGGUUUGUAAUAUGCACAUAGCAUAUUACUCCCCCAUAAUGUGAUAAACCAACAACAUUAACAAGUGGCAAAUUAAAACCAACAAGAGAUACUUAAUGGACCAUAUAGAAUUUGAAUUUCUCAUGAGUAAGACAUACCACAUAGAAACUAGAUAAUCUUGAAGUAUCAAAACUAAGUGGUAUUCCCCAUGUAUACACAUUUAUAAGAUUGUGAGGUGUGCAAAGCACAUCACUCCCCCACAAUGGGAUAAUCCAUUAAUCUCUCACAAGAGCCAACAAAAAAUAUAAACAAAAUGCAAAAAGGCUCAAUACAAGACUCACAUGUACAUAAUAUGCAAACCAACAUACCCGUACUCGAUUACUCAAGAUAAGCAAGUUGGAAGCACAACAUAUACAAACGCAUGCAAGGUACAAAACCACAACAUGCAAAGGGGCAAGCACCUAACAAUGUAAACAGUUUAAGUAUAAGUUAUCGUAAGGAGGCACAUUGGAUAUAAGAUAGAAACUCGAUAAUCCAAAUGACUUGGCUUGAGAUAAUAUGAAUGAUGAAGACCCCUUAAUUCUUCAUUAUGUAUCCAAGUCUCUAAUGUCCUCCAUAGUCACCUAUUGAUCAAGUUUGAGCUUGUUGGUCCCCAACUACGUUGGGUCCUAAGAGGUUAAUCACAAUAGGCUUGGCAACCCAAAUGGUUCUUUUCUUGACUCCAUUUUGAGUACCAACAAACUUGGCAAACACAUUGCCAACCUUAUCCUUCCCAAGGGAAUAGGUAUCAUCAAUAGUGAUUGGGUUGGAUAAGUUACCUCUCGUGCAAGACGAAGCGACGUGACCCUUCUCACGACAUAAGUAGCAACAUCUACCCUUUGUUUUCUUCCCAGUUGAUUUCUCACCUUGGGGAGUGUUGGCUUGGGUAUUAUUGGGAAGAGGCCUUCUUUCAACUUGUAGUUGAAUAUGUGAUUGAGUUUGUGGAUGCUUCCCUUGUUGCUUGUGACUUUGAGACUUCGUCUUCAGAGGGCAAGAUCUAACAUGGUGCCCUUUAACUUUGCACUUGAAGCAAAUGAUUUUGGACGAAUUCUUGACUUGUUCUAGGCCCCUCUUGUUCUUGUUUGAGUUUACUCCAACAUCAUUUUUGUCAUUCGGAGAUGUUUGCUCACACAGGACGUUGUUGAGUGUGGACAUCCCUUCAUGACACUGUUCCAAGUCUUUCUUCAAAGAAGUGACUUGGGCCUUGAGCUCUUCGAUUUCCUCUGCACGGUUAGUAUCAAUGCAAGUACUAGAGGAAGUGUAAGCUUCAAUGUUAGAGAAACAAGGCAAGGAAAGUAAUUCAUCACACGAGGUAGCAACAUUAUGAGUAGACGGAUUACGAGGACUAGCACAUGGAAAUAUAGUACUUUGACUAGAAGUAGUGCCAUUGUCCACAUGAGGCUCACUUGACGUUACCUUGGUGAUGAUAGCCUCAUGAGCUCACUUUUGCACAUUAUGGGAUGUUAGAAGAUCAGCAUGAGGGCUUGUGAGCAUUACAUGGUUUUCUUCCAACUUCCCAUAAUUGCUAGUUAGUAAAUCAAGUUGAGCACGUAGCUCAACAUUCUCCUUCAAUGUUGAUACUUCAAAAGAGAUAGGGUUAGAUGUACAAGUAUCAUCAACAAUAUGAGAGGAGUAAGUAGCGAUUAGACACUUCUCAUGAGUAGAUUGAAGCUCCUCAAAUAUCUUAGAGGUUUUGACGAGCUCUCCCUUGACAUUCUUGCAUUCAAGGAGAAGGACCUCAAAAUCCCUUUUAAGUUUAUCAUGAGCAACUUCAAUCUCUCCUUUUGAAGAUCUUAAGUCUCUACAUGCUUGAUGACUCUUCUCAAGUUCAUGUUCAAGUUGUUCACUUUUAGCUUGUUCAUGAUUAAGGGAAUCAUUACAAUUUUCAAAGUAAGCAAGAACAUCUUGGAACCUUUGAAGAGCAUUAUUUUUAGCUUUAUGAAGAAUUUUACUGAUCACAUAGAUAUUUUCAGUCAAGUCAUCAUCAUCAUCCUCAUCGCAAAUAUCAUCGUUAUUGCACAGGGAAGAUGAUACCUCAUUAUUACCUCUUGCCAUGAGGCACAUGUGAACUGGAGGAGUUGAUGAUGAUUCUUUUGGUGAAUCAGAUUCUUCAUUAGUCAAAAGUACUUCAUAUUUCUUGAUUUCCCCAAAAUGAUUAGUCAUAGAGCAACUAGGGAGAAACAAGAUAUUUUGAUCAAGAGGACACGAGGAAGCAGGCAUAUCACCACAGACAUUUGUCGAGGGAUCUUUAGGUGAAAUGCAUGACCUAUCAGCACAAUAAUUUACACUAUGUGUGGUGCUAGAUAUGCUCGUGUCCAUAGAAGCUAUGACAUUUUCAUCAACAUAUAUUUCUUCACUCACUAUGUCAUUACCUUGUGAGAUUGAAGAUACUGAGGUGUGCAAGCAAUCGGAUAUGGAAGUAGUGGUGGACUCUUUAAGAUCGAAAAGAGUGAAGAGCUCAUGCACCAACUCCUUCAUCAUAAUACCGUCUUCAUCAAGAUUGGACCCACCAUAUAUAUCUUCAAGUUUAGUCCAAACUUCAUGAGCUGACUUGCAAGUCGAGAUAGACUUAAACACAUCAGGACUUAUGGUUCGAUGAAUGGCAAGAAAAGCCUCACAAUCAAGAUACAUUUCAUUAGUAGAUGAAGAUGCAUCAUCCUUUUUGUCGGCAAUCCCUACAAGAACAAUUCGUAAAGUAUUUGGGCCCAUGGCCCGAAAGUGAUGAAGCAUACGAAUUCUCCAUAGGGUAUAAUUUGUGCCAUCAAAGUCAAAUAUGCCAUUGUGCACUAAUCCAAUAGUCGACAUCGAUACUCUCUAGGUCGUGAAACCUAAUUAAAGAGAGACCUAGCUCUGAUACCAAUUGAAAAGACCUCGAUGACGCCUAGAGGGGGGGGGUGANNNNNNNNNNNNNNNNNNNNNNNNNNNNNNNNNNNNNNNNNNNNNNNNNNNNNNNNNNNNNNNNNNNNNNNNNNNNNNNNNNNNNNNNNNNNNNNNNNNNCAAGAUGACUAAGACUCCAUUCUCAGGAAAUGCCUCAUGGGAACCGUGACUGUUCCCCUCAAUACAGAAGCACUUAGUCUCGGGUUUGGGUUUAAUCUUGGGUCUCUUCAUUAGUGCAGCAACUGUUUUGCCGUUUCACGAAGUAUCCCUUCUAGACCUUGCCUUUCUUGAAACUUAGUGGUUUUACAAACCAUCAACUAUUGAUGCUCCUUCUUGAUUUCUACUUUCGCAGUGUCAAACAUCGCGAAUCGCUCAAGGAUCAUUGUAUCUAUCUUUGAUAUGUUAUAGUUCAUCACGAAGCUCUCACAGCUUGGUGGCAGUGACUUUGGAGAACCAUCACUAUCUCAUCUGGAAGAUUAACUCCCACUUGAUUCAAGUGAUUGUCGUACUCAGACAAUCUGAGCACACGCUCAAUGAUUGAGCUUUUCUCCUUUACUUUGUGGAUAAAGAAUCUUGUCGGAGGUCUCGAACCUCUCAACAAGGGCACGAGCAUGAAAUCACAAUUUCAUCUCUUUAGAACACCACUUAUGUUCCGUGACGUUUCAAAACGUCUUAGGUGCCUGGCUUCUAAGACAUUAAGUAUUUUUCAUUGAACUAUCGUGUAGUCAUCAGAAACGUGUAUGUCGGAUGUUCACAGCAUCCACAGACGACGCUCGAGGUGCAGCACACCGAGUGGUGCAUUAAGGACAUAAGCCUUCUGCGCAGCAACGAGGACAAUCCUCUUCAAAGUUUGCUACUAUCAACUUUCAACUAAAUUUUCUCUAGGAACAUAUAAAAACAGUAGAGCUAUAGCGCAAGCUACAUCGUAAUUCGCAAAGACCUUUAGACUAUGUUCAUGACAAUUAGUUCAAUUAAUCAUAUUACUUAAGAACUCCCACUCAAAAAGUACAUCUCUCUAGUCAUUUGAGUGGUACAUGAUCCAAAUCCACUAUCUCAAGUCCGAUCAUCAUGUGAGUCGAGAAUAGUUUCAGUGGUAAGCAUCUCUAUGCUAAUCAUAUCAACUAUAUGAUUCAUGCUCGACCUUUCGGUCUCAUGUGUUCCAAGGCCAUGUCUACACAUGCUAGGCUCGUCAAGUUUAACCCGAGUGUUCCGCGUGUGCAACUGUUUUGCACCCGUUGUAUGUGAACGUUGAGUCUAUCACACCCGAUCAUCACGUGGUGUCUCGAAACGAAGAACUGUCGCAACGGUGCACAGUCGGGGAGAACACAAUUUUUUCUUGAAAUUUUAGUGAGAGAUCACCUCAUAAUGCUACCGUCGUUCUAAGCAAGAUAAGGUGCAUAAAGGAUUAACAUCACAUGCAAUUCAUAAGUGACAUGAUAUGGCCAUCAUCAUGUGCUUCUUGAUCUCCAUCACAAAAGCACCGGCACGAUCUUCUUGUCACCGGCGUCACACCAUGAUCUCCAUCAUCAUGAUCUCCAUCAACGUGUCGCCAUCGGGGUUGUCGUGCUACUCAUGCUAUUACUACUAAAGCUACGUCCUAGCAAUAUAGUAAACCCAUCUGCAAGCACAAACGUUACUUUAAAGACAACCCUAUGGCUCCUGCCGGUUGCCGUACCAUCGACGUGCAAGUCGAUAUUAACUAUUACAACAUGAUCAUCUCAUACAUNNNNNNNNNNNNNNNNNNNNNNNNNNNNNNNNNNNNNNNNNNNNNNNNNNNNNNNNNNNNNNNNNNNNNNNNNNNNNNNNNNNNNNNNNNNNNNNNNNNNUAACCAUUUUAUUAUUGCCUCUAGGGCAUAUUUCCAACAGUCUCCCAGUUGCACUAGAGUCAAUAAUCUAGUUACAUUGUGAUGUAUCGAACACCCAUAGCAUUAUGGUGUUGAUCAUGUUUUGCUCGUGGAAGAGGUUUAGUCAACGGGUCUGCAAUAUUCAGAUCCGUGUGUACUUUACAAAUAUCUAUCACUCCACUCUGGACAUGGUCCUGGAUGGAGCUGUAGCGGCGUUUGAUGUGCUUCGUCUUCCGGUGAAACCUGGGCUCCUUGGCUAUGGAAAUGGCCCCAGUGUUAUCACAGAAGAGUGUCAUAGGACCCGACGCGCUUGGAACCACUCCAAGGUCGGUGAUGAGCUCCUUCAUCCAAAUUCCUUCUUGAGCCGCUUCUGAAGCAGCUAUGUACUCCGCUUCACGUGUAGAUGCUGCCACGACUUCUUGCUUGCUGCUGCACCAGCUCACUGCCCCACCAUUCAACACAUAUACGUAUCCGGUCUGUGACUUAGAGUCAUCCGGAUCUGUGUCGAAGCUAGUGUCGACGUAACCCUUUACGACGAGCUCUUCGUCACCUCCAUAAACGAGAAACAUUUCCUUAGUCCUUUUCAGGUACUUAAGGAUAUUCUUGACCGCUGUCCAGUGUUCCAUACCUGGCUCACUUUGGUACCUCCCUACCAAACUUAUGGCAAGGUUUAUAUCAGGUCUGGUACACAGCAUGGCAUACAUUAGAGAGCCCACGGCUGAAGCGUAGGGGACAGAACUCAUCUUCUCUCUAUCUGCUGCCGUGGUCGGCGACUGAGUCUUACUCAAUCUCAUACCUUGCAAAACUGGCAAGAACCCUUUCUUUGAGUUUUCCAUAUUGAACUUCUUCAAUAUCUUGUCAAGGUAUGUACUUUGCAAAAGACCUAUGAGGCGUCUUGAUCUAUCUCUAUAGAUCUUGAUGCCUAAUAUGUAUGCAGCUUCUCCAAGGUCCUUCAUUAAAAAACUCUUGUUCAAAUAGGCCUUUAUGCUCUCCAACAUCUCUAUAUUAUUCCCCAUCAAUAAUAUGUCAUCCACAUAUAGUAUGAGGAAAGCUACAGAGCUCCCACUCACUUUAUUGCACAGACAGGCUUCUCCGUAAACCUGUAUGAACCCAAAAGCUUUAAUCACCUCAUGAAAGCGAAUGUUCCAACUCCGAGAUGCUUGCACCAGCCCAUAGAUGGAGCGCUGGAGCUUGCACACUUUGUUAGCACCCUUAGGGUCGACAAAACCUUCUGGUUGCAUCAUAUACAACUCUUCCUUAAGGUUCCCGUUAAGGAACGCUGUUUUGACGUCCAUUUGCCAAAUUUCAUAAUCAUAAAAGGCGGCAAUUGCUAACAUGAUUCGGACUGAUUUCAGCUUCGCUACGGGAGAGAAAGUCUCUUCGUAGUCAACUCCUUGAAUUUGUCGAAAACCCUUUGCGACAAGUCGAGCUUUGUAAACGAUUACAUUACCAUUUGCAUCAGUCUUCUUCUUGAAGAUCCAUUUAUUUUCUAUGGCUUGCCGGUUAUCGGGCAAGUCCACCAAAGUCCAUAUUUUGUUCUCAUACAUGGAUCCUAUCUCGGAUUUCAUGGCAUCAAGCCAUUUGUUGGAAUCCGGGCCCUCCAUCGCUUCUUCAUAGUUCGAAGGUUCACCGUUGUCUAACAACAUGAUUUCCAUCACAGGGUUGCCGUACCACUCUGGUGCUGAGCGUGCCCUUGUGGACCUUCGCGGUUCAGUGGUAACUUGAUCCGAAGCUUCAUGAUCAUCAUCGUUAACUUCCUCUUCAGAUGGUGUAGGCUCCACAGGAACAACUUCCCGCGCUGCACUACUAUCCUGUUCGAGAGGGGGUGCAAUUACCUCAUCAAGUUCUACCUUCCUCCCACUUACUUAUUUCGAGAGAACCUCUUUCUCUAGAAAGUAUCCGUUCUUGGCAACAAAGGUUUUACCUUCGGAUCUAAGAUAGAAGGUAUACCCUAUAGUUUCCUUAGAGUAUCCUAUGAAUACGCAUUUCUCCGCUUUGGGUUCGAGCUUUUCUGGUUGAAGUUUCUUCACAUAAGCAUCGCAGCCCCAAACUUUAAGAAACGACAACUUAGGUUUCUUGCCAAACCAUAGUUCAUACGGUGUCGUCUCAACGGAUUUAGACGGUGCCCUAUUUAAAGUGAAUGCUGCAGUUUCUAAUGCGUAUCCCCAAAAUGAUAGCGGUAAGUUGGUGAGAGACAUCAUAGAUCGUACCAUAUCUAAUAAAGUGCGAUUACGACGUUCAGACACUCCGUUGCGCUGCGGUGUGCCAGGCGGCGUCAGUUGUGAAACGAUUGCACACUUCCUUAGGUGUGUGCCAAACUCGUGACUCAAAUAUUCUCCUCCACGAUCAGAUCGUAGACAUUUAAUUUUUCUGUCACGUUGAUUCUCAGCCUCACUCUGAAGUUCCUUGAACUUUUCAAACGUCUCAGAUUUGUGCUUCAUCAAGUAGAUAUACCCAUACCUACUCAAAUCAUCGGUGAGGGUGAGAACAUAACGAUAACCACCGCGAGCUUCAACGUUCAUUGGACCACACACAUCAGUAUGUAUUAUUUCCAAUAAGUCGGCUGCUCUCUCCAUUAUUCCUGAGAAUGGAGUCUUAGUCAUCUUGCCCAUGAGGCACGGUUCGCAUGUGUCAAAUGAUUCAAAGUCAAGAGACUCUAAUAGUCCAUCAGUAUGGAGCUUCUUCAUGCGCUUAACGCCGAUAUGACCAAGGCGGCAGUGCCACAAGUAUGUGGGACUAUCAUUAUCAACUUUGCAUCUUUUGGUACUCACACUAUGAAUAUGUGUAACAUCACGAUCGAGAUUCAUCAAGAAUAAACCAUUCACCAGCGGAGGAUGACCAUAAAACAUAUCACUCAUAUAAAUAGAACAACUAUUAUUCUUUGACUUAAAUGAGUAGCCGUCUCGCAUUAAGCAAGACCCUGAUACAAUGUUCAUGCUUAAAGCUGGUACUAAAUAACAAUUAUUAAGGUUUAAAACUAAUCCCGACGGUAGAUGUAGAGGUAGCGUGCCGACGGCGAUCACAUCGACUUUUGAACCAUUCCCGACGCGCAUCGUCACCUUGUCCUUGGCCAGUCUCCACUUAUUCCGCAGUUCCUGCUUUGAGUUGCAAAUGUGAGCAACAGCACCGGUAUCAAAUACCCAGGAGCUACUACGAGCGCUGGUAAGGUACACAUCAAUAACAUGUAUAUCACAUAUACCUUUAACGUUGCCGGCCUUCUUGUCCGCUAAGUAUUUGGGGCAGUUCCGCUUCCAGUGACCUUCUCCCUUGCAAUAGAAGCACUCAGUCUCGAGCUUGGGUCCGUUCUUUUUCUUCUUCCCGGCAUCUGGCUUACCGGGCGCGGCAACAGCUUUGCCGUCUUUCUUGAAGUUCUUCUUACCCUUGCCUUUCUUGAAACUAGUGGUCUUGUUGACCAUCAACACUUGAUGCUCUUUCUUGAUUUCUACUUCUGCAGAUUUGAGCAUCGAGUACAACUCGGGUAUGGUCUUCUCCAUCCCUUGCAUGUUGUAGUUAAGCACAAAGCCUUUGUAGCUUGGUGGGAGAGACUGGAGGAUUCUGUCAAUUAUAGCAUCAUCCGGAAGUUCGACUCCAAGUGAAGUCAGACGACCGUGUAACCCAGAAAUUUUGAGUAUGUGCUCACUGACAGAACUGUUCUCCUCCAUCUUACAGCUAAAGAACUUGUCGGAGACUUCAUAUCUCUCGACACGGGCAUGAGCUUGAAAAACUAGCUUCAGCUCCUGGAACAUCUCAUAUGCUCUAUGUUGCUCAAAACGUCUUUGGAGCCCCGUUUCUAAACUGUAUAACAUGCCACACCUGACCAGAGAGUAGUCAUCACUCCGCGUUUGCCAGACGUUCAGAAUGUCCUGGGCCGAUGCGGGAGCGGGAGGGUCACCUAGCGGCACAUCAAGGACAUAAGCCUUUUUAGCUGCUUCAAGGAUGAGCUUCAAGUUGCGAACCCAGUCCGCAUAGUUGCUACAAUCAUCUUCAACUUGUUUUUCUCUAGGAAUGCGUUGAAAUUGAGGUUGACGUUGGACAUCUACAAUAUUUAUAAAGACAACUUUUAGAAUAAGUUCAUGACAAUUAAGUUCAUUUAAUCAAAUUAAGUAUGAACUCCCACUUAAAUCGACAUCCCUCUAGUCAUCUAAGUGACACAUGAUCCAUGUUGACUAACCCGUGUCCGAUCAUCACGUGAGACGGACUAGUCACCAUGGUGAGCAACUCCAUGCUGAUCGUAUUCAACCAUACGACUCAUGUUCGACCUUUCGGUCUCUUGUAUUCGAGGUCAUGUCUGUACAUGCUAAGCUCGUCGAGUCAACCUACGUGUUUCGCGUGUGUAAAUCUGGCUUACACCCGUUGUAUGCAAACGUUAGAAUCUAUUACACCCGAUCAUCACGUGGUGCUUCGAGACAACGAACCUUCGCAACGGUGCACACUUAGGGGAAUACGUUCUCGAAAUUUUAAGGGGGAUCAUCUUAUUAUGCUACCGUCGUUCUAAGCAAUAAGAUGUAAAACAUGAUAAACAUCACAAUGCAAUCAUAUAGUGACAUGAUAUGGCCAUUAUCAUCUUUGCUCUUUCGAUCUCCAUCUUCAGGCAUCGCAUGAUCAUCAUCGUCACCGGCGUGACACCAUGAUCUCCAUCAUCGUGUCUCCGUGAAGUCGUCACGCCAACUACUACUAUCAUUACUACUAUAGCUAACCGUUAGCAAUGAAGUAAAAGUAGUAAGCACAUGGCGUUGCAUCUCAUACAAUAAAUUAAGACAACUCCUAUGGCUCCUGCCGGUUGCCAUACUCAUCGACAUGCAAGUCGUGAAACCUAUUACAAUAACAUGAUCAUCUCAUAGAUCAUACAUGCAACAUCACAAAUUUGGACAUAUCACAUCACACGUCAAACCCUGCAAAAACAAGUUAGACGUCCUCUAAUUGUUGUUGCAAGUUUUACGUGGCUGAUUUGGGUUUCUAGCAAGAACGCCUUCUUACCUACGUGACAGCCACAACGAUGAUAUGCCAAAGAUAUUUACCCUUCAUAAGGACCCUUUUCAUCAAAUCCAAUCCGACUAGAGUAGGAGAGACAGACACCCGCUAGUCACCUUUAUGCACGGUGUGCAUGUCUGUCGUGGAACCAGUCUCACGUAAGAGUACGUGUAAAGUCGGUCCGGGCCGUUUCAUCCCACAAUACCGCCGGAAAAGAAUAAGACUAGUAGCAGCAAGCAAAUUGACAAAUCAUCGCCCACAACUUUUGUGUUCUACUCGUGCAUAGAAUCUACGCAUAGAAAACCUGGCUCUGAUACCACUGUUAGGUAACGUAGCAUAAAUUCAAAAUUUUCCUANNNNNNNNNNNNNNNNNNNNNNNNNNNNNNNNNNNNNNNNNNNNNNNNNNNNNNNNNNNNNNNNNNNNNNNNNNNNNNNNNNNNNNNNNNNNNNNNNNNNNNNNNNNNNNNNNNNNNNNNNNNNNNNNNNNNNNNNNNNNNNNNNNNNNNNNNNNNNNNNNNNNNNNNNNNNNNNNNNNNNNNNNNNNNNNNNNNNNNNNNNNNNNNNNNNNNNNNNNNNNNNNNNNNNNNNNNNNNNNNNNNNNNNNNNNNNNNNNNNNNNNNNNNNNNNNNNNNNNNNNNNNNNNNNNNNNNNNNNNNNNNNNNNNNNNNNNNNNNNNNNNNNNNNNNNNNNNNNNNNNNNNNNNNNNNNNNNNNNNNNNNNNNNNNNNNNNNNNNNNNNNNNNNNNNNNNNNNNNNNNNNNNNNNNNNNNNNNNNNNNNNNNNNNNNNNNNNNNNNNNNNNNNNNNNNNNNNNNNNNNNNNNNNNNNNNNNNNNNNNNNNNNNNNNNNNNNNNNNNNNNNNNNNNNNNNNNNNNNNNNNNNNNNNNNNNNNNNNNNNNNNNNNNNNNNNNNNNNNNNNNNNNNNNNNNNNNNNNNNNNNNNNNNNNNNNNNNNNNNNNNNNNNNNNNNNNNNNNNNNNNNNNNNNNNNNNNNNNNNNNNNNNNNNNNNNNNNNNNNNNNNNNNNNNNNNNNNNNNNNNNNNNNNNNNNNNNNNNNNNNNNNNNNNNNNNNNNNNNNNCAAUAACCAUCAGCGGGAUCAGGAUACCCAUGGUGGCUCCCACUUGCUCCACGAUGAUCUCAUCGGAUGAACCACGAUGUCAAGGAUUCAAUCAAUCUCGUACACGAUUCCCUUUGUUUGUCGGUAUAGAACUUGCCCGAGAUUCGAUCGUCGGUAUACCUAUACCUUGUUCAAUCUCGUUAUCGGUAAGUCCCUUUACUCGUUCCGUAGCACGUCAUCCUGUGACUAACUCCUUAGUCACAUUGAGCUCAUGAUGAUGUUCUACCGAGUGGGCCCAGACAUACCUCUCCGUCAUACGGAGUGACAAAUCCCGAUCUCGAUUCGUACCAACCCAACAGAUACUUUCGGAGGUACCCGUAGUGCACCUUUAUAGUCACCCAGUUACGUUGUGACGUUUGAUACACCCAAAGCACUCCUACGGUAUCCGGGAGUUGCACAAUCUCACGGUCGAAGGAAAAGAUACUUGACAUUAGAAAAGCAUUAGCAUACGAACAAUACGAUCUAGUGCUAGGCUUAGGAUUGGGUCUUGUCCAUCACAUCAUUCUCCCAAUGAUGUGAUCCCGUUAUCAAUGACAUCUAAUGCCCAUGAUCAGGAAACCAUGAUCAUCUAUUGACUAACGAGCUAGCCAACUAGAGGCUUGCCAGGGACACAUUGUGAUCUAUUUAUUCACACAUGUAUUACUGUUUCCUGUUAAUACAAUUAUAGCAUGAACAAUAGACGAUUAUCAUGAACAAGGAAAUAUGAUAAUAACCAUUUUAUUAUUGCCUCUAGGGCAUAUUUCCAACAUAUUCAUCUUCAUUUGUCCACCAUGUGAACAUCCACAAGAAUCAAGCAUGUAGUGCUCAGGAAUGCUUAUCUUGAUCUUGUCCUUGUUAGCACAUGAGCUUGUCCUUAUCAACACAUGAUCAUUAACAAUAGUUUCAAUGAUAUAUUCGUGCUGAUCCACUUGAACUUGCACACCAUAAUCUUGAUGACGAUCGCCACUUGACGUCAUCCUUCAUGGGUUGUAUGAGAUCUUCCUUUUGACGCAAGCCCAUGGAAGCACACCUAACUCCCACAUAGGACUCUCACAAAGACCAUGGGUUAGUACACAAACACGUAAUGGACAAUGCUUACCAUACCAUGGGAUCACUUGAUUCCUCUCGGUACAUCUUGUACGCUUUGUGUGCUGAUCAUCUUGAUUUACUCUUUGUCUGAGAUCUUGAACAACCUUGUGUCUCUAUGACCAUUCUUUGGAUAAUACUUUGAAUACCACCUUGGUUAUCAUAUAAACUCCUUGAACCCAACAGAUGGACUUCAAGAAGUGCCUAUGGACAAAUCCUAUAAAUAUAACUUAAGGCAACCAUUAGUCCAUAGGAAUUGUCAUCAAUUACCAAAACCACAUAUGGAGAUAUAUGCUCUAACACCUGCGCCAUGCACAGCGGGUGGAGCCCGCCAGCCCGUCACCCCGACGCGUGGCUCCACGCUGCUAGUCUCGCCGGCGCCAGCCGAGGCUGCCUCGCCCGGCUCUCAGCCGGCCUCCCCUGUGUCGGCCGCUGCCACGCCUGGCUCCCAGCCGACCUCACCUGCGCUGGCUACUGCUUCGACGGAUCCCGGGCUGCCGCCCAGCUCUGCGUCGGAGGUCUUGGCUCCAUCAUCUCCUACACCAACACCGCCUGUUCUGCCUGCUGUCACGCAUCGUCCUCGCACACGUAGCCAAUCCGGUGUUCUUUGUCCAAAGGAACGCACGGAUGGUACGGUUGCAUGGCUGGCUGCGUGUAUGGCUCAUACUGUUGCUAAUCCCACUGCCGAGCCUUGUCAUUUUCAGGCUGCACUCAGUAUUCCACACUGGCGUAUGGCAAUGGAAUAGGAAGUUCAGGCUCUCCACAAGAAUAACACUUGGCGCCUUGUUCCUCCAGUUUCUGGUGUCAACAUUAUUGAUUCCAAGUGGGUUUUUAAAGUCAAACGACAUGCUGAUGGCUCCAUUGGACGCUACAAGGCACGGCUGGUUGCAAAGGGCUUCAAACAGAGGUAUGAUCUUGAUUAUGAAGACACGUUCAGUCCAGUCAUCAAGCCCACUACCAUUCGAUUGCUACUGUCUCUUGCUGUUACUAGAGGAUGGUUCCUUCGUCAGCUUGAUGUAUAGAAUGUUUUUCUCCAUGGAGUUCUGGAGGAGGAGGUUUAUAUGCGUCAGCCACCUGAUUUUGUUGAUCCGGCUCGCCCUCAUCAUCUCUGUCGUCUGGUUAAGGCAUUGUACGGACUCAAGCAGGCUCCUCGUGUGUGGCAUGCUCGCCUUGGAUCUGUUCUUCGGGCUCUUGGGUUUACUCCCUCCACUGCUGAUAUGCCGCUCUUUCUACUCCAGCGCCAUGAGGUUACGAUGUAUCUUUUGGUAUAUGUUGAUGACAUCAUUCUCAUCAGUUCCUCUGACUCUGCUGCUGAUCGUCUUGUGACUGCCCUCAGUGCUGAUUUUGCUGUCAAGGAUUUAGGUGCUCUGCAUUUUUUCCUUGGUCUGGAGGUUUCACGUUCUUCUGCUGGGCUGACUCUCACUCAGAAGAAGUACUCCUUGGACUUGUUGCGCCAUGCUGGUAUGAUCAAAUGCAAACACGCUAUCACCCCGAUGUCUGCCACUGAUCGGUUGUCUGCUCUUGAUGGUGAUUCUCUAUCUUCUGAUGAUGCUACUGAGUAUCGUAGCCUUGUUGGUGGUUUACAAUACAUCACCAUUACUCGGCCUGAUAUCUCCUACGCAGUCAACCGUGUGUGCCAAUUUUUGCAUGCGCUCACGACAUCUCAUUGGUCAGCAGUGAAACGUAUUUUGCGCUAUGUCAGUCUUACUGCUUCCUAUGGCUUGCUUCUUCAGCCGGCACCUUCGUUGGAGUUGUCUGCUUUCUCUGAUGCGGACUGGACUGGCAAUCCUGACGACAGGCGAUCCACGGGGGGAUAUGCGGUAUUUCUGGGUUCUAACUUGAUCGCCUGGAAUGCUCGUAAGCAAGUAACAGUGUCUCGCAGUAGUACUGAAGCUGAGUACAAAGCUGUUGCUGACGCGACUGCUGAGAUUAUAUGGGUACAGUCUCUAUUGAGAGAGUUGCAUGUUACUCAAGCUCAUCCACCGGUUCUGUGAUGUGACAACAUUGGUGCUACCUAUCUUUCAUCCAACCCGGUGUUUCAUGCUAGGACUAAACACAUUGAAGUGGACUAUCACUUUGUUCGGGAACAUGUUGCACAGAAGCUACUUUCUAUCAAGUUCAUCUCAUCAAAGGAUCAACUUGCUGACAUCUUCACGAAGCCUCUUCCACAACCACAGUUUGUAGGCUGUAGGCGCAAUCUUAACUUGCUUUGUACUUCAGGCCAUAGUUAAGAUUGAGGAAGGGUGUUAGACUGUAUAUACGUAGCCCUGUAUACAUAUACUGUACAUUGUAUUCUACCCCUUGGGUAUCCUUAUAUAAUGAGAUAGCCACACCCCGUUUAGGGUGUCGAGCACUUUUCAAACAUUACGUUUUACAAUCCUGACCUCUAAGAUUUGCAUAUGCGAAGCUUUUAACAAUUGCGCAUGAAUGACGCCGGGGCAGAUGUGGCGUCUCGCCGGUCGCCGUCCAUGGUGGAUCCGAGCUUCUUUUGCGUGCGGGGAGGCAUGGACCCAAGCUACCUAGCUAGGACGAAAUCAGCAACAAAGACGUGGAGGCUUCUUGAGCAACGCAGCGUGGGCAAUCGACGCGAACCAGAGAGAGGUAAAAAAGCAAGAUGACGCCGCGUGGCCCCGCCCCAACAACACCCACGACGCGUCGAACACACAAACACACACAGGAGCAUCAAGCAAGCAUGUGAUGCUCUCGUCUCGCAGCAGUGAUGAAGGACAGAGGAAACCACGGGACGGGCAAGGAGCGCGGGUUCCAUGUUUGGAGUAGCUCAUUUUCAACUACUACUAGUAGCCAGUUUGAUUUCUACGUAGUAGCAUAGCAUACACGUGGGCACCACAAGCAUUGAGUUACAUCGUUGCGUAUUACCACGUGACGCCGAUUAUCCAUAUUGUUUUUUUGGCGCACAUUCAUUCAUAAGCUUAUUUAUAUUGAUUGAAAAUGGGUGCACGACUGCACGUGGUGGGGUUCCCAAGGUCUACACGGUUUCAGCUUGUCCCUUAUCAUCUUCUUGACAAGCGUGUCAAAAGAAAAGAGAAAAAUGUGUUGGUGAUUGAUGACAAGUCUCUAUCAAGACGUAAAGUGACGAGGCAUCAUGUGCUAUCUAGUAACAUAAGUUUUCAAAACACUAUUUUGAGAAAGCUUUUUUCCCCUCUCUUUUUCCACAAAUUUUCCAAAUUUUUAAUAGAAUGACAACAAACCUCUACAUUGUUAGGAAGUUACUAACUCGACCAUCUGAAUUAGCUUUUACUCUAAAAGCAACAAUUCAGAUCUUGUCAAACAAACAAAGAGGGCUAUCCUGCCGUUGUCCACUACGCAUGCAUCACUCACCGGCGGCAAGGAGUUGGCGGUGCUAGGGUUUUGGAUGUCGAAAGAGGAGUUAAUCUCUUUAAAUUUUUUACACCCCGUCACACGCAUGACCUCAAAAGGAAAUUUAUUAGCAAUAGUAUUAUCUGUCCUGUGAGCUACGAGCACGCGAGAGAUUAAUUAGCGAGGAUCUUGAUUUCUUACCGAAUGCCAACAUGUUUCAUGUGUUGAGAGGUCUACACUUUGGAUCGGUCGAUUCUCCACGCGUUCAGAAUAGAUCAAAAGGUGAUCAUGUCACUUUGUUAAGGCAACUAGCUCGGUUUGUCAGUGCAACAUUACCAAGUGUGAUUGCUAUGUUUUGUCUUGGUUUUUUUUAUUUCUUCAGGAGGUGGUGAGAUGGAUUAUAGAUAUGUGGAUCAAUGUCACCAAGCAUUAUCACCCCCUUUUCUGUUAUCGAUGGAUCCUUGGAGUAGAUGACAAGGGUCAAGGCAAAGUGUGCAGUCAUUUUUGAAAUAGAAAACCUUGUACACCCUUGGAGGCCAACCUCCUCACAUUAUUGUACACCCUUGGUUCCCAAGGUCUACAUGGUUUCGGUUUGCCCCUUGUCACCUACUUGAAAAGCGUGUCAAAUUAAAAAAGAUGGUGAUGGUGGUUGAUUGCAUGGCUCCCCAAGGCAUAAAGUGGUGAGGCAUUAUGUGCUAUCUAACAACACAAGUUUUCCAAGCAUUAUCUUUAUUAUUAUUUUANNNNNNNNNNNNNNNNNNNNNNNNNNNNNNNNNNNNNNNNNNNAUUAUUUUAUUAUUUUUUACACUUUUCCCUAAUUUUCAAGAGGAUGACAACAAAUCUAAGCCAUUUUCUAUUUCCUUCUUUCUCUCUACUUUGUCAGGAAGAUACCAACUCCUUCAUUUGGAAUUAGCUUACCCUAAAAGCAACAGUUCAGAUGUUGUUGGACAAUAAGAGCGUAGUGGCAUAGUGGAACGAAGUGAUCGGACCUAGUGUAUGAUAUGACCGAGAAAACCCUACAAGUUUUUGGACAUCCACCAGCGGACGAUUGAGUGAGCGAGGAGAUUUUUUUUUUGGACCCAAGAAAGAAGGUUCGCUCGUCCCGCUCCCGCAAGCGGGGGACGAACCCUAGAUCGAGCGCCGCCAGCCCCACCCUCCUCGNNNNNNNNNNNNNNNNNNNNNNNNNNNNNNNNNNNNNNNNNGCCCGGUCGUCGGCGGCGGCGGCGGGCCUUCUUCAUCCCUCGCACGGGGGGCUGGCGCGGGCGACCUCCUCGGGUUGUGACGAGCCAUUGGGUAGGACGCGGCGGCGUGACGGCGGUGGGCGCCCCGGUGACGACGACGGCUGCAGUUGGCGCGUGGUGGCCUGCUAGGGCCUCGGUGGUGGCGGGUUGGCCUUUUCCCGGCCAGAUCUAGUGCGGGACGUGGCUGACGGCGCAGGGCCAGGUACUUGGGGGCGAUGGGUGCGUGUGGGCGGUGAAUCCGGCGAGGCAGUGCACGCCCGUUGCGGUGGUGCUGCUCGAGGCUUCGCGGUCGGCGGUGGGGCGGGGCUGCUGCCUCGGUUGGCAGCGUUCGAUCCGGGACUGCAGGUGGCGGUGCGGAUCUGGUCCGUGGCGGAGAAUGGCGGUCGACGGUGCACAGGCAGUGGGCCGACCUAGUCCGCGGUGGUGCUUGCCGCCGCGUUAGUGCCCCUUCUUGUUGCUCCUUCGCGACGUCGGUCCGAGUGGGUGCCUGUGUUGCUGCUAUGCUACGGACGGAUCGACGGCGCUAACUAUGGCUAUGGCGGCGUGUGAGUUUGUCUCGGGCUGGUUGUGGACCAUGCCGAGGCUUGCUCGGCGGUGGCCGUCGACAGCUACUAGGCUGUGUUGCCCACAGUCGACGAUGAUUGUCGGGGGACGCACACGUGGAUGCCCCCUAAUGUGGGGGUGUUCACCCAGGCCAGGUAGCUGAUGCCGGGCUAGGAGCGGAAGGAGACACCUCCCGUCUCUCCCACCAUGGUUGCACGUUGUGAGGUCGGCGGUUGGUGGUGACGGCGUGGGUGGGGGCUGGGAUCCGACUUCGGGCUCUCGGCGGUUGCGGUUGGUCUCUUCCAUUGCGGGCGUGCGGCGGGGGUGCAGCUAGGCCAAUGGCGGUCCGGCGCCUUGGUAGAGGUGGCCGGCGGUGCGCGUGGUGGUGGUGCUUCCACUUGGCGGCGAGGCGGACUGGUCUUGUUGCCGCGACCAUGAUGCUACCUGUGCGGAGGUGUGAAGGAGCGCCUUGGACGGGGGGCGGCGUCGAAGACGGCGUGCUUUCUGCAGUGCGAUAGCGGGAGAUUUACGGGCAUCUAAAGCCCCGGCCGGGCCUGUGGCGACGGGCCUGGUUUGCUCCCGCUAUCGCGUCCGGUCGGUUACCGUCCUUGACGGUGGAGGCUGUGCCCUCCUGCAUACCGUUGGUGAUGAUGCCCCUAGCCCCGGCUCCUCUUCCUUGUCAUGCAGACCCCUCCUUGCGUUGCUGUGGUGAACCGGCGUGGAAGCUUCAAGUCCAUGUUGGCGCGGGGUUGUGGUCGGUUUGGUGGCGGGCUCCAAUGCGCUUGAGGUGGAGGUUGGGAUCAGGAGAAAUCCCAGUCGGCCUGGUCGAUACCGACGCGGUGGCGCCUGCGGGUGCCGCCAGACCUUCCUGAAGGGCGUUGAGGCUACCCUUCCUUUCCCCUCGCCGCGUACCGGGGGAAUCCCUUAGCAGCAUCGUCGUCAUCGUCGCGCCCCUUCUUGGAGGUGUUGAUUGGUACCGGCGUCUCGGAGUCUAGGAGCUUGGUGGGUGUUCUUAGGUGGACGCAGCGGUCGCGAGGCUUCUCUGUUUUUGGUGAUCCGUCGCUGUCGGCAUUUGUUUGUUUUACUCUUUCUUUGUUGUUUCUUUUGGAUGUGUCCGUGCUGUUUUCGUCCUAACACCUAUUGUUGAAUGUAUUGAAAACGAUUGCUUUGUAAUAUAAAGCGGGACGAAAGCCUGUUUCGAGGAGCACGAUUGAGUAACUUUUUUUCAUAAUAAAACAACGAGCAGCGCUGAACGUAUCAGCUCAAGCGCUCAUACAAGUGGCCGACACUGCGUCAAGCCGUGCAUACAUCCACAUUUGAAAAAGACAUAAAAGAUGGACGACACUGCUUCUGUGCUUCAAGCCAUACGUCCACCUACACUCGUUACCGGAAAAUCCAAACAAACCGCAAUCUGAAACCCUGGAUGGACUGCAUGGGUACCGGCCAGCGGUUUGCCAGAGAAAAUGAGAAAUGAUUCUCAACAAAGAGAAACAACAUAUCACACAAACCACAAUUAUCUUGGGUGAUUAUACGACGCAUCACACAAUAUAAUCUAGGGAGUAGUACUGAGAUCAACACUAGACUGGUAGAUUCAGACAGACCGCACUGAGAUGAAUCGUCACAGCAACUUGCAAACUCUAGAUUAUUCCUGAAUUAAGAACGACACACUAGUCACUACUGAGUACAUGAUGAAAUGAGCUGAUCCAUGGAUGUGAGCAUGACAUGAUCCCCCUGCAGCUAGCUUAUCUGAACUAAUCGGCACCUCAUGAACUGAUAUAUCCCACGCACUAGUCAGCACCUCAUCAACUGAUCUGAUCCCCUGCAGGCUGCAGCUAGCUUAGCUGAACUAACAAACUGAUCCUCAUCGAUCUCCCAGGAGGGGGCCCAGGAGGAGGAGCAGGAAGAAGAGGACAUCGCCGGCAACGCACAGGACGAUGUCGACGGCGCAUGAGAUAUCAGAGAAGCAGUCUCCUGGUCCUGGGUCGGCGACGGGGAAGAGGCUGCCGUGGGCCAAGUACAUCCAGUACUGGUCGGCGAUGGUGAGCGCGAGCGCGAGGUAGGCCAAGGUGUAGCGGACCCAGACGCGGGGCCAAUAGCUCAAAUGCGACAUCUUUUCGUUGAAUUGGAAGCAGUGCGACAUCUUUUGAUGAAAUAACUCUCGUGCGACGGUUUGAAGGGAGAAAAUAGCUCAUGGCCAACAUGACCUUUAAACAGAAUUGAUCGUUAGCUGUUAGGGUUAUGUGACGCUUGGACCCACAACUUAUCCACCUCAGUAGCGUGGGACCCACCUGGCGGAAUCUAAAACAGAGUUGUGCCCGUGCCCGAGCUGGUGCCCAUGCCAUUUAUUCCCCUUUCCCCAAUCUUCCUCUUCUCCGCCCCUUCUCCGGCGACGGCGCACAGGAUGUCCAGCUCCUCCGCCACGCAGUCAAGAUGGCCAGAGUAUGGUGCAGUUCCGAUGAGAAGGUGUCCGGACUGCCCACGGCCAGAGGCUCUUAAGCGGAUGGUCAGUAAAACUGACGAGAAUGGCAACCUCGGGCGACAUUUUGUGUCAUGUUUGAGCAUUCCCAUGAUGGGACGGGAUGGCAAGGUAAGAUCUCGGUUCCUUCCCUGCAAUGUCGUAAUCUUUUGUUCAAAUUUAUCCAAAUUGCCUUUUUUUCUCCUCGAAUUUGAGAUCUAGGGUCAUGUUACUGUUUUCAAAUGCUGAAGAAAUGUUCUCAUUUUGAGUGGAUCGAUCAGUACGUUGAUAGGCUCGAAUCAGAGAGCCACAUUGAUAUGAAUGACGCCACAACCCGGAAUCUAAUUUUGGGGACGUUUACUGUGGAGAGACCCACUUUCAUCUCGGACAGAGGAGCGCGGGCGGAGAGACCCAUGCCAACGACGAGGAUUACGUGGAUUGCUGAACGGGCUGUCCGUGCUGAACUUCCUGUGGAGGCCGAAGUAAACGAGGAAUUGAAGAAGGUAAAGAAGCUUCUAAGGCAGAUGGUGGAUUUGCAGAAGCAAGCAAAUCUCAUUUUAUGUAUCAUUGUUCUGUUAUUUCUUUUCCUCUUGUUCAUCCGUCGUUACAAUGGACAAAAGUGUAAGCAAGCUAGUUUCAUGUACUGAGUGUAAGCAGAAAUUUCUUAAAUUCUUGAGUGAAGUGGGUAAUUUCAAAUUUGAAUAUGCAUUUCGAGUUCUUCAGUUAGCAAGUGCGAGACCAAAGUUCAGUUUCAGUAGAAAAAAAAUUAUCCGUGGGCUGGCGAAUAGAUUUUGGGCCAUGACGCUGAAGUUGAGGAAUAGCGAGGCCCAAAGAGUGCAGUUACACGAAAAAAUAAAUCUGAACUGCCUAAUAGAUGUUGGGCCGACAAAUCAGGCCCAUAGAGAAAACAAACCCACCUGCCUAGAUUUGACUUGUUUUUAUUUUAAAAAAUAUGGUUUUACUUGUUUUACUUGUCUUAGGUCCUAAAUAAUUUGAUUUGUUUUCAUGUUUGUAAUAUUUACUUCAUAAUUUUUUGUUAUGAGUUGCAUGCAUUGUUGACCGAAAUAUUUGUGUCAAAUAUUUUAUUCAUAAAGUAACACAGAGAGCAUCCAUAAUGUGUUUGAUUGUUUCCUUGACUUACUCAUUGGUCCUUCCCAUGCGCAGCCAGAACUAAGUCACGUAACCUUAAUUGUUUGGUUGUUUUCCAAAACUAAGUCACCUAAGCCAAUGCGCAUACUUUUUGCUUGGUGCUCAUUGGGCAUUCUAGCCAGAUUACUUAAUGCGUUAUAGCCAAACAUGCACGCAAAGUCAGCAAAGCUGACCAGCGGUAGCUAGGCUAUGGCCUGUCCAUUGUGAUCUGCUUCACAACGUACGAUCAAGCCAGUUCCUCUCCGAAGACUACCUUCACUUUCCAUUGUGAAUUGACCUGAAGCGAUUGCUUUUUUACUUGUAGUGCAUUACUCUAACGUGUACACUGUCGAUCUUGAUUUUUCUAAAUGAUGGCAACUAACAAGGACGUGUGAACAAGAUUAACAAGGCAACAAACAGAAUUCUAUUACUACCGGAGGCAACCAAUAGAGUAAAAAUAUUGUUACUCACCCUACUAUCAUCGCAUAUGAAACCAAUUCAACGGAGGCAACCAAUAGACACAUAGAUAUAGUACGUACGUAAGACGAUAGUAGUAGCGGACACAACAUUACGAUUACAACUUACAUAAAAUGAUAAGAUAGUUUUUGCAUAGAUAAGACGAUAGACAAGAAACGAUAAAAAACAUAUGAUAAACGGGAUAAACCCGACAUGGAGACGCGCGUCUUCACUCCUCAUCGUCGGCGGUCGGCAGGUUGUAGGGGAGAUUAUGUUCAAAAAAUUCAAAAAAAUAUUAUGUUCCAAAAUCAAAAAAUUCAAAAACUAUCGUCCUCAUAAAAUUCAAAAAAAUCAAAAAAGAAAAGAAAAACUUGUGCCCGUAAUCGUAUUAUGUUCCAAAGCAAUCAAAAAAUAUAUAAACAUGGUUUAUAUAUAAAUUGUGCAUGGUGUGCUGGUUGGGUCAGAUGCUGUCGAGGUCGGUGAAGAUGUUGUACGUGGUGAAGCAGAUGAACUCGCACCCCCCAAACCAGACAUGAUCGAGGAGGUGAUACGCAUCGUAGGGGUUGCGGAAGCGCACGAGGAUGCCAGUUCCUCCCAGGCGGGGCUCAUCGAUGGUGAACAUCUGGGGAGUUCCCACGGGGAGGUGAUGAGACAGGGCGCGAAGGANNNNNNNNNNNNNNNNNNNNNNNNNNNNNNCGUCGCGAACUCCCGUGCACCCCGCCAGCGGGACAUGGCCCAGACCCGGAGCUGGUUCUCGACGACGACCCCGGCGGGGUACAUCCUUUCCGGCAGGGUGCCGGGCGCUUGGAACGUCGGCCCGUGGAACUCCAUGGUUGCCUUGGGGGCUUGGUUGCUUGGAUGGGGCUUGGAUGUGAUGAGAGGGGUUGGGGGAGAAGGAGGAAGAUGAAGGUUAGAUGUGCACGAGAGGAGGGGUUAAAUAGGCGUUUUGGGCUGCAUCGCUUCGUCGACUUCGCGGCCGCAAUUAACUGAUGCCGUUUGUGUUUGCCUAUUGGAUCAAAGGGUGCUUCGUCGAUUCACAGACUGCGUCAAGCACGCCCCCGUUCAGACGAUGGACUGCACGCCCUUAUUCAGACUGCGGUCCUUGAUGCGCUGCUAAUGGCUCAGAUGCGACGCGUGCAUGCAUGCAAAACAACGCAACAAAGAAGCACACGAAGUCAGACGCACGUACGCCAUAUCCAUGCAUCACAUCAUUGUCAAUCGUCGGAUCUUCUUGAACGGUCUAGAUUGUACGCCACACGGGCCCUCGAUCCAAACCCCAGCUCGCCAGCCAAUCAGCUUGUAGAACGAGCGCACACGCGGAUAGGCGUCAGAUCCAACUGCUCACUCAGCAGCGAUCAACGGCUCUAAACAUGGCGGGGUUUCAGCUGGGGUUUUCUGGGUUUUGGUGUUUUCGGGGUUUAGGGUUUCAGUGAGCUAGGGUUGAGCACAAAUAAUUCAAAAAAAUCAAAAAAAUAUAAAACUUUCGCUCAUUGUCUACUGAUGCAACUAUGUUGCUAUAAAAAAAUUGAUUCUUGUUAUAUCCACGUUUCAAUGAAAUUUUUUCACACAAUUCACGGUAUUGAUGGAAUGAGCUAGGGUAGAGCAUAAUUAAUUCAAAAUAAUCAAAAAAUAUAAAACCAACGCACAUGGUCUACUUAUGCAACCGAUGUGCUAUAAAAAAUGUAAACUUGUUAUAUGCAUAUUUUAAAACCAAAAUUCACACGUUCACGAUAUCGACAAAAUGAGCUAGGGUUGAACAUAAGUAAUUCAAAAAAAAUAAAAAAAAUAGAAAACCAGCGCACAUUGUUAUUUUACAUCACAUACUUAGCAAACAAAAAUAUAAACUUUGUUUUUGAGUCGGUCAACGUUUUUUGGAAAAGUUGACAAUUUUUCAAAUGAGCACAAAUAAUUCAAAAAAAAUAAAAAAAAAGAAAAACUUGUGCCCAUAGUCGUAUUAUGUUGCAAAGCAAUAAAAAUAAUAUAAACAUGGUUUAUAUACAAUUGAUCGAAAAUUCCUUUAAUAAGAUGGGGUUUUGUUACAAUGUACAAUGUACUAUUCCGGUGUUUCGGCUGGGGUUUUCGGGGUUUUGGGUUUUUGGGGUUUAGGGUUUCACUCAGCUAGGGUUGAGCACAAAUAAUUUUAAAAAUCAAAAAAUAUAAAACUUUCGCUCACUGUCUACUGAUGCAACUACGUUGCUAUAAAAAAAGUUGAUUCUUGUUAUAUCCACGUUUCAACGAAAUUUUUUCACACAAUUCAUGGUAUUGAUGAAAUAAGUUAGGGUAGAGCAUAAUUAAUUCGAAAAAAAAUUAAAAAAUAAUAUAACCAGCGCACAUGGUCUACUUAUGCAACUCAGGUGCUAUAAAAAAAUACAAACUUGUUAUAUGCACAUUUUAAAACCAAAAUUCACAUGUUCACGAUAUCGAUGAAAUGAGCUAGGAUUGAACAUAAGUAAUUCAAAAUAAUAAUAAAUAAAAAAAACCAGCGCACAUUGUCAUUUUACAUCACAUACUUAGCAAACAAAAAUAUAAUCUUUGAUUUUGAGUCGGUCAACGUUUUGUGAAAAAGUUGACAAUUAUUCAAAUGAGCACACAAAAAAUAUAUAAACAUGGUUUAUAUACAAUUGAUGGAAAAGGCCUUUAAGAAGAUGGCGUUUACCCUACCUUAUGAGGUCGUUUGAAACACAUUUUUCAUGACUAUGAGUCUAACUUAACAAAAGAGCUCAGAAUGAUGACAUAACAACCAUAUUUGAGUUGUUGUGAUAACAUCGAGUCAAAAGUUCAAGUUGAGUCCAAAUUUGAAUUUAAACUGAUUUUUUUUUCAUCAAAUUUGAAAUUCAGUUUGAAAACAAUAAUAACCAAACAAGUUCUGAUGGAAACAUGUGGGUACAUAGUGCCCAACAAAUUUUAUUACAUGCCAUAAAUUGCAAAUUAUCACUGGCCUGCCAUUCGAGGCAACUGCAAUCAUGCAAUUCAGUGUUAACAACAUGCCUCCUUCCAGUCUUGUUAUCUCUAACUUCAGCAUCCCACAAUGAUGAUUUUUCAACAGACAAAUGUGUGAGACCUCUCCUUCUGUUGGCCACCUGUUGCACCACUCGUGGAAGUUUAUCACCUUGCAGACACUCAGCAAUCUUUUUUCUCAAUUCCCACAGCCGCAUGAGCAUGAUCCUGAUUUGAUCAACCAUGUCAUGCACAGGCAAAUCUUUUAGCUGCUUCACCUUGUUGUUGAAACUUUCUGCCAAAUUGUUGUUGAUAUGGUCACACUUGAUGGCAGUGUUGAAUCGUGACCUAUACCAUAAUAAAGAAUGGUAGGUGUUUAACCAUGUACCAAACUCCUCACAUGUUGCCAUUACCUUACUAAGAUGAUAUGAAUGUGUCUGUUUAGUGUAAGAUCUUGCUGCUGGCCACAUUCUCCCAAAUUCAUCUCCUCUGAAUUUUUUGAUCAAAUUCAUCCACGAAUGACCGAAACACUCUCUUUGCUCAGCAUGUGGGAACACAUUUUUAACUACAUUUUCCAGACCUUUGCAUGCAUCUGUGUGUAUUGCCAAAGGUGACACUGGCCCUAAGCAUCUUUUCAACUGCAUCAUGAACCAUGUCCAUGAAGCCUCUGUCUCUGACUGAAACAAGCCAAUAGCAACUGGAAACAUCCAGUUAUGUCCAUCUAGAGCAUUACAUGCUGCCAACUCACCAUUCCACUUGCCUGUCAAAAAUGAUGAGUGUAUGCUCAAAUAUGGACGACAUCCUGCUUUGAAGCCAUCGAUGCAAGGCUUUAAAGCCAUAAAUAAUUUGGAGAAAUAAACCUUGCCAUCCUUUGAUACCUCAGUAGCUAUCUCGACAACACUGCCAGGUGACCUUUUCUCCACCUCUGCUUUGAAAUUGAAAAACAGCCUAAAUGUGUUUGCCAAUAACCAUACAAAUUCUUCAUUGGCCUUUGUUUAGCCUUCCACACUGUGGUAUAAUGCAGUUUAAUGGGGUACAACUUUUCCAAGUCUACUUGGAGUCUUUUUGCAGUAGUGUUGGGUGCUUUGGCCAAAAUUGGAGUUAUCUUUUCUGCAACCCAAAUCUGUGAUGUCAUGCUUGUUUUUUUUCUGUGAACUUGUCAGACAAGUAUGUUUAUAAGGGAUUUGGUUGACCCUGAUAGUACUUCCAUCAGGCUGCAGUCUAGGAGAUAUGUACCACUUGCAAGCCCUCCUACCACUACCAUCAAAACCUCUGCACUUAGCAUAAAACUUCUUUCUAUCAGUCGAAACUGUCUUGGCAUCAAACUGAUGUGUGACUGCAUAAGUCUUGAAAGACAACCUGAACUCAUCCAUGUUUGGCCACAACUUCUCCACUCGAAUGACAGGGUUUUCCUUGUCAUACACAUGCACCAGCUCUUCAUCAUGUGCAUCAUCUACAUCAUCUGCAGCAUCUUUCAUCAACUGUUCAUCUACAUCUUCACUCAAUUCUCUGUCAUCAUUAUCACUUGCAUUAGCUUCAUCCCUCUCCUCCUCAUCUCUGUCAUCGACUGGAAUGCCAAAUAGUUUGGCCAUCUCAGUGUCAGCAAUUAGUGCAAUGACCAAAUCAGUGGGCUCCUCCAACUCAACUGCAUUCCAAUCAACAACAACAACAUUUCCCUCUUCUGCAUGUGCAUCAGCCCCAUUGGCUAUUACUGUCAUAUCAGUAAUAAUGGGAACAAUAUGCCUCUGUGAAGCCCAAUCAUCAUCUGCCUUCUGCAUAGCCAAGUGUGAUGGCACAUAACCCACCUUCGAGUCAAUAUUCAGAUCAAUGAGCGCAACAAAAAAUUCAGCCCUGAAGCUUGCCCAGCCCUCUUGCCUAUCGAUUUCAUCAACAAUAUCUUCACCAUCUUCAAUUCUGACAUACUCUCCUUUGAAAUCAUCAUACCGCAAUAAUGAAACCUCUUGCUCUGGACCCCAAAGCACAGUUUCCCCAAUUUUCUCCACCAAUUUCCUCACUGCCUUCUCUUCCAUCGACUGUAGAUCAUUGGGAUCAAUUUUCGCACAAUCAACCUCCCAUUUCACAAUUGUGUCUCUCUGGAUUUUCUGAAUGCUACCAUCAACUAAUUUUGCCGUCGAUGGAAAGAAAUUGAUUGCAAAUUCGAAGGUUUCAGCAGCAUCCCCUCUGUUAUAGGCGGGCGGGCAGUGUGAGACAAAGCAAAGAGUGCCUUCAAUCGCACUCACAAAUGGGCGGAAGGGAGGCGCAUUACGUGUUCGAAGCUGAAUCUGGCGGCUCCUUCUCGACCUAACCACGGGCUCCUCUCACCGCGCCGCCCCCUCUCACCUUCUAUCGAUUUCACCAAGCAAAACAGAGAGCUCAGAUCUACAAGGUGGAGGGGAUUGGGACUAGAGUAUCGAAUUCACUCACCAUCAUGGCCGUCGCCGCCGAAAGGGGGCUCCGCCGCCGCCAAGAAAGAGGUCUCCUCCGUCGUAGCCGCCGCCAGAGCUGAAGAAUGGAUCGCGGGCAGUUUCGGACAGUUCUGGUCAGGCAGUUUCACGGGAUGCAGUGCUAAUUAAUUUGGGUCAAAAUUAGGUAAGACAUCACUUAACGUAAAUUGGACUAGUUGACUAAGGUUUUAACGCAUGUGUGGCAGUGAGCUAUUUUCUCCCUUCAAACCGUCGCAGAGAGCUAUUUCAUCGAAAGAUGUCGUACUGCUUCCAAUUAGAUGGAAAGAUGUCGCAUCUGAGCAAUUGGCCCCCCAGACGCGGCGGAACGGGAGCUGCAUGGCCAGCACCGCCGCGGCCGCCUGGAGUGCGGCGCAUCACACGAUCCCGAUGUCCAGAGCGCUUGCCUCGUCGGCAUCCACCUUCGCGUCCAUCUGCCAAAAGAUCAUGGACUGCAGAGCUCACAGAAAACAUGGCCGCAAAACACGGCUCGUAGUUACCAGUUAGCACUUACCAGUGCGGAGGUGAAGACCGUCCAAACGCAGUAGUAGAGGAACAAGACAAAUGGGGUGAUGAGCACCCAUACGCUGACAAGUAGGACAACGACCGGAUGAGCGGCCACCGCCGCACUCACAGCAAGAAGAUGAGGCAUCUCCACGUCCAUGGACCCAACCUUCUUUUCCGCAGGCUCGUCCAUGGAUCCAAGCUAGAUCUGUCGUGAAAGAAGCGGACCAAUGUUCAUCAGCAUUUUUUUUAACCGGACAAACCCCUUUCCAUUACUCAUCAUAACGGAAAUACAAAGUUCGACCAAAGGAAAACAAAGAAAGGGGUGCGAGUUCAAAGCAUUUUUGGGAAACCCACCGUAGGCACUCGUCCUUGAGCAACCUACCGCAGGGCGAAAACCCCAAAACACCUAGCCACCGCAACCAAAAGGUCUAGAACCCACCCGUCACACAACAGGAAAACAAGUCUCACACAAACAUAGAACAUAGCCUGAUUCACUCCGGAAUCGACUAAUACGCCCAUGCAGGGGGAAUGGCAAACUAAAACCACCUGACCAUAGAAGCCACCACUUGUAGAAGCACCAUCAUCACUGAGCACCUUCUGGAGCAGCACAGAUCCGCAUCAAGUUCGUCGCAUUGGUCUUCAGCAUCUUAGCACCUCGCUCGAUAGCAUCCCGAUCUUCCCCUGCCAGUAAACCUGCCCAGUACGUAAAGAGACAACAAGCUGUAUAUAUCACAUCAAAGGGGGAUCUCAACUUUUUGUUCUCAAAGGUAGCACGGUUACGACAACUCCACAAUGCUCAACACACAGCAGCAAGACCACAAGUAUAGAAUCUAGCCCCAUUAGGGAGAUAUAUAAAGCACCACGAAUAGGAUUGCCAAAUGUUGUUAGGGCCCAGACUUGUACCAAGCAUGCAUCCUACAGUCCUCCAAGCCACCCUAGCAACUCGACAGGUAAACCAUAGGUGUUGUGAAGUUUCCCUCUCCCUACAAAAAGAGCACCUAGGAUUACCCCCACAUUUCCUUUUCUUCAUCACAUCACGAGUAAGAAUAGCAUCCUGGAAUAAUUGCCACAUAAAUAUCUGGAUCUUAAGAGGAAUUCUAGCUCUGCAGAUCCAUCUAUAGUCACAACCAGCAACGUUCCUUUCCACAUAUUCAUAAACAGACUUAGUAGAGAAUUUUUUACCACUCCCCAGCGUCUAGAUAACCUGAUCUGGAGCCUCAGAUAAUGUCCAACUAUGAACAGUUCUAUUCAGCUCUUCCCAUUGACAAACCAAAGCAUGGUUCAUCUGCCCUCUAAAGAAAUCAUUCUUCACCCCAACUUUAAAUUUCGCAACAGUCAUGUCUGGUGAUUACAGAUGAAGAACCAAUCAGCAUAAGUACUCUUUAGAGGUGGGUUACCACGAAUGGGAUCAUGCCAUAGUCUCAUAAUGUUACCAGAGUUUAAUAUCACUUCUCUGCCAGUCAUGUAUUGAGGUUUCAACUUCAUAAUGGCUUUCCAAAUGGGGGAGUCUGCAAACUUGCUCGCCACCGAGGCCACAUCAUCUUUUUUGAAAUAUUUGGCUUUUACUAUAUCUUGCCACAACCCUUCCUGGGUUUCCAACUUUCACCACCACUUAGUUUAGACACAUAUAUUUUGUUUAUGAAGGUCUUACACUCCUAGACCUCCUUUCUUCUUAGAUCUACAGAUACAAACUUAUCUCACUAAAUGGUACCUUUUAUUUCCCUCAUGUUCGCGUGAGAAGAAUUUUUUCCGAUGCUUAUCCAGCUUAUAUAUUACCAUCUUAGGAAGCAAGAACAUCGACAUGUAAUAAUAAACAAUACUAGUAAGAGAGGAAUUCAACAGGAUCAACCUACCCCCCGAGGAUGCUGCAUUACCAAUCCAAGUUUCACAACAUUUAAGAAACUUCUCAUGCACAAAAGGCCAGGCCAGGUUUCUGAGAUUAUUUUAGCUAACUGGAACCCCCAGAUAUUUCAUAGGAAAGUGUCCAAUCUACAAUUAAAUAAAUCAGCAUAUCUUUUAAAGAUGCCAUCAUCACCCCCCACACAAAGCAUUUCACUUUUAUCAAAAUUAAUCUUGAGCCCACACAUCAACUCAAACAUAUACAAAAGGAGUUUCAUACUAACAACCGCGUCAAAUCAUGUUCAAAGCAGAUGAAAGUGUCAUCUGCAUAUUGAAGUAUCGCUACGCCCCCCUCAAUCACGUCUGGGGCAAGACCAGUGAGAAGAUUUUCUUUUUGAGCAUUUAACACCAUCUUAGAAAGCGACUCAACCGCUAGAUUAAACAGAAACGUAGAGAAGGGGUCUCUCUAGUGCACCCCUUUAGGACUUUGGAAGUAUGAUCCUUUCUCAUUAUUCAGCUUGAUACAAACCGUACCAUCAUAAAUGAUUUUUUUCACCCAGUGUAACGACCAAGAUGCGGUCCUUUCCGAUCUGGGGGUCGAGGCCCCUGAAUAGGAAAGAAGCGCAUCUAAGCGUUUCGCAAGCAAGUAACAUAGCACAAAUAAUAAUAAAAGUAGACAAUUCGGGAUUCAACUGUCUUCUCAUUAAUAACUCAGAGUACAUCACAGAUACAAUCAAGGUAGUUCCGCUAUGGACUACAAAACAUGGAAAUGCUAUGCUACCCUGCCUGCAGGCCCACGAUCACGACCAUGCCCCAGUCCUCUGGAUAGUUCACGUAGAGGCGGUCCGUCUCCUCGUCGUACUACCACGCCAGCUGGGUGCCGUCGGGAUCAUCUGUCUCUGGGGUACCUGUACCUGUUGGGAGUUUCGGAGGAAUCCGUGAGUCACGGGGACUCAGUAAUCUAAGACCUUGGCGCCAGAACUAGCCAUGUUAUUAGGAAGGGUAAGAGUGAAGUGUAUAAGGCUGCGGCAUCCUAAGCUUGUUUUAGUGGCUAACUUACGUAAAGCAAUUGUGAAGGUGGUCUACACUAGCGGUCGGGAUUACUUGAUCACCAAGUGAUCCUGAACACCUACCUACAACAUUCAUAACCCGACCGUGUUCCCGAUCGAAGAGAGAUCUUCGAGGGGACAGUCACAGUUACGCACACAGUUGGCAAUUUUAUUAGCUUAUGUUUAAGUUCUCUAAUACCGGAUGUUAACAAGAUAUUCCAAGUUGCCACAUAACCGCGGGCACGGCUUUCCAAAAGAUUAAACCCUGCAGGGGUGCUCCAACUAGUCCAUCACAAACGAACACAGGCCGCAAAGUCAUCCUCUAUCAUGAAUCUCGUGAUCUCGUCGGAUUCCUUAGAGGAAAACCUCAACUCUGGGGAAACCAAAGAUUCACAGGGAUUCCUAUACGCAAGAUAUAUCGCUAAGGUAAGGCAAGGCUAGCAGGACCUCCCGGUGUGUCGACGACCCGAUAAGAGCCGCGUAUCUCAGUCUCAGGACAACACCGUCUGUGCAAAGUGGACAAGGACCAAACCUCAAGUUUCCCUGGGGUGGUCUUGCCGACUGCUAGGUGAUUGGACCAACACUCAUGAGGAGCACUGGCCCGGGUUGUGGAUUAAAUUCCUCGGGGUAGCUAUUCCCUAUGCAGGUUAUUAGGUGAUUAGCAAAUAAAACCAAUGUUGGGUCCUGCCGGACAAGCCUUAGCACUACGUGAUUUAUCGAGGGGGUCCCCAUAACAACCCCGAAAGUGUUAGGAGCGAUCAUUAUGGAAUCAAACACCGGUAACCGGUAACUNNNNNNNNNNNNNNNNNNNNNNNNNNNNNNNNNNNNNNNNNNNNNNNNNNNNNNNNNNNNNNNNNNNNNNNNNNNNNNNNNNNNNNNNNNNNNNNNNNNNACAACAGCCAAUGAACAGUAGCACCACAAGAUGCAACAAUCACAUGAUGCAUGAGAUGAAAAAUGAGCAUGCACCACUAUUUCUAUCUCUAGCACAAGCAAAAUAAACUACUUCAAGUUUCUGGACAUAACUAUACACUAAGCUAUUUUGACAUGCAUGAGGAUGGCAUGAACAGAUGCGGCUCGUGAAAAAAAUGCAAAACCAAAUAAAGAACAUUGCAAACGGAGCUACGGAUCAACGGGAAUCAACGAAACAAGAUAUGAAGCUCUCCGUGGAAGAAUCAACACCACACCCACAAUUGGCACAAAUCUGGUAUUCCCAGGUUGCCAAGACAUGUAACAACCCAACAUGAAUGUAUUGGAGCAAGGAAGAACACCACAACAUCAACUAAGCUCACACAAUGAUCAAGAUGACUAUACAACUCAAUCUGCCCCAAUCUGCAUCUUAGCUCUUUGUGAGCUACAUGCAACUUAGCUAUAGCCCUAUAAAUAUGACAAAUAAUAUAUGUGGCUGUAGCCAACCAAGAACACUACAAGCACCACCAAGAAUCACAGCAAAAGGAAUUAAACUAUAGAAGAUACAAGGCCACAAACUUUCCCAAAACCAUCAGAUCUCAGGGACUUAGUGAAAAUUCUUGCACCUGAAUUUCUGUCUUUGUUCUGAAGCUUUUUGACAGCAAUCAAAACACAACCUACUGGACUCCAAAUGAUAUGAAAUUUGACAGGGAGCUUCACAAACAUAUCAGGUCCAAAAUACUAGCACUGAACUAAGGCUAGUUAUCAACACAAUGACCAGCACAUCCUCAUCUACAGGAGAAGAAAAUGUUUCCAGUAUUCCCAGUGAAAUUAGGAGAAGAAAAUGUUUCCAGAAUUCCCAGACUUAGUGAAAUUCCAGAUUUCACAAAGCUGGACUUUUUCAGCCACAUGCCCACUUUGUCUAGGCAUAGUUGGCAUGCAAAUAACACCAAGUGAUAUAUGACACCACUAUGGUGUAGACCAAAACUCCUACUACUAUCACACAAAACCUCAUGCCCUUAGGCUCCACCUAUUCCAUGGAAUCAAAGAGCAAACUUGCAACAAAUCUGAAUAUGUCAACUCCAUAAGGUAUCCCAAUGGCAAGACUAACUUCACCACUGAAUUCCUUGGGAGAUUCUACCCCAAAAUCAUAUAUAAUAUGUGGGCACUUACUUGGAACCAGUGACCACAUAUUAGGGAAGAGGAAACCACUACAAAUCAUGCCUAGUGAAUAGGCAUCAUUUCAAGUAGUUCCACUAUAACAACAACUACAAAGGUUGAGCUCAUGUGCACAAUGACAAAGUGACAUGGGGGUUUGAACCCCAUGUUUGUGUCAUGCACAUCAACUUCACAACCCCUUCUACGAAGCUACCCAUACAUACAAAUCACCAUGCCCUCUCACAUAUGAACAUGUGAAGGUGCACAAGUGUUGCAAGGUGGGGAUGUUUUCACCACAUGCAUAUCAUCAACUCAUAAGCAUGUCAUCUAGUAGAAACUCACAGCACCUACAAAUGCUAGCAACACAAAGAAUGCUAACACAUGUAUAUGGCAAUCACACACACAUGCAUACCUACACUAGCAACCCUCAUGUGUGUGCAACACACACACACACAUGCACCUCUCACAAGCACCCAAUCAUACACCACAUCAUCUUCCACUACUAUACAACACAAGCAAGGAGAUAAAAACCNNNNNNNNNNNNNNNNNNNNNNNNNNNNNNNNNNNNNNNNNNNNNNNNNNNNNNNNNNNNNNNNNNNNNNNNNNNNNNNNNNNNNNNNNNNNNNNNNNNNCAGUGUCUUCUGAUUAUAAACAAGGUGCUGUUGCUUGAUAACUGGAUCACGUCAUUAGGAGAAUCACGUGAUGGACUAGACCCAAACUAAUAGACGUAGCAUGUUGAUCGUGUCAUUUUGUUGCUACUGUUUUCUGCGUGUCAAGUAUUUGUUCCUAUGACCAUGAGAUCAUAUAACUCACUGACACCGGAGGAAUACUUUGUGUGUAUCAAACGUCUCAACGUAACUGGGUGACUAUAAAGAUGCUCUACAGGUAUCUCCGAAGGUGUUCGUUGAGUUAGUAUGGAUCGAGACUGGGAUUUGUCACUCCGUGUGACGGAGAGGUAUCUCGGGGCCCAGUCGGUAAUACAACAUCACACACAAGCCUUGCAAGCAAUGUGACUUAGUGUAAGUUGCGGGAUCUUGUAUUACGGAACGAGUAAAGAGACUUGCCGGUAAACGAGAUUGAAAUAGGUAUGCGGAUACUCACGAUCGAAUCUCGGGCAAGUAACAUACCGAAGGACAAAGGGAAUAACAUACAGGAUUAUAGGAAUACUUGGCACUGAGUUUCAAACGAUAAGAUCUUCGUAGAAUAUGUAGGAUCCAAUAUGGGCAUCCAGGUCCCGCUAUUGGAUAUUGACCGAGGAGUCUCUCGGGUCAUGUCUACAUAGUUCUCGAACCCGCAGGGUCUGCACACUUAAGGUUCGACGUUGUUUUAUGCGUAUUUGAGUUAUAUGGUUGGUUACCGAAUGUUGUUCGGAGUCCCGGAUGAGAUCACGGACGUCACGAGGGUUUCCGGAAUGGUCCGGAAACGAAGAUUGAUAUAUAGGAUGACCUCAUUUGAUUACCGGAAGGUUUUCGGAGUUACCGGGAAUGUACCGGGAAUGACGAAUGGGUUUCGGGAGUUCACUGGGGGGGGCAACCCACCCCGGGGAAGCCCAUAGGCCUUGGGGGUGGCAACCAGACCUUGGUGGGCUGGUGGGACAGCCCAAGAAGACCCUAUGCGCCAUAGGAAGAAAAUCAAAGAGAAAAGAAAAAAAAGGAGGAGGUGGGAAAGGGAAGAAGGACUCCACCCACCAAACCAAGUUGGACUCGGUUUGGGGGGGGGGAGACCUUCCCCCCUUGGCUCGGCCGACCCUCUUGGGGCUCCCUNNNNNNNNNNNNNNNNNNNNNNNNNNNNNNNNNNNNNNNNNNNNNNNNNNNNNNNNNNNNNNNNNNNNNNNNNNNNNNNNNNNNNNNNNNNNNNNNNNNNAUGUAGCUCACAAAUUUCCUGUAGUUUUUAAAAACAUAUAAUUUGUCUAUGUUUGAAAUUGUCAAAUACAAGUUAGAUCAGAUUUAGUUUAAACCUUGUUUUGCCUAUUCCAGGAGUUUAAAAAUAUCUUUUAAUUUGAUUCCUUUUGGUACUGAUCACUAGUGAUCUUAUAUAUCAGUGGUAAAAAUUGCAGAUUUGUUUGAGUAUUUUAGCUCACUGUUUCAUGUGAAACAAUUUCUGUUUCACCUCUUUUAGGAUUUCGGCUAAAUUCCUUUCCUAGCUUUGUUUUAAAAUAUUUUAUUUAUUAUUUCAGAAAGAUUAUUAUUGUUUUGUUUAUGUUAGUUAACAAUAGUUUUGCAACAAGUUUUUAUUUUAGUUUUAUUUGUUUUCAUGAAAUCAAUGCUAGUUCCGUAGUAACGUGCAAUUGCUUUCACCAUUGUUUCAAAUUCCGUUUGGGAAUACUUUCAAAAGGUUUUGUGAAAAACACUUUAUUUUAUCUUAGUUAAACUUAUAUCUUAGUUCCUUGUCAUUAUUUUCUGUUAGACAAAACUAUUUAGUGUUUGACGUAGUAGAGGACUCUCUAGUCUUGUUUGAAGUUUCUUUCGGAAUUCCUAUUCGCUCUCUCUUUUGUUUUGAUUGCUAGAAUGAUUGCUAGUAUGAGUGCUUAUGUGAAUGAUAUGUUUGCUAUAUAGAUUUCAUCGGAGAGUGACGAGUAGUCUAUCAAGUUAUUUUCUCGAGAAAUUCUUCUUCGUCAACAUCACAGGCAAGUCACUUUGAUCAUACUAUCACCCAUGUUUUAUGCAUUGUAGUUCUACCAUCCUAUGCCCAAUUGCAUGCUGCCUAGGUACUUGGAAACUUUAGUAUAAGUUGUAGUAUCAUGUGGUAGGAACACAACAACCCCGAUACUUGGCCCCGGGACGACAAUUUCUUAAUGCUAUGCUUGAGUAGACGGGUCAUCGGUUGAGUGUAUUCCACGAGUGAUGCGAGGUUGAUAUAAUAAUCAAGACCGGUUAAGACAAGAUUUUCAAGACCUCGGACGCAAUGCAACACUGGGUGAAGGAUGGUUGAUCGGCUCCCUGGAAAACCCAGUGGAUGCCCGGGAUGCUGGAGAGGCCAUGUCAUCCUGCGGAAAGCUUCACCCAGGCUCAAAGAGACGGACGGAUAUUUUCAAGNNNNNNNNNNNNNNNNNNNNNNNNNNNNNNNNNNNNNNNNNNNNNNNNNNNNNNNNNNNNNNNNNNNNNNNNNNNNNNNNNNNNNNNNNNNNNNNNNNNNGGUGCACUACGGGUACCUCCGAAAGUGUCUGUUGGGUUGGUACGAAUAGAGAUCGGGUUUUGUCACUCCGUGUGAUGGAGAGGUAUCUCUGGGCCCACUCAAUAGAACAUCAUCAUGAGCUCAAUAUGACUAAGGAGUUAGUCACAGGAUGACGUGCUACGGAAUGAGUAAAGAGACUUACCGGUAACGACAUUGAACAAGGUAUAGGUAUAUCGACGAUCGAAUCUCGGGCAAGUUAUAUACCGACAGACAAAGGGAAUUGUAUACGGGAUUGAUUGAAUCCUUGACAUCUUGGUUCAUCCGAUGAGAUCAUCAUGGAGCAUGUGGGAGCCACCAUGGGUAUCCAGAUCCCGCUGAUGGUUAUUGGCUGGGGAGUGUCUCGGUCAUGUUUGCAUGCUUCCCGAACCCGUAGGGUCUACACACUUAAGGUUCGAUGACGCUAGGGUUAUAGGGAAUUGUUAUACGAGGUUACCGAAGGAUGUUCGGAGUCCCGGAUGAGAUCCCGGACAUCACGAGGGGCUCCGGAAUGGUCCGAAGGUAAAGAUUGAUGUUAGAGCAUAUAUCUCCAUAUGUGGUUUUGGUAAUUGAUGACAAUUCCUAUGGACUAAUGGUUGCCUUAAGUUAUAUUUAUAGGAUUUGUCCAUAGGCACUUCUUGAAGUCCAUCUGUUGGGUUCAAGGAGUUUAUAUGAUAACCAAGGUGGUAUUCAAAGUAUUAUCCAAAGAAUGGUCAUAGAGACACAAGGUUGUUCAAGAUCUCAGACAAAGAGUAAAUCAAGAUGAUCAGCACACAAAGCGUACAAGAUGUACCAAGAGGGAUCAAGUGAUCCCAUGGUAUGGUAAGCAUUGUCCAUUACGUGUUUGUGUACUAACCCAUGGUCUUCGUGAGAGUUCUAUGUGGGGGUUAGGUGUGUUUCCAUGGGCUUGCGUCAAAGGGAAGAUCUCAUACAACCCAUGAAGUAUGACGUCAAGUUGUGAUCGUCAUCAAGAUUGCGAUGUGCAAGUUCAAGUGGAUCAGCACGAAGAUAUCAUGCUUGAAGCUUGCCGUCCAUUGUGGUGGCAAUGGACUUGUGAAGAUAUGCUGAAGAGUGGCUCACCCAUAGUGAGUAUGGGGGAGCAAUCAACUAGUCUUCAUAAAGCCAACGCAAUCAAUAAAGGUGGUCCAUCUUGAGGAAGCUAAGAUCAUCAUCAUCUAGCUCAAGAGGACGAGGUGCAAGGUAUAGGUUUGCCCUUGAUAGGUUUUCUGUUUAGGAUAGAUUGUUGUACUAUCAAGGGGGGCUCUCAAGUGAGUAGCUUGAUCGUAUCGUUCGUUGAGAGCUCAAACCAUUUGCAUCCUUUCAUCAUACUUCUUGGUUCUUGUUUGGUGUUUCUCUUUGUGAGUUUUAGAGCUUAUGGUCAUCUUCGUGACAAGCUCGAGUUCAUCGAAAACGGAGUCCAUAUGCAUCUACUAUGAUGUUUUCGAUGUUGGAGUUUUUGCCGGUUCUUCAUUCAUAGAGGACUCACAUCUCUAUAUCAUUGGCAUUUUCAUAUCUGCAUGGUCUCGCUGCUUGGAUAGCUCUUGUCGUCCUGAAUCCAACAAGCUUGGGUUUGCUCGAUUCGGAGCUCGUAUGCGAAAGUUAUGGCUGUUUCAGUGGCGAGCGGUAGUACCGCUGGACCUAGCGGUAGUACCGCUAGAGGUGGCGGUAGUACCGCUGGACCUAGCGGUAGUACCGCUAGAGGUGGCGGUAGUACCGCUGGCCCUAGCGGUAGUACCGCUGGCCCUGGCGGUAGUACCGCCCCUGGCCAGCGGUAGUACCGCUCCAAGUUUUUAGUACCGUCAUCUUUGCGGUUGUACUGCGUCGGACAUUUUUGCGAAGACUUUCUUGGCGGUGGUUGGCCCGGUAGUAUCUUUGCGCUACCAUGGGCUCAGCGGUAGUACCGCUGGGCUCGGGCUGUAAGUGGGGGUAACGGUCUGAUUCCUUCCCCCACUAUAUAAAGGGGGUCUUCUUCCCCCUUGGCCUCAUCUAUCCGUUGAGCUCUUGUUCUACCUCCAUUGUUGACAUUCUUAGAGCUUGCUUACUCUCAAUCCCUCCAAUUAUUCUUGCUUGUUCUUGAGGGNNNNNNNNNNNNNNNNNNNNNNNNNNNNNNNNNNNNNNNNNNNNNNNNNNNNNNNNNNNNNNNNNNNNNNNNNNNNNNNNNNNNNNNNNNNNNNNNNNNNUCACCAACCACCUCACCAGCGAGAUGAGCAAGCACUCUACUCAGGAGCCAUAUCGCGGUCAUGAUCGGGUUCAUACCGCAAACGGAGCAGGUAUGCGCAUCUCACAUGUUGGUCAGGCCUCUCUCCUUGCACAUAAUUUUCGCCCAUUGCAUCUCUCCAAUGUCCUUCGAGUUCCCUCCGCUACGCGCAGUUUGUUGUCCAUUCCUCAACUUACUCGUGAUAAUAAUGUCCUUGCUGAGUUUCACCCUUUUCGUUUCUUUAUCAAAGACCGGGACACGAGGGCCAUUCUGCUUAGCGGUCGCCUUCGGCAUGGCCUAUAUGCUCUUGAUGCGCCGCCACCAUCUUCCACGCCGUCUUCUCCCCAGGUGUUCACUAGUGUACGUGUGCCGUCUACACACUGGCAUGCAUGCCUUGGUCACCCGGCGGCCCCCAUAGUUCGACAUAUAUUGCAUCGUCAUGAUCUACCAGUUGCGUCCAAUAAAAAUGCUGAAACUAUCUGUGAUGCCUGUCAGCAGGGCAAGAGUCAUCAACUUCCGUUUUCAGAUUCUAGUCGUGUUGUGAAACAUCCUCUUGAGCUUGUGUUUUCCGAUGUAUGGGGUCAUGCCCAGACGUCCGUGAGUGGUCACAAUUAUUAUGUCAGUUUUAUUGAUGCUUACAGUCGGUUUACUUGGCUAUAUCUUAUUAAGCGCAAGUCUGAUGUAUUUGAUGUCUUUGUUCAGUUUCAAGCCCACGUUGAGUGUCUCCUUAAGCACAAAAUCAUUCAUGUGCAAUCCGACUGGGGGUGAAUACCACCACCUCAACUUGUUCUUUAANNNNNNNNNNNNNNNNNNNNNNNNNNNNNNNNNNNNNNNNNNNNNNNNNNNNNNNNNNNNNNNNNNNNNNNNNNNNNNNNNNNNNNNNNNNNNNNNNNNNUUCAAGGAUGAGCUUCAAGUUGCGAACCCAGUCCGCAUAGUUGCUACCAUCAUCUUUCAGCUUGUUUUUCUCUAGGAAUGCGUUGAAAUUGAGGUUGACGUUGGCCAUCUACAAUAUUUAUAAAGACAACUUUUAGAAUAAGUUCAUGACAAUUAAGUUCAUUUAAUCAAAUUAAGUAUGAACUCCCACUUAAAUCGACAUCCCUCUAGUCAUCUAAGUGACACAUGAUCCAUGUUGACUAACCCGUGUCCGAUCAUCACGUGAGACGGACUAGUCACCAUGGUGAGCAACUCCAUGCUGAUCGUAUUCAACCAUACGACUCAUGUUCGACCUUUCGGUCUCUUGUAUUCGAGGUCAUGUAUGUACAUGCUAAGCUCGUCGAGUCAACCUAGGUGUUUCGCGUGUGUAAAUCUGGCUUACACCCGUUGUAUGCGAACGUUAGAAUCUAUCAAACCCGAUCAUCACGUGGUGCUUCGAGACAAUGAACCUUCGCAACGGUGCACACUUAGGGGAAUACGUUCUCGAAAUUUUAAGAGGGAUCAUCUUAUUAUGCUACCGUCGUUCUAAGCAAUAAGAUGAAAAACAUGAUAAACAUCACAUGCAAUCAUAUAGUGACAUGAUAUGGCCAUUAUCAUCUUUUCUCUUUCGAUCUCCAUCUUCAGGCAUCGCAUGAUCAUCAUCGUCACCGGCGUGACACCAUGAUCUCCAUCAUCGUGUCUCCGUGAAUUCGUCACGCCAACUACUACUAUCACUACUACUAUAACAAACCGUUAGCAAUGAAGUAAAAGUAGUAAGCACAUAGCGUUGCAUCUCAUACAAUAAAUUAAGACAACUCCUAUGGCUCCUGCCGGUUGUCAUACUCAUCGACAUGCAAGUCGUGAAACCUAUUACAAUAACAUGAUCAUCUCAUAGAUCAUACAUGCAACAUCACAAAUUUGGACAUAUCACAUCACACGUCAAACCCUGCAAAAACAAGUUAGACAUCCUCUAAUUGUUGUUGCAAGUUUAACGUGGCUGAUUUGGGUUUCUAGCAAGAACGCCUUCUUACCUACGUGACAGCCACAACGAUGAUAUGCCAAAGAUAUUUACCCUUCAUAAGGACCCUUUUCAUCAAAUCCAAUCCGACUAGAGUAGGAGAGACAGACACCCGCUAGCCACCUUUAUGCACGGUGUGCAUGUCUGUCGGUGCAACCAGUCUCACGUAAGCAUACGUGUACAGUUGGUCCGGGCCGCUUCAUCCCACAAUACCGCCGGAAAAGAAUAAGACUAGCAGAGGCAAGAAAAUUUACAAAUCAUCACCCACAACUUUUGUGUUCUACUCGUGCAUAGAAUCUACGCAUAGAAANNNNNNNNNNNNNNNNNNNNNNNNNNNNNNNNNNNNNNNNNNNNNNNNNNNNNNNNNNNNNNNNNNNNNNNNNNNNNNNNNNNNNNNNNNNNNNNNNNNNUAGCAACGCUUCCGCUUAGCGAUCUUCAAAGGUAUGAAGAUGCUCUUCCUCUCUCUCGUUGCUGAUCUCUCCAUAGGAAGAUCUGAAUAUGCGUAGGAAAAUUUUGAAUUUAUGCUACGUUACCCAACAGAAUACAUAAGCUAGGCUUUCCACAUUGUGUAUGGGAGAGCUACUUGAAGACUUCAUCAUGUCCUGCCUUCAACUUGAGCCAAGAAGGAACAACAACAUCAAGCUCAAGUGAAAGGGCUAACUCAAAGGUAUCAGUUCCUUUGACGUUAGUUGUGCGGAGUGAUGAUCAGCGAAUAAAAGUAUACACUCAAGUAUGGAUCAUCAGUACCCCUUUUAUGAUUCUUGAGUCUUUAGGGAUCCAGCACUAUUAAGAGGGGAUUCUUGAGUCUUUAGGGAUCCCGCACUAUUAAGAGGGGAUCACAGGUUUUGCGAUGAACUUGCUCAAACUACAUCUCCACUGUUCUGCUCGGACCACAUCUCCACUGCUCUGCUGUUAUUUGAAAACAUAACCAUUGCCUCGGACAUCCGGCUUCCUCUGGACGUCCGAGGGCCGGACGACCGACUGCUUAGGAAAUCCGGAAUCCUAUACAAGAGAAAUCAGAGCCAUAUAACUCGGACUUCCGGCUCCCUCCGGACGUCCGAGGCCCGGAUAUCCGACCAGCUUCGGAAUUCUGGAACUAUGCACCAGAGAAACUUGAGCCAUAUAACUCGGACUUCCGGCUCCCUCCGAACGUCCGAGGGCCGGUCAAGGGUCGGACGACCGACCAGCUUCGGAAAUCCGGAGCCCUGCACCAGAAGGACAUGAGCUCUAUAACUCGGAUUUCCGGCUCCCUCCGGACGCCCGAGGGUCGGACGUCCGUCCCCUUUCGGAAAUCCGGAACCUCGCACCAGAAGAAGUUGAGUCGUAUAACUCGGAUUUCCGGCCUUCUCCGGACGUCCGGUCGCUGUUCAAUUCACAGUAUUUUUAGUGAUAUCUAUAGGCCUCGGACGACCGACCCCUGUCGGACGUCCGACCCCUCGCGGACGCCCGGACUUCCGGAAAAUGUCGGAUGUCCGGACCCUGUGUGACUUAAAAUGUCCCCAACGGCUGUUUUUCUCUCCCCACUAUAAAUACCCCCCCUCCCACUUCGUGAGAGGGCAGCCCAACACAGCCUUAUCCUCNNNNNNNNNNNNNNNNNNNNNNNNNNNNNNNNNNNNNNNNNNNNNNNNNNNNNNNNNNNNNNNNNNNNNNNNNNNNNNNNNNNNNNNNNNNNNNNNNNNNUAAAUUGUUUUUAAGAAAUGUCUUGAUUGUUGUGUGCAAGGUUUGCACGAGGGCAAUGAUCCAUGAUUGAUGUGGAGCUUUAUGCUUUGAGGUACUUAAUACAUGAGGUAAGCAUGCUUAUCAAAUGAUUCUUGAUGAAGUAUGAAAACCAUUUUUGCAUAAUUUGGGAGCUCAAUCUAAGUUGGUUAGAAAAUCAUUGAUUCGAGCAUGGUCGGGAUCCUGCUGUGGGCCCAUGAGGAUACUACCAAACUGGGUAUAGAGAAUGUGCUAAGUUUAUAGUAAAAAAAUGCUAAGUUAAGUCCGCGCAUGAUGUGCUUGGGAAAGAGCUGGGAUGCAAAUUCAAACUCAUAUGAAAAAUGCCAUUGAUGAUGCUCAACCACCAAACAUACUAGAAUAAUUUCUAAUUCGUGAAAGAUGCGAUGAAAUCUUCCCAUGAAUUCCUGAAACUGAUGGGUCGGGGAACUACUAGUCCUACUAUAAACUUACUCUGAUGUCACCGGAUAUCUGCGUUAUUAACUUCUACACAACUAGCGGCAAGUUAGGCCUUCACAAUGCGCUCUUGUUUCACCGGUACUGCUCGGCCUAAUAAUAGAUUUGUGUCACUUAACAGGAGAAACAUGAAGGAAAAUCUAGCCUUGCCAAGCGACUGCAUGUUGUUUCCUUUUCACUUGGUGACACUGCAGAAUUUUUGUAUGGUGAUGUUUGAUACAUUGAUUAGAUAAGGCUUCCAAGAUUAAAUUUGAAUCCACUGAUGUUCUGAUAUUUGAUGGUUAAUCAAAGAAAAUAUUCCAUGGGGUCUCCAGCAUUUCACCGAAAAGUGUACCGCUCUGGGUGACGGACAAGGCAACUCAUCGACUCGGGUGCCUGAACCUCACAUUCAGGUAGCACAAGUAUGAGCGCCUGGGGCUAGGGCAUGCCGCAUUCAGCGCCUCCCUUUAGGCAUAGUGCANNNNNNNNNNACAUGUUGUUUCCUUUUCACUUGGUGACACUGCAGAAUUCUUGUAUGGCGAUGGUUGAUACAUUGAUUAGAUAAGGCUUCCAAGAUUAAAUUUGGCUCCACUGAUGUUCUAAUAUUUGAUGGUUAAUCAAGGAAAAUAUUCUGGGUGACGGACAAGGCAACUCGUCGACUCGGGUGCGUGAACCUCACAUUCAGGCAGCAUAAGUAUGAGCGCUUGGGGCUAGGGCAUGCCGCAUUCAGCGCCUCCCUUUAGGCAUAGUGCAAGUAUAGGGUACUCCCUCAUGUUGUAUAUAUAUAUAUAUUUGAAAACCAUUUUCCACAAAGGAGGAUNNNNNNNNNNNNNNNNNNNNNNNNNNNNNNNNNNNNNNNNNNNNNNNNNNNNNNNNNNNNNNNNNNNNNNNNNNNNNNNNNNNNNNNNNNNNNNNNNNNNUACCGGUGAAACAAGAGCGCAUUGUGAAGGCCUAACUUGCCGCUAGUUAUAUGUAAAGAUCAUACGGAUGAUGAAAUAAAAUAUGCUUUGUUUCAAAUGGGUACUACGAAAGCACCUGGACGGAUGGUUUUCCGGCUCUUUUUUACCAAAUACAUUGGGAUUUUCUACAGAAUGAAAUUUGUGGUGCUGUCCGAAGUUUUUUGAAUGGAGGAUCUAUUCCGAUUGGUUUUUGUGAUUCAGUGAUUGUGCUCAUUUCCAAGAUUAAUAAUCCCCAACAUCUCAAGAAUUUUCGACCAAUCAGCUUGUGUAAUGUUCUUUAUAAACUCGCCUCAAAGGUACUCUCAAACCGACUUAAAGUUUUUCUGCCAGAGGUGAUUUCCGAGAAUCAAAGUGCUUUCAUUCCUGGUCGUCUUAUCACGGACAAUGCUCUUAUUGCUUUCGAAAGUUUACAUACGAUAUGAUCUCAGAGAGUGAAGAAGCCUUACUUUGCUCUCAAGAUUGAUAUGAUGAAGGCAUAUGACCGUGUGGAGUGGAAUUUUCUUCGUGCAUGUCUCUCGUUUGGGUUUCGCUGAUUCCUGGAUAAGCUCGGUGAUGAGGUGUGUUACUUCUACUCGUUAUGCUGUUUGGGUUAAUGGAGAUCUCACAGAACCUGUGUGUUGGGGAACGUCGCAUGGGAAACAAAAAUUUUCCUACGCGCACGAAGACCUAUCAUGGUGAUGUCCAUCUACGAGAGGGGAUGAGUGAUCUACGUACCCUUGUAGACCGUACANNNNNNNNNNNNNNNNNNNNNNNNNNNNNNNNNNNNNNNNNNNNNNNNNNNNNNNNNNNNNNNNNNNNNNNNNNNNNNNNNNNNNNNNNNNNNNNNNNNNUAUAUAUAUAUAUAUUUGAAAACCAUUUUCCACAAAGGAGGAUAAACCCGGCUCUGCAUCAAGCGAUACACACAACCAUCUUUAUUAUAUUAUAAAAUAUUGUAUUGUAAAAUAAUUACAUAAAUCAACCAAAACACCUUUCUACCAAAAAUUGUGGCCCUGCCUAGAACUACCUAGAAGGUGGCCCUACCUAGAAGGUUGAUGAUGUGUCCUGACCUCGCGUCAACACACAUCAUAAAAUCCGAUGACCUCAUGAAGCCACCCGCCGGCUAGUCGGGAGCACCGGCCGAGAAAACCCUCUACAUGCAUUGCAUGCACACGCUAUAGAAUCCGUCACCUCCAUCUUCUGUCCUCCCAUCUUCAAGAGUAAUCAAUGCAUUGACCUUGACAGGCCCAUUUGCCGACGAGCCACCACGACACCAGACAAUGCCACUCUCCUACGUGCUUUCAUCAAAUGGUAUCCAGCGCUGAGACCCCACGGCACCUUGCCGCCAAGACUCGUCGUCGUCGAUAUUGUAGAAGCCAUGCCUCUAUACCUUGAUGGCCGCACGAGAAGCAUGCAGAAACCUGUGUGUCCUGCUACCGAAUCUAAACACUUGUGUCUCCAGCUGAUGUUUACGUCCUAAAAGAGGAUGGCCCCAUGAGGGUGACGAUGCAGGAGCCUCGCCAUCAUUUGAUUCGGAAUCCGAAUUUAGGGUUUCCCCGGGGCUCACAGGAAAUGUGAAUCUUCCCACAACACCUCCAACGAGGUAACGACACCCAUGGGUGCUACCAUCGACGGCUACGGAUGAGGCCGUACCAAGCUUUUGUUGGCAAACUUGCGCCCAUAGACGCCUGGUCCACCAGAUCCUCCUCCACCAUCACCAGCAUGCCCCAUGGGGACGACCUUGCCGCCCGGAAAGCACCCAUGAUCGGAUCUGAUGUGGUGCCACAGCCCCAAAUUGCCGCACUGCCUUGGUGGGUUGUCGACGGUGGAAGAAUACUCAUCGCUGCGCCAUCGACUCUGGACGAUGCACACGUUGAAGCAGGACACCCACGGGGAUCUCCCCAGUGACCGCGUCACGGAGCCACGACGAUGGAAGGCCCCGCCACCGCCAUCAUCUGCCACAUGGCUGUUGCCCGCGGCGCCCCGUCAACAAAGAGGAGAGGGCGGCGGCAGCCGAAGCCUUAGAUUCGAUUAGGAGGGAGGGAGGGAGCCGGGAGGAGAUCGGAUUGAGAGGGAUCUAUUUGAAAACUUGUGUUCACCUCUAUUAUGUGUGUUUAUCAUGCACAAUGUAAUCUCCUAUCAUGGGUGUUUAGCAGCAUGAGUUGAAACAGUUGAAUAGGCAACCCACAAACUAGAUCAAACUCUAUCUAAAAUUAUCCAAUUCCACCAACUAAUUAGGAAAGCUGGAGCAAAAAUCUUGCACGGAAAAAGCAUGUGAAAACAGCAACAAUUCAGUGCUUAUUAUAACUUUUAUUUCUAGCUCGGAACCUCUCGAGGGUGAGUGACCUCUCUUGUUUAGCGUCGUCGAGUCGUAUACCCUCGAGAACCACGGUGAGCCCCAGGAUGAAAGCAUGGUCGACGCCUUCGUUGACACAGAUGUUAUACUUAAUCGGACACAAGACCAUCCCCCCAGCUUUCCAUAUAAGCAACGGCGGCGGCGGUGAGGGUGACGAUGCGGUUAGUCCAAGGGUACCAAGGGCGGAAGCUGACGAAAUCGCUGCGCCUCUCACGACGAUGAAGAAGAGCAGGCAGGGCCGGGCCCGUAAAAUUCGAGGCCCUAUGCUCGACUCUCAAACGGGCCUAUCGCGCCUUUCAAAAAAAUAGGACUAUAAUAAUCGAGACGACAAUCUCUUACAUAACUCAUGUCUAAGGUUGAAUUAAAUCCUUCAUUCUUNNNNNNNNNNUGACGAUGCAGUCAGUCCCAGGGUACCGGAGCGGACGCUGAUGAAAUCGUUGCGCCUCUCACCGUCGACGUGCACGUCGAUGUCUCCCGUUUUGCUCAGCGAAGGCCGCACGACGAUAGAGAAGAGCAGGUAGGGCCGGGCCGGUAAAAUUCGGGGCCCUGUGCUAGACUCUCAAACGGGCUUGUCGCGGNNNNNNNNNNNNNNNNNNNNNNNNNNNNNNNNNNNNNNNNNNNNNNNNNNNNNNNNNNNNNNNNNNNNNNNNNNNNNNNNNNNNNNNNNNNNNNNNNNNNGGAAAAUGUGGUUUUAGCAAGGCACUACAAUGCUAUAUUGGAAAAUGGUGAUGAAAUUAUUAUCAAAAUAUUUAGUAAUAAUUCUAGAAAAGGUAUCAAGGAGCUUGGCAAUGAAGUAAAUUUGGUUACCAAAGUGCAGGUACCGGAGUCUAGUUAUUAUUGGCCAUUGCAUUUAUGAAGAGGAGAAGCUCAUCGUAUAUUGAUACUUACCAAACAAUGGCCNNNNNNNNNNGAAAAUAUUUAGUAAUAAUUGUGGAAAAAGGUAUCGAGGAGCUUGGCAAUGAAGUAAAUUUGGUUACCAAAGUGCAGGUACCGGAGUCUAGUUAGAAUUAUUGGUCAUUGCAUUCAUGAAGAGGAGAAGCUCAUUGUAUAUUAGUACUUACCAAACAAUGGCCAAUGCCAUCCUUUUUAUAUGUUCUGUUUCCUUAUAACUUGAAAUUCUUAGAUUGCGAAAUGAUAUUGUUUAUAACAAACUUAUGCUUUGUGGACAUAUAAUGAUGCUACAAUAAGAGCUAUUGCUUGAUUCGCCGACUAUAUUCAAUACAAUUAGUGGGAUCGCAAGAGGACUUUUGUAUUUCCAAAUGCAAAUAUAGUUCACAAAGACUUCUGAGCAGGCAAAACAUGUUGGAUGGAUAAAUGAAUCGUGAGAUACCAGAAUAUGCCAUGGCAAGGAUCUUUGAUUGAAACCAGUAACAAGAAAACACAAAUCAUGUUGCCCCCCCCCCGGGGGGGGGGGGUCUAGAGCCCCCACCCAUGUCAUUGCCAUUUAAUUAUUUUAGUUAUGUUGGUGUUACAUGCAACAAAAUGUGUUUAGUAGUCAAUGCAGGGGGCAAUUUUCUCCUAUUACAUUAUGUGUGCAAAAUGUAGUUUUAGCAAGGCACUACAAUGCUAUAUUGGAAAAUGGCGAUGAAAUUAUUAUCAAAAUAUUUAGUAAUAAUUCUAGAAAAGGUAUCGAGGAGCUUGGCAAUGAAGUAAAUUUGGUUACCAAAGUNNNNNNNNNNCAAAAUAUUUAUUAAUAAUUCUAGAAAAAGGUAUCGAGGAGCUUGACAAUGAAGUAAAUUUGGUUACCAAAGUGCAGGUACCGGAUUCUAGUUAGAAUUAUUGGCCAUUGCAUUCAUGAAGAGGAGAAGCUCAUCGUAUAUUGAUACUUACCAAACAAUGGCCAAUGCCAUCCUUUUUAUAUGUUAUGUUUCCUUAUAACUUGAAAUUCUUAGAUUGCGAAAUGAUAUUGUUUANNNNNNNNNNAUAUAUUGAUACUUACCAAACAAUGGCCAAUGCCAUCCUAUUUAUAUAUUAUGUUUACUUAUAACUUGAAAUUCUUAGAUUGCGAAAUGAUAUUGUUUAUAACAAACUUAUGCUUUGUGGACAUAUGAUGAUGCUACAAUAAGAGCUAUUGCUUCAUUGGCCGACUAUAUUCAAUAAAAUUAGUGGGAUCGCAAGAGGACUUUUCUCCAAAUGCAAAUAUAGUUCACAAAGACUUCUGAGCGGGCAAAAUAUGUUGGAUGGAUAAAUGAAUCGUGAGAUACCAGAAUAUGCCAUGGCANNNNNNNNNNGUAUCUCCAAAUGCAAAUAUAGUUCACAAAGACCUCUGAGCAGGCAAAACAUGUUGGAUGGAUAAAUGAAUCCUGAGAUACUAGAAUAUGUCAUGGCAAGGAUCUUUGAUUGAAACCAGUAACAAGAAAACACAAAUCAUGUUGCCGGGGGGGGGGGGCUAGAGCCCCCGCCCAUGUCAUUGCGAUUUAAUUAUUUUAGUUAUGUUGGUGUUACAUGCAACAAAAUGUGUUUAGUAGUCAAUGCAAGGGGAAAUUUUCUCCUAUUCCAUUAUGUGUGGAAAAUGUGGUUUUAGCAAGGCACUACAAUGCUAUAUUGGAAAAUGGNNNNNNNNNNUUGAGACAUUUUAGAUAACUAUGCAAUCCUUACACUAUCAUAUUCAUGGUGUAGUUGAACUCAACAUCUUGCGUGUCUCGCUGUUGAAACGAUUGAAACAGUGGCUAUAUGUCGCCACAAUAUGUGGUGGAAGGUGAAUUUUCCAUCCAAUUGGACAUCUAUAGCUUCGAUAUCUUUAUGUAUCAUAAAAUUACAUCAAUUCAAUAAAAAUAGAAUAACUUGAUUCAGUUAUUCUAUUGGCUCAUACUUGGGAACUUUGGGAAGAUGGAAAAGCAACCAAAUUUGUGGACCAUUUGUUAUAUUAUAUUUAAUAUGGGAUAAAGUUAUCUUUGAGAUAUGUGUCAAUUAUCUUUAGUCUUUAAUAUGGAUCUUCAUGGGUUCUAUGAAAAUAAGACAUGGCGACGGGGGGGGGGGGNNNNNNNNNNNNNNNNNNNNNNNNNNNNNNNNNNNNNNNNNNNNNNNNNNNNNNNNNNNNNNNNNNNNNNNNNNNNNNNNNNNNNNNNNNNNNNNNNNNNGGUCUAGUCCAUCACAUGAUUCUCCUAAUGAUGUGAUCCCGUUAUCAAGUAACAACACUUGCCUAUCGCCAGGAAACCUUGGUCAUCUUUGAUCAACGAGCUAGUCAACUAGAGGCUUACUAGGGACAGUGUUUUGUCUAUGUAUCCACACAAGUAUUGUGUUUCCAAUCAAUACAAUUAUAGCAUGGAUAAUAAACGAUUAUCAUGAACAAAGAAAUAUAAGAAUAACUAAUUUAUUAUUGCCUCUAGGGCAUAUUUCCAACAGUCUCCCACUUGCACUAGAGUCAAUAAUCUAGUUCACAUCACCAUGUGAUUCCAACGAAUCCAACACCCAUAUAGUUAUGGGGUCUGAUUACGUCUUGCUCAUGAGAGAGGUUUUAGUCAACAGUUCUGAAACUUUCAGAUCCGUGUGUUCUUUACAAAUCUUGAUGUCAUCUUAUAGAUGCUGCUACUAUGUGCUAUUCGGAAAUACUCCAAAUAUCUACUCUACUAUACGAAUCCGUUUCACUACUCAUAGUUAUUCGGAUUAGUGUCAAAGCUUGCAUCGACGUAACCCUUUACGACGAAAUUUUUAACCACCUCCAUAAUCGAGGAAAAUUCCUUAGUCCAUCAGUUACUAAGGAUAAAUUUUGACCACUGCUAGUGAUUCAAUCAUGGAUCACUCUCUGCUAGUGAUUCAGUCAAGGCACACAUCAGGUGCGGUACCCAGCAUGGCAUACUUCAGAUUCUACGGCCAAGGCAUAGAAGACGACCUUCGUCUAUUCUCUUUAUUCUGCCGGGGUCGGGUUUUGAGUCUUACUCAAAUUAACACCUCACAACGCAACCAAGAACUCCUUCUUUGCUGAUCUAUUUUGAACUCCUUCAAAAAGUUGUCAAGGCAUGCAUCUUGUUGAAAUUUCUAUUAAGCGCUUUCGAUCUAUCUCCAUAGAUCUUUGAUGCUCAACGGUCAAGUAGCGCAAUCCAGGUAUUCCUUUGAAAACUCCUUUCAAACAACCUUGUAUGAUUUACAGAAAUUCUACAUUACUUCUGAUUCACAAUAUGGCAACCACAUAUAAGUAUCAGAAAUUCUGUAGUGCUCCCACUCACUUCUUUGGAAAUACAAGUUUCUCAUAAACCUUGUACAAACCCAAAAUCUUUGAUCAUCUCAUCAAAGUGUAUAUUCCAACUCCGAGAUGCUUGCACCAGUCCAUUGAAGGAUCGUUGGAGCUUGCAUACUUGUUAGUAUCUUUAGGAUCGACAAAACCUUCUGGUUGUAUCACAUACAAUAUUUGCUCAAGGAAACCGUCGAGGAAACAAUGUUUUGACAUCCUAUGUGCAAUAUUUCAAAAAUAAUGCAACAACUACUAACAUAAUUCUAACAGACUUUUAGCAUCGUUAUGAGUGAGAAAGUCUCACCAUAGUCAACUGUUUGAUCAUGUCGGAAACAUCUUUGCGACAAGUCGAGCUUUUCUUAAUAGUGACUUAUCACNNNNNNNNNNAUCGUCGUGUGUCUUCCUUUUAAAGAUCCAUCUUUACUCAAUAGUCCUACGACCAUCAAGUAGUUCUUCCAAAGUCUACACUUUGUUUUCAUACAUGGAUCCUCUCUCGGAUUUCAUGUCCUCCAGCCAUUUGUCGGAAUCCGGGCCCACCAUCGCUUCUCCACAGCUCGUAGGUUCAUUAUUGUUCAACAACAUGACCUCCAAGACAGGGUUACCAUACCACUCUGUAGUAGUACGCGACCUUGUCGACCUACAAGGUUUGUAGUAACUUGAUCCGAAGCUUAAUGAUCACCAUCAUCAGCUUCCACUUCAAUUGGUGUAGGCGCCACAGGAACAACUUCCUGUGCCCUGCUACACACUAGUCGAAGUGAUGGUUCAGUAACCUCAUCAAGUUCUAUCACCCUCCCACUCAAUUAUUUCGAGAGAAACCUUUCCUCAAGAAAGAACCCGUUUCUAGAAACAAACACUUUGCUUCCGGAUCUAAGAUAGGAGAUGUAUCCAACUGUUUUGGAUAUCUUAUGAAGAUGCAUUUAUCCGCUUUGGGUUCGAGCUUAUCAGACUGAAACUUUUUCACAUAAACAUCGCAGCUCCAAACUUUCAAGAAACGACAACUUAGAUUUCUCUAAACCUUAGUCUAUACUGUGUCAUCUCAACGAAAAUACGCGGUGCCCUAUUUAAAGUGAAUGCGGUUGUCUCUAAUGCAUAACCCAUAAACGAUAGUGGUAAUUCGAUAAGAGACAUCAUAGUAUGCACCAUAUCAAAUAGGGCGUGGCUAAGACGUUCAGACACAUCAUCACACUAUGGUGUUCCAGGUGGCAUGAACUGUGAAACAAUUUCCACAUUGUCUUAACUGCGUACCAAAACUCGUAACUCAGAUAUUCAUCUCUAUGAUCAUAUCGUAGACUGUUUAUCCUCUUGUCACGACGAUCUUCACUCUAAAAUAGCUUUGAAAUUUUCAACAUUUCAGACUUGUGAUUCAUUAAGUAAAUACUCUUGUAUCUACUCAAAUCGUCAUUGAAGUAAGAACAUAAUGAUAUCCACUGCGUGCCUCAGCACCCAUUGGACUGCAUACAUCAAAAUGUAUCACUUNNNNNNNNNNGUAUCAUCUCAAUGAAAACAAGGCCUUGUUCAUGUGGUAUGAUUUGCAUGUCACUAGUGAUUCAAAAUCAAGUUAGUAUAAAGAUCCAUCAGCAUGGGGCUUCUUCAUGCAAUUUAUACCAACAUGACUCAAGCGGCAGUGCCACAAGUAAGUUGUACUAUAAUCAUUACCUCGUAUCUUUUUGCACCAAUAUCAUGAACAUGUGUAACACUACGAUCGAGAUUCAAUAAACCAUUGAAGGUGAUUAUUCAAGCAAAUAGAGUAACCAUUAUUCUCUUUAAAUGAAUAAUUGUAUUGCAAUAAACACGAUCCAAUCAUGUUCAUGCUUAACGCAAGCACCAAAUAACAAUUAUUUAGAUUUAACACCAAUCCCGAUGGUAGAGGGAGUGUGCGACGUUUGAUCAUAUCAACCUUGGAAACACUUCCAACACGUAUCGUCACCUCGCCUUUAGCUAGUCUCCGUUUAUGCCGUAGCUUUCAUUUCGUGUUACUAAUCACUUAGCAACCGAACCGGUGUCCAAUACCCUUGUGCUACUAGGAGUACUAGUAAAUUACACAUCAACAUCAUGUAUAUCAAAUAUACUUCUUUCGACUUUUGCCAGCCUUCUUAUCUACCAAGUAUCUAGAGUUGCUCCGCCUCAGUGACCGUUCCCCUCAUAACAGAAGCACUUAGUCCCGGGCUUGGGUUUAAUCUGGGGUCUCUUCAUUAGUGCAGCAACUGCUUUGCCGUUUCACGAAGUAUCCCUUCUAGCCCUUGCCUUUAUCGAAACUUAGUGGUUUUACUAACCAUCAACUAUUGAUGCUCCUUCUUGAUUUCUACUUUCGUAGUGUCAAACAACGCGAAUCGCUCAAGGAUCAUUGUAUCUAUCCUUGAUAUGUUAUAGUUCAUCACGAAGCUCUCACAGCUUGGUGGCAGUGACUUUGGAGAACCAUCACUAUCUUAUCUGGAAGAUCAACUCCCACUUGAUUCAAGCGAUUGUCGUACUCAGAUAAUCUGAGCACACACUCAACGAUUGAGAUUUUCUCCUUUACUUCGUGGAAAAAGAAUCUUGUCGGAGGUCUCAUACCUCUUAACAAGGGCACAAGCAUGAAAUCACAAUUUCAUCUCUUUAGAACAUCUCUUCUGUUUCGUGACGUUUCAAAACGUCUUCGGCGCCUUGCUUCUAAGCCAUUAAGUAUUUUGCACUGAACUAUCGUGUAGUCAUCAGAAACAUGUAUGUCGGAUGUUCACAACAUCUACAGACGACGCUCGAGGUGCAGCACAGCGAGUGGUGCAUUAAGGACAUAAGCCUUCUACGCAGCAAAAUGGACAAUCCUCGGUUUUACAGACUCAAUCUGCAAAGUUUGCUACCAUAAACUUUCAACUAAAUUUUCUCUAGGAACAUAUAAAAACAGUAGAGCUAUAGCGCAAGCUACAUCGUAAUUCGCAAAGACCAUUAGACUAUGUUCAUGACAAUUAGUUCAAUUAAUCAUAUUACUUAAGAACUCCCACUCAAAAAGUACAUCUCUCUAGUCAUUUAAGUGGUACAUGAUCCAAAUCCACUAUCUCAAGUCCGAUCAUCACGUGAGUCGACAAUAGUUUCAGUGGUAAGCAUCUCUAUGCUAAUCAUAUCAACUAUACGAUUCAUGCUCGACCUUUCGGUCUCAUGUGUUCCGAGGCCAUGUCUGCACAUGCUAGGCUCGUCAAGCUUAACCCGAGUGUUCCGCGUGUGCAAUUGUUUUACACCCGUUGUAUGUGAACGUUGAGUCUAUCACAUCCGAUCAUCACGUGGUGUCUCGAAACGAAGAACUGUCGCAACGGUGCACAGUCGGGGAGAACACAACUUCGUCUUGAAAUUUUAGUGAGAGAUCACCUCAUAAUGCUACUGUCGUUCUAAGCAAGAUAAGGUGCAUAAAGGAUUAACGUCACAUGCAAUUCAUAAGUGACAUGAUAUGGCCAUCAUCAUGUGCUUCUUGAUCUCCAUCACCAAAGCACCGGCACGAUCUNNNNNNNNNNNNNNNNNNNNNNNNNNNNNNNNNNNNNNNNNNNNNNNNNNNNNNNNNNNNNNNNNNNNNNNNNNNNNNNNNNNNNNNNNNNNNNNNNNNNCAGCCCAAGAAGGCCCUAUGCGCCAUAGGAAGAAAAUCAAAGAGAAAAAAAAAGAGGAGGUGGGAAAGGAAAGAAGGACUCCACCCACCAAACCAAGUAGAACUCGGUUUGGGGGGGGGGAGACCUUCCCCCUUUGGCUCGGCCGACCCCUUGGGGCUCCUUGAGCCCCAAGGCAAGGCCCCCCCUCUCCCACCNNNNNNNNNNGAAAAAAAGGAGGAGGUGGGAAAGGAAAGAAGGACUCCACCCACCAAACCAAGUAGGACUCGGUUUGGGGGGGGAGACCUUCCCCCUUUGGCUCGGCCGACCCCCUUGGGGCUCCUUGAGCCCCAAGGCAAGGCCCCCCCUCUCCCACCUAUAUAUACGGAGGUUUUAGGGCUGAUUUGAGACGACUUUUCCACGGCAGCCCGACCACAUACCUCCACGGUUUUUCCUCUAGAUCGCGUUUCUGCGGAGCUCGGGCGGAGCCCUGCUGAGACAAGGUCAUCACCAACUCCCGGAGCGCCGUCGCGCUGCCGGAGAACUCUUCUACCUCUCCGUCUCUCUUGCUGGAUCAAGAAGGCCGAGAUCAUCGNNNNNNNNNNNNNNNNNNNNNNNNNNNNNNNNNNNNNNNNNNNNNNNNNNNNNNNNNNNNNNNNNNNNNNNNNNNNNNNNNNNNNNNNNNNNNNNNNNNNGGGUGGGGGGAGGGGUAGUGCGAGGGGAGGGGGGCGCACACCUUCAUGGACGGCAAAAUUUUGGAACAUGGAGAAAGCGAUAUAUUACCUCCUCCAACCUCCAAAUAUGGAGCCUGUGAGUUCAAUUUGGACCAGUCCAAAAAAUAAAAUAGGGCGAUGAAAUGCGGAAGCCAAAUUGACUAGACCCACUUUUUGGCCAAAGUCAUCAUACGAUCGGUUAUUAUGUUGAUCAAGAUGUUAUAGCGACUAUGCUAUAGUUACUUUCAGUGAACACACUGCCCCUGAUGUCGCGGUGCAACUAUUUGACAACAAGUGUUAACUCAGAUACGAUUAAUUAGCUCUUGGGGAAGUACAAACUCAUCACGCCGACCACCGGUGAUAGGUUGGUCUUAGGCCAGCCAUAUGACCGCCAGAGCUUAAGUGCCCCCCUCCAUUAUAAGACGAAGGGAGUAUUAAGCAAUCACAUCGAUUAGUGAUACUCCUUGUAUUUAUUUUGCAAUUGAGACACAUAAUAGGUUCAUGAAAUUAUAUAGUUUAAUUAUUGCCCCCUUUUCAUUUUCCACUAAGCAUCAGGGAGCCACAUCUUCACUGUAUUCGCACACAAACACGUCACCGUGUAGGCGUGUACCCUAAACAGGGUGAUGCACCCCAUCUCACGUCGAAGGAGCCUCACCGAAAGCGCGAUUUGCAAGACAACCGACAAGAAUUUUUGUAGACCCGAUGCCCCCACACACCCAGAACGGACCGCGUCAGGAAGUGCGGUGGCUAUGGGCUUCCCUAGGUCGGCGAAGCCGCUCCAAGAACCUCGGUAUUCACAGCUCUCUAACACGAAGAACAACGAAGAACGAGGGAGAAAAAACAUGGAAGAGACAAAAGUAGAUGGAAAAAAGUAAUAGUUGUCAUUGUGUGUUGUUAUUCAACCGGCCCUUAUCUUUUGCAUAUAUAUGAGACGACUGGACUUUCUGUAUCAGAAAAAGACUCUAAUCCUAUCUAAAACAUUAAAAGUUAACCUAAUUCGGACUACGAGGGUCGGAACCUCCGGUCGGCCCAUAACUUCUGGGCUAAAAUUACAUCAAGUAGUCCUCUUGCACCGCUCCCGCAGGUCGCAUAUUGCUUCGGAUCGCGAUGUCCCAAAAAUCAAAGUUGUAGAUCUUGAAACGGAGAAAAAAAAUUAUCUCUUGAACACCUUUUCAUCUGAGAUCGUCUUGAGGUUGAAUUUGGACCCAUAAAUCUGCAAAUAAUGUUGAAUGCCAGUUUUUCCGGACGUACCUCGUGCAAAUUUUAGGUUUAGCCCGGAACCUCCAUGGAGGUUUCGGCCGGAACUUCCGUGGCAGACUUAUUUUUCCAUGCCAAAAUCUCAUGUCAACACACUGCAAGUCCAAAAGAACUAACGUCAGGGAUAUGGAAAGCAUGGAUUGUGAUCCCCUAGAAAACUUGGAGAUGGAACCAUAGUCCGCUUCAGGUUGGAAGUACAUUAGUUUGACCACAAGCUAAGCUAAGCCCACAUCGCACGGUAGUAAUGCAAAUACACUUAUGUUCAGGGGAAAUGAUUAGUAUCCACCGGUGGAUUACUCCCAAACGUCCACCGCCUUCUUCUUCUACCACUUGUUCAUGCAGCCCUAUUUGUCCACCAUGCCUUGCAGAAGACCAUCUAAGAUAGUUGCAGAGCUUCUGCUUGCACGGACGUCUUUUAUGAAAAGAUCUCUAUAAAUUAUUGCGACAACAACUCUUUUGCAGAACAAUUCUACAACAACAACUUUGUUGCAGAAUAAUUCUGCAACGAGAUCUUUGUUGCAAAAAUAUUAUGUAUUUCUGUAAUUUUUUUGCAACAAGACUUUUGUCGUCAAAAUUUCCAUGGCAAGACUUCUAUUGCAAGAAAAAAAACUGUAAAAGACGUUUGUUGGAAAAAACUACGACUUACCUAUAUUGUAAAAAAUUCUACAACUUUGACCCGCGUUACAAAAAAAUUCAUGCAACAUUACUCGUGUUAUAGAAAAAAAAUCUACAACACGGCCUGUGUUGCAAUGAUAGAGGGUGAUGCUCGGCCACUCAAUCCAUAAAAUCCGACGACUUGUAGCGCCUCCGUCACCUACCCUGCAUGACACGUCCAAGUGAGGAUCCGUAUACCGUUCAUCGUCGAACACGUGUCUAUAACAGGGACUAUGUUUCUAAAACAUAUACGAUGUUGCAAUGAUUUUAUAUUUUACAACAAAACCUGUGUGCGAAAAAAUUCUACAACAAUACCUCAGUUAGAAAAAAUAUGCUACAAAACCUAAGUUGCAAAAAGAAUCUAACGUAAAAGUUAUUACAAAAAAAAUUAUGCAACAAAAACUAUGUUGCAGAAAUAAUUCUGUGUAACAAGACCCGUAUUCCAGUGGUGAAGACAUAAUCGGCUCGCACUAUGCGACAAAUCGGACGGCUCGUGACCCGGUGAUCUUUUAAAAAGAUCAGCCGAUGAUCACGUAGCACUUCCAUAUGUUCAGUCACGUAAUAUCAUGCAAAUCUUCCAUGCUGGUUAAUACUUUACACACAGGCAUCGCAAUCCCAAGCUUGGAAUCUAGUAUUACUCAAUAUACCUCCAAAAUGAAAACCUAAAUGGUCACAUGACGUGUAUUAAUCUCUACAUAACUCCAAUGUUUUAGAGAAUUCAGACGUGUUCCAGAAGUUGGUGGCUCUCCGAGAUAUAUACCUUUGUUGUGAGAUACAUAUCCUUCUCAAAUUGCUUGUACGCUGUCUUUUGGCCUGCACACUCCAGAUAACUCCAAGUUCUGACCUAAACGCACCUGUUAAAUAUCCACCCAACACCCAUGCACACUGUACUUCCCAGUCAUUCCGUCUUCUUCUCUCAGAUCUAAGCAAAAAGUCAGACGAACCACAACCACCGCCAUGGCAACCACCCUCACCACCGACCUCCGCCUCUCCAUCGCGCACCAAACCCGAUUCGGCCUCCGCCUCGCCUCCGCCAUCUCCUCCGACCCCGAGUCUGCUGCCACCAACGUUGCUUUCUCCCCGGUCUCGCUCCACGUCGCGCUCAGCCUCGUUGCUGCCGGCGCAAGGGGUGCCACCCGCGACCAGCUCGUAGCUGUACUCGGGGGCGGUGGUGCAGGAGAGGCCGAGGCACUCCAAUCACUUGCCGAGCAGGUGGUGCAGUUCGUGCUCGCCGACGCGUCCAUCAACUCCGGCCCGCGCAUCGCCUUCGCCAACGGUGUUUUCGUCGACGCGUCGCUCUCGCUCAAGCCAUCCUUCCAGGAGCUCGCC
Molecule: long non-coding RNA, 106758 nt
Filed under: Hordeum vulgare
Lineage: Eukaryota; Viridiplantae; Streptophyta; Magnoliopsida; Poales; Poaceae
Description: long non-coding RNA (HVUL_LNC014211)
Source: RNAcentral